CCCUUAUUUUAUUAUUCAUAUCCAUAAAAGUAACCAUUAUGCUGGUCCCCCGAACUUAGCAUAAGACAGUAAUUUAAAAAAAGAAAAAAAAGGACGUUUUUAGAUACCAAAACAAGCACAAAGCGAGACAUACAAACAAAUGUUAUGCUACUGCAUUCAAGCAGAAGCCACCAACUGUUCACGACGGCGUUUGAAAACAACCAACAUUUCAUCCUGAUUGGGAAGGUUUUCUUCAAUUAUGGGGACUUGCUUGAAAUUUUCAAGCCAGGCAUGCAAGCGAGGGAAUUUGUGUGAUUCAAAUAGUUUAACUCCCACUGCAUCUUCAAUGACUUGCAACCAAUAAACAAUUGAACCAAACGCUAGGUCCACUAAACCAAUAUUGUCUCCAUUGAAAAAUUUUUUCUCUCCCAAGCCAUGCUCUUCAACGGUUUGUAGCAUUUCCAAGGCUUCCUUCAUUGUGUUUUGUAGUUCUUGUCCAGUGCUACGAAACAUUUUCCAAACCGCAACACCCUGCCACAAAUAUUUUACAUCUGAUUUUAUCACCGACAUGGUUAAUUAAUAAUAAUAUGUAUAUAAAAGCGAAAUAUCGUUAGACAAUAUGCACACGUGUCGCAAUAAACUUUAAUUAGAGGUUUAAUAAGUUAAUUAAGAGAGUUCAACCACUGAGUUGUAAAAUCUGUCAUUAGCUAGUAAAUUCACUUUUUCCCAAUGCUUCAAAAGUCAUCAAAAUUCCCCGUGAAGUUAAAAACGGUUGUGUUAACUUUAACUUAUUACAUCUUUUCAUAUUUAAGGAUAAAACAUUGAAGACACCAGAAAUUAACAGUUUAGAGAACUUUUUACAAAUAAAUAUGAAAAAGACCCCUGGGUGGCUGGGCUCGACUGGCUAUGAAUUCACUUUCACUUUGCGCCAUCACCCGAGUUCGAGUACAUAUAGAGAAUAAGAGUUAGUGUUUGGCGGGUGGAUUUUCUUAUCCUCGUCACCUCAUCUAGAUCUUAAAAUAAAUCAAUAAAUAAACAAAUUUGAAAAGAAUGAACUUAAUCAUAAACGUGUUUGCCAGAGUUGUGAGCGAACCUUGUCUUCAGCGAAUUUGAUCCAGAAUCGAGCAUGAGCUCUAUCAUAAGGAUUAUUUGGCAUCAAGGAGGGAUUCUGUGGCCACGUCUCUUCAAUGUAUUGUAGAAUAACCAUGGACUCACAAACUGGUUUUCCGCCAUGGACGAGCACUGGGAUCUUCUUGUGAACCGGAUUAUACUUCAAAAGCAAUGCACUUUUGUUUGAGAGAUCUUCGGAAACAAAUUCAUAUGGCACGCCUUUCAAUUUCAGAGCCCAAAUCACCCUGUAAACAAAUGGACUCAGCAGGGUCCCAUGAAGCUUCACUUCAGCCAUGAUAAUUCUAAGAUUGAAUUUGAAUUAUCGGUUUUUGUGAUCGAUGUUGUGUAUGGCUGUUAACUCAUUACAUAUGUUUCUGAAUUUAUAGUGAUUUAUGGUAUGCACUUUCUUGAGCAGAAAGCUUCAAUUUUCCAUUAAUAAAACGAUUAAUGAUGAAUUCAAAGAACUAGUGCGAUGACUUUAAUUAAAUAUUUUUUACGUUGUGUGCAACCGCAUUUUGAGGUUAAUUUAAAGGAUAUUAUUUUCUCCUCAUCAAAAUUUUUAUAUAAAAAAAUAUAAUUAUGUGAUUGGUAAUUAUUAAAUAAAAUAAAAUAAAAAAUAAAUUUUGACCGUAAAUAAAUAAAAGUUCAUACAGGUUAGAAAGAGUUUUUAACACUCAAAUAAAUGGACCCAAUUCCUAAUUUAAAAGGCUAACCGAUGAGAUCAAUAAUUUGGUCAACCAGUCAGAGAUAACCAUACAAUAAUUAAUAAAAAAUUUGCCAUUUGUUUUACAUUUAAGACCUUUGCGUCAUGCAUGAUGAUCAAUUGAUCAUGGAUCAAUUAGUCAACAAGACAUUUGCCUUUUGUGCAUGUAUCCACAUUGGACGCAAAUAUAAUUUGUUAUAAAAAAAUUGGACUAAAUUAUUUUUUAAUAUAUUUUUUAAAAAUAAUACAUCUGAUCCUAGAGGGCCUGUUAUUUAGUUCGUGAAUCUUAUAACAGGACAGGACCCAUGAUUUUUUUUACAAAAAAAAUCUUAUGGGUCCCCUAUUAUUUAAUUUGUGGAAUUGACGGAGGUAGCUUAGAGUUUCAUUUUUGUAAUUUACAGCUUUCAAUAAAUUCUGAUAAUAUUAGGCGGUAAAAGUCGGCAAGGCUGGAGGAGUAGAUCUAUAAAAUUUGCUAGCACUUUGCACUAUCUGUUUGGUGCCCAAAAACACACAUAUAUAUCAUCCACUUUUUAUUUAACGCUGGGUUUUUUUCGACCCAUAAUAAUUUCUCUUUGCACAUCAACUUGUUAAUAAAAACUUUUAUUGUCAAGAUAAAUUGUUAGUAAUUACUUCACUAAUCCUCCUUUUUUUUUGGGCCAAUUUCUCUUUCGCAACUGAAAAAAUUUAAUUCACAUCAUGUGAUAGUAUGAUUGCAAAUAAAUUUGAAGUUAUCUCUAGCAAGUUGUUCAAAAAUACAUUGACAUGUCUUGUGUAUAAAACUAAAGAACAAUAGCAAACCACUAUCCUAUAGCCGACCGCUGCUAUUAGGACGGAAAAAUUAGUCGUAAAUAUGUAAAUUUGUCUAAACCCAUUUACAAAAAUAUGUCCACUGCGAAUAAUUUUGUAGAUUGCGGAUAAGUUUGGUAUUUUAAAUUUAAGUUCGUUGUAGGUUACGGAUGGAUUCAAUAUUGAGAAAAAAUUUGGUAGGUGUCUGCCGACUAGCAUUUUUUAAAUUAUUUAUGUUUUUAAUUUUAAUCACAAAGAUUGUCUUAAAAAAAUUUAAUCAUAAAACAGUUAGGAAUGGCAAGUGCUCUGGAAACAUUAUGUGGGCAAGCAUAUGGAGCUCAGCAAUAUCAAAGAAUUGGAACUCAAAUUUACACUGCAAUAUUUUGUUUAUUCUUAGUAUGUUUUCCGCUUUCCUUUCUAGGGAUUUACAUGGGAAGGCUGCUAGUUUUGGUAGGCCAAGACCCCCAGAUUUCACACGAAGUAGGCAAGUUUAUAAUCUGGCUUCUUCCAGCUCUGUUUGCUUAUGCAGCAAUGCAGGCGCUUAUUCGAUAUUUUCAGUCUCAAAGUUUGAUCAUUCCCAUGUUCUUAAGCUCCUAUGCCGCUCUUUGUUUGCAUAUUCCCAUCUGUUGGGGUUUGGUAUUCAAGUCUGGACUGGGAAACCUUGGAGGAGCAUUGGCAAUUGGUAUAUCGUAUUGGUUGAAUGUAACUUUCUUGGCAAUUUACAUGAAGUUCUCCACUGCUUAUGCAGAAUCCAGGGCUCCAAUUUCAAUGGAGUUGUUCCGAGGAAUUGGAGAGUUCUUCCACUUUGCUAUCCCUUCUGCAGUAAUGGUUUGGUAUGUUAAUUAUCUUCUGGAGUUUCAUUUUCCCUUCUCAUAGAUAUCGUAGACACGUCAUAAAUUUUCAUGCAUCUUCUUUUGUUUAUAAUUUUGCAGCCUAGAAUGGUGGUCAUUUGAAUUGCUCAUUUUAAUGUCAGGGCUGUUGCCUAACCCACAGCUUGAAACUUCAGUCCUAUCUGUAUGGUAUGUUGACAUAGACUUUGUAUGUGAAAGUUCUAUACAGAGAAGCACCUACCAAAGGAAAUAGAUUUUUUUUCUUUUUUUCUUUUUUUUCCCGACUGCUCAUUAUUUGUCAACUUCUUUGGGCAGUCUCAGUACUAUUCAAACCCUCUCUGCAAUCCCUUAUGGACUUGGUGUGCAGUGAGGUUUGUUCAUAACAAUCAUUUAAAUAAUAAUUGUUUUAUAUCAACUAAUUAGCAGAUUAACCAUUAUUUCCUUCUAUAGUACUAGAGUUUCAAAUGGACUAGGAGCUGGGAAUGUGCAAAGAGCCCGUGUAGCUGUCUAUGCUGUGGUCUUUAUGGCAGUCAUGGAGACUAUCAUAGUAAGUGCAUCUCUCUUUGCCAGCCGGCGUGUUUUUGGUUAUGUUUUCAGCAAUGAGGGACAAGUUGUGGAUUAUGUCACAACCAUGGCUCCUCUGGUUUGUUUGUCUGUCAUCAUGGAUAGCUUACAAGGAGUCUUUUCAGGUUAAAUUAACUUCUUCAACUCUCUCAAUUGCUAAAUAGUUCUCUUUAAGUAGAAAUAAUUUUUUUCAGGUUUCUAAAUUCUUUUUAUUAUUUUUAAUGUGUUGCAAGAGGAUGUGGGUGGCAGAAUAUAACUGCUUUUGUGAAUCUUGGGGCUUAUUAUUUGUGUGCAGUCCCAACUGCUGCCAUUUUGGGUUUCUGGUUAAAGUCUAGAGGAAGGGGCCUAUGGAUCGGGAUACAAGCCGGUGCUUUUACACAAACACUUCUGCUUGGCAUCAUAACAACAUUUACAGAUUGGGAAAAACAGGUCUGUUUCUCAACAUUUAAUCCCUUAAAAAUUAGAGAAGCUUAUUGGACUAUAUAUGUAAAUAUGUAGCAAUUUUUUUUCCCAACCAAGUAUAUGAUACCUUCUGACUGAAAGUUCAAGAUUAAAAUCAUUCAGCUUGAUCUGAAAUGGUUAGUAUUAUCAUCUUAUGCAGAAAUGGUUUUGCUCAUUGGGAAAAUGAUAUUCAAUAACAGACGUGCAAACUCAUUUGAAAAUUUGCUUUUUUGGAAGAAUUAUAACCAUUUUCUAGUUUGUUAAUUGUUACAAGUUCUGUGUUUCUAAGGGGUUUCUCAUGUUGCAGGCAAGUAAAGCAAGGAAAAGAUUAUCAAAGGGAAGAUCUUUAGCAGAUAACAGAGCAGUAUGCGAGUGAGCAGAGUCAAUCAAUGAGCUGAUAUAUACAUUUUCCAGUUGAAAGAGAUAAUCAUUGCUUGAGAAAAUGAGCUGAUCAUAUGUCAAUUGAUGGCCAAGAAGGUCCCCCAAUCUGAUCUAUGGAGCAUGACAUUUCAUAAAACUCUGUUUCUAGAGAAAAAAAAAAAAAUUAACAGCUUCUUAGGAUUGCAGCAUCAGGUGACUUAGCAUUUCCAGUAUGAAUGAAUUAUAAGAUAGAUGAUGCUGCAAAAAUGAAUAGAGAUAAAAAUUAAGCAAGAGAAAAUGUUUGAAUGUUAUUAUUUAAACCUUUUGUAGUGUUUAAGAGUGACUAACUAUCCCAAUCAACUCAAAACACUUCCCAAGAUCACAACCAAACAAACAAGAUGCACCAAGAAUCAAUCCAGCAGAAUACACACAGAUUAUUAGAACUGAAAGAAAUAAAGAAAAGAACAAGAAUUAACGUGGUUCAGCUAGCUUCAGUCUAGCUUACAUCCACGGGAGAAACAGAACCCAAUUCUAUUGAUUGUUCAAAGAAGUUACAGAGAGUUUAUCAAGCUUGUUACAGAGUCUCUCAAGAAGCCUUUGGUUUCCAGUCUUCUCAACUCACAAUAGCUCUUUCAUCACCCCUCUCUGUUGCCAGAAUCAGCUGUAUAUAACAGCUCGUUAACGAAUCAGCAACCAACCCAGAAAACCACGUGACAGUCAUGUGAGUUAACUGAUUCUAACGAACCAAGAACGCAACUUAUCCGUGCACGUGAAACUCUCGUGCAUCACUUAACCAAAACGACCUUCAUACAUGUCGUUCCAGGAGAUACGAGUUUGACUUUCCAAAACGCAGCAUCAGCUGACGUUUUCAACAACAGAUUUGCUUCACAUCACAACACCUUUUCCAGUGAUUGUAGAGAUAAUUUCUUUGUAUUGAACACUUUCACCAUCUGAAAGAUAAGGAAAAUAUUAAAAGAAAAAAGAAAAUUCUUAAAUCUUUUCCAUGUCAUUCUAGCAAAGUUGAAUUGUGAUUCUUAACCCUACACCACAAUGUAAGGUGGCCUGUGGCCUGUGGGUAACACACAAUUUGACAACCCCAUAUAUUAAGUAAUCUAGAUGGAGGACAUUAUAUUUUUCAAUUUUUUAAUUUUUGUUCUUUUUUUUUUAAUUCAAACGACACCUCUUUCAUUGUGGCAUUGGAAUGUAUAGAGAUUUGCACACUGAUUUUGGACCAUACUUCACAAAUAAUGCGACGCACAUCUUUCUUUCAGUACUUCUUCAGGAGGAUAAGCUACAGACGUUGUUGUCCUUUUACCUGAAGCAAGUGCAUGUGCAUGAAUUGUUGUUGUCUGUUAAUCUGCUGCCACUUUGCUGCCAAAAACUUGAAAAAUAAACCGGGAAAAUUUUCAAUAAGCAAAGUCAAACAACUAACCCCUGUUUUAAGUUAUAUUCCUAAGAAAACUUUUAACACUCAAAUAAAGCACACAGCUAAAGUAUUUCUAUCACAUUAGGUUUCGAGUGAGGUUUGAUUUACAUUUAUAUCAGAUAUACCAAGUGUUUUUUCUUCUUUUAAUUAAUGUAUAUUCCUAAGAAAACUUCUAAUUGAUUAUCCACAUAUAUAAACAAACCUAGCUCGCAAUGUGAAAUAUAUUAAAACAGCAACCAUAAGAUUUUCAAACAUUUAAAUUAACGGUGAUGAUAUUUCCACCCCAUGAAUUUUAUAAACCCACCCAUUUUUAAAAAAAAUAUUAUAAUCAGUUCACAUUAUUUUUAAAAAAUUUAAAUUAAGAAGAAAUUAAAAAAUUGAUCAAUAAAUUCAUAUUCAUUUCUUUUUUAAACUGUGUUUCUUUAUUAUAUUUAAUCAAUAAGAUUGCUUUAACAUAAAUUAGUAUGACUAUUUUACCCUCAUAAGGUAAAAGUACCAAAAUAUCUAAAAAUUUACUUUAACUUUAAUAAAUUUUUAUGCAAUUUUUUUAUAUUUUAAUGAUGUAUUAGUAAUUGUUAGUACAAUUAUUAUUACUCCACUAAACUAACAAGAUAUAAUUAGGACAUGUGGUGAAUUGAAAAUAAUUAAAUUUUAUAUAAUACAUAUUGGAUUAUAAAAUAUAAAAAAAAUGUCUAAGCAAUUAGUUACAAUAAUAUAUAUAUAUAUAUAUAUAUAUAUAUAUAUAUUUCUUAGAGUAAUUUGGUAAUUUUAUAUUACAAGGGAAAAAUAAUCAAAUUAAAUUUAUCUUGAAGCGCUUCAAAAGUUAAAGAUUGUUAAAAGACUAAGUCGGAAAAAAUAAGAAAAAAUAUUAUAAAAUUAAUUUAAUUAAUUAAUUAUUUAAAUUUUUUAUUAAUUUAUAAUUUUAUAAAAUAAUAUGAACUUAUUGUAAUUAUUUUAUAUAGGUGGACUGGGUUUAUAAAAAUAGCGGGGUGGAUAUACUUACACCCUUGAAUUAAUAGUUAGUAUAAAUUUUAGAUAUCUCCCCUAAAAUUUGACUUUGCUACACUUAGAGAGAAUGUAAACAUAUAUUGACAAUAUACCCCUUGGUCGUGUAUAAGGGUUAGGCACUGGUUAGGUAGUUGAGGGCAAUAACGUACAUGUUGCAUAUUUUUUUAUUUUUAAAUCUUACAAAAGCUGUUAUACUGUAACUAAUUAGACAAGAGCAGCGAAAAUGCAUACAGUGCUUUGAAGCUAGGGAAGCCCAAGGGGAUAGUAACCCAUUUUCAUUGUCAAUGCCUAGCUUCAUUUCUUCUUUUUUCUCAGCAUAACUUGAUGAGUGCUUAGCUUCAUUUCGAAGGUCGUGACACCAACUGAUUUUAGCAAAAGCAGAGAUACUUUGUGAUGCAGUAAGCUAACAAGUUUCUGAAAUCAACUAUGUUUUAAACCAAAUUCCGGCGACGACCAGCAGCUGAAAAAGCCGGUGAUUAAAGGUCAAUCUANNNNNNNNNNNNNNNNNNNNNNNNNNNNNNNNNNNNNNNNNNNNNNNNNNNNNNNNNNNNNNNNNNNNNNNNNNNNNNNNNNNNNNNNNNNNNNNNNNNNGGCAUUUUGGUCUUUUCACACUCAAUUGAGUUUUGUCUUAUUAUAAGAAUUUGUAAUGUCAACAACAAUUAUCAUAAGGGUAUAAUAGCCUUUCACCCCCCCAGGCGCAAAAAAAAAAAUUGCCCCAAAUAUAAAGAUCAUCUACAGUGUCAAUUAAUUAUGAAGGGCAUUAUUGCACAUUCACUCAACUACCUAACGGGUGCCUAACCUUCAUACAUGGCCGGGGGUAUGUUGUCAAUAUAUGGAUACAUUCUCUCUAAGUGUAGCAAAGCCAAACCUCAGGGGUGGUUUCUAAAAGUUUUCCUAAAUAGUUAAUAAUUUUAUACAACAGAUUCUUGGAUACCCCUCAAGUUCACUUAUUCUACGUUAUGGCUGACUUUCAAGAAAUUAAAUUCUACAUUAUGACCCCUAGGGAAACAACGUAGCCAAUAAAAUUAUAAAAUAUAUGUGUGUAAUAGUUGUCAAACCUGAACCUAUGUCGUUUAGCAAUUUACAAAAUGAGAAAGACGACAAAAGCCAAGUGUUAAGAGUGGCAGUGAGCCAACGAGACAAGCUCAAGUUCACUGUGUUUUUGUUGAACCUUCUGAAGACCCGAAACUCGAGGUUUGUUUUUCACGUUCCCUAAUCGUUUGACUACAUUUUAAUUCUGUGCUACGCUCGUUAAGAACUGUUCAGGCUUAUGAACUGUUCAGGCUAAGUGUUCGACGAAAUUCCUAAGUGAGUAUAUAUAAUGGUUUGCUCUUGUAUUUAUUCUGUUAUAGAAGGUUUUGCUUUGGGUGGUUAAAUAGAGGAGAUUAGACAUUGAACUUUAUGCACUUGUAUGUUUUCAAGUAAUUGUUUGCUGAGGCACAUGUACUUUGAAUGGCUUCAUUCAUCUACAGAGAUAUCAUAACAUUUUUGCUUAAUGUGAGUCUUAUUGUUGUUAAUUUGUCCAAAGUGAAGGCUUUUUUAACUUUUAUUUCUUUGAUUUAUUUAUUUAUUGGUGUGUCGAAGUUCUGUGUCUCAACUUUAUUUGAUAAGUUCUUUCAGACUACUAAUUAGAAGAAACAAAUGCUAGAGAGUGAGUAUGAGAGGGAAUGAUGUUUGGGCAAGGGGUGAUUUGUUCACUUGGCUCAUGAAGGACCCCAACUAUAAUGACAUGUAUCAAUUUCGCAGCCUAAUUGGAAGGUAAGCUCAUUUCUUGAUUUCCUUCAAUUUUCACUUUCAUUUUACUGUUUUCAAGUAGUAGGUAAUCUAAAUAAAAGUAAAAUCAGUAGUGAUUUGCUUCAAGUGCAUAUGGAUAGUAUAUCACAUGUGAGAAGAUUGUAUUUGUUAUAUGAAAAUCCUUAAUAACUGUAAUGAAAAAAUAUAUUCUCAAACCUGAUCGUGGAAUGUACUAUUUCUUAAUAUCUGAGUUUGGAUCCACACAUUUUUUGCCAUGCAAUUUGACAAGUUGUCAUGUCCUCAUAUUCUGCGCUAUCAUAAGUUUUGCCAAUCUGCAUAGGUGUUUAAUAGAUUGAGUUAAUCUAGUUUCGAGAGCAUGCCUUACUAAAGGGCAUCGAGUUUCUAAGUGAGGGCAAGCACAACUAUAAUUAUCUAUUUCAUAUCCUCCCUAUCAGCGGGGCAGGUCUGUUACCUCUAAAUUCUUUCAAUAACUUGGGGACGUUAAUCCUAUUAAUGACAGCCACAUAUUAUAAGUCAAGAAAACUGAUUUUUUGAUUAUUGAAAAAUCAAAUUUUUUGUAUUAUUCUAUUUAUGAUCUCAGUAACCUACAUGUUGCGAUUGUCUUGUAUGGAUCAUUGUUUCUCUUUUAAGCUGUUAUAGUGACAAUUUUUAGCUCUUAUUGCAGUUCUUAAAGUCAUUGCAAGCACAUGUUCUGUCGAUCUCCAUAAAUUCAGAUACAUAUGCAUAGUUAGCUAUUCAAACAACCACACUGGCAUUUAACUUCGAUAUUCAGAAAUAUGGCUGAAGUGAAGCUUCAUGGGGCAUGAGCGAGUGAAUUUUGUUACAGAGUGAUAUGGGCUCUGAAAUUGAAAGGCAUAGCAUAUGAUUACAUUGAAGAAGAUCUCUCUAACAAAAGUGCUUUGCUUUUGAAGCAUAAUCCAGUUCACAAGAAGGUCCCAGUGCUUGUUCAUGACAAAAAAUCAGUUUGCGAGUCCAUUGUUAUCCUUGAAUACAUUGAGGAGAUGUGGCCACAGAAUCCCUUAAUGCCAAAUGAUCCUUAUGAUAGGGCUCUGGCUCAUUUUUGGAUUAAAUUUGCCGAAGAUAGGGUUUUGCUUCAGAACUCUAGCUAAUGCCUUUAUAAGUUCAUUAUUUUCAUGUUUAUUAGUUAUUAGAGAAAAUGAUCAGUAUCCCCCAUUGUAUGUCAAAAUUAAUUAUUUGUUCUUUUAUGUUUUAAAACCUAUCAAAAUCUCCAUUGUCGUUCAAAAGAUUCUGUUAACCUUCAAUUUUUUUGUCUUUUACUAAUUUUACCUCUGGAAAAAUUUUUAUUAAUAGGAAGUUGAAAGUUUAAUAGAAUUUUUUUAACGGCAAGGGAAAUUUUGAUGGCUUUUGAAAUAUGAGAGAGAAAAGGAUUAAUUUACCAAAACAACAUUGUGGUUUUGUUGUUCAUUUACCCUUUGUCAUUCAAUGUAGUUGUUAACCUCUAGUAUAAGGGUGCUUGACAAAUGACAAGGAUAUGUAUUGGCUAAGUCUUUUAGUUCAUACAUAUUAUUAAUCAUGUGAUGAUAUUUUGGCGGGGAGCUACUGUUUGGAAAAUGUUUCGUAGCGUACAAGAUCAAGAGAAUACAAUGAAAGAAAUCUUGGAAAUGCUAAAAACCGUUGAAGAACAUGGCUUAGGAGAGAAGUAAUUUUUUCAUGGAGACAAGAUUGGCUUAGUGGACAUAGCAUUUGUUUCCAUUGUUUAUUGGUUGCAAAUCAUUGAAGAUGUAGCAGGAGUGAAACUAUUUGAAUUUCACAAAUUCACUCGCUUGCACGCAUGGUUUGAAAAAUUUAAACGAGUCCCAGAAAUUGAAGAGAACCUUCCUAAUUGGGGUGAACUAUUGGUUUUUUUCAAACGUCGCCGUGAAAAGUUGGUGGCCUCUUCCUCAUUGCAUUAGCACAAAAUUCGUGCAAUUGUAUUGUUGUCAAGAGGCCGCUCUUUGCUUAGUUUUUGAUUAUCUUGUGUGCUCAAUUGGGAGGCCCCGCUUUGCUGGGUACUUUCGUAUGGAUUUGAGUAAUAAUGGGGACUUGACUUUAUAUUUAUGAAUUAUUGCAUGUAUUUCGUUAAUUAUUAAUGGACUACUGACGGUUAUGUAUUGUUUGGGAAUUGUUUGGGAGGAAGUUUAAAAGCUGAUAUAUACUAAUGACUUGAAGAAAAGUCAACUUAUUUGAAGUAAUAUAACUCUAAAAAAUCAGAAGAAAAACUCUUUGUGGAAAAAGAUAGUUCUGGUAAACAUGCCCAGUAUUAAAGGGUAUUAUCGAAACUUAAAUGUGAAUGGUUAGAGCCAACAUGUGAACAGUACACCAUUAUGAAAAGAUUUUUUUUUUUCGCUAAGAAUAACAAGCCAAUAGGACUUUAGUGAUUUUUUUUAGAUCUAAUUUCUUGAGAGACUUCUUCAUCUUCUUCUUCCUUUAUGGUUGGGGUUUCUUUCUCCAUUUUAACACCACCAUAGGAAAUUUUAACCAUCUAUCUCCCAAAGAAGCCUUUUCCCUUACUCUUCUCCUGGAAAACUCUCUAAUCUCUAUAAAACUCAUAUCUCCCUCAUGUCAUUAUUCCUCAUAACCAACCUUUAAUAAAGUUUUGUCCAUAUUAUAAUGCAAAUUAUGUAAUACUUCAUUUAUAUAGUGGAUUGGAGAUGAGUUACUCUUAUGGAUGUAGAUCAAAGGGCCGAACAAUGUAAAAUCUUAUGUGUUCUCUAUUGUUUAUGCUUAUUUUCUAUUUAUUAGGAUGAUGAUAAUACUCAAAUCGUAUUCCAUACAUGAGCUCAUAUAGAGGCAUAGCACGAGCUCUAUUGAGCUCCCCAGAUAAGCUCUAUAGUUAAAGCUAUCCUCGAAUUCGCUAGAGCUACUUCCUAAACUCUCUUGAGCUCCCCAAAUCAAUUCUUUAAACUAAAUCCCAUGAGCUCCAUAGAGAUUACCUCCCAAAACACUUCAAUUUACCUCUCAAAUUACCUCAGUUCACCUUCCAGAUCACCUUAGUUAUUUCUUUUGUCCUUAACAGUAGAAAAACACACCUAGAUUUUUACUAGCUCAAUCUCCCCUCAAAUAUAAAUUUAUUUAUUUAAAUUAUAUUUAACCUUGUUCUGGUGAGGACAACCACUAAAUGAUUCAAAUCAGAUCCUAGAGAAAAUCCGAUGAAAACAUGUAUCUAUGUAUAAUAUUUAACAUCACCCUAACAAUCAAUACGAAUGCACUUGGAUUUAUUCUUAAUAGUACACAAAGUGGAAAAAGCAUGACAAGCAACACUUGCACACUCGAGGCUCAAUAUAAGCACAAACGUCAUAAUUCCAAGCAACAAACAAUGACCAUCAUUACUAAUUUUUUCUGAAAGCCACCAAAUUGGAAAAGUACUGCCAAGCAAUUAAUUAACGACUGCGACUUGCCAGCCUAAGCUUAUCCAAUGCUGAGAGUUCAUUAUUCUUCAAGGUUUGGUUAAUGUAAAUAUCUUUUAGAGUAAUUUCAGGGUAGAGCGGAGGAUUUUCUUCUGAUAGCAACUGUUUAAUUGGACCAUAUCGUCUCGAGCAACUAUUAUUCAUGAAAAACUUCCGAUUGAAAUUCUGGAGCCUUCCUUAUUUGAUAACACUCUAUAAUAGGCACUCUUGAACUUAUCAUUGGUAAUCAGCUGCAUAAACACAAACACGUUGGUAAUCAGCUGCAAAAACUCACACUUCAUAUAAACCAUAAUUAAGUUAUCUGAUAGAGAUUCAUGCUUGGGUGUUGACGUUCACAUGAAAUUUUGUAAGGACGAUUCUUUCACAGUAUUGUGAAAGAACGUUUCCGUACAAAAUUUAGUGCGAACGUCCCACUUGAGAAUUUUCAAUCUGAUGGAUAGUAUUUCUUAAUAAGUUAUCUAACACACACUUGCCUGCAUCAUGUAGCCUAAGUUUACAACUAGAGUUCCCGGAACAGGGGCAAUGUCAAACCAUUGAUCUUCGUGAAAGACUUGGAGGCCACCAAUUUGAUCUUGUAUGAGCACAGUGACAAAUUUAGGGUCAGAAUGUGUUGCUAUGCCGAUGGACAAUUCUGGUUGAGGGUAUUCAGGGUAAUAACCAUUCCCAAUAGUCAUUUCCUCUACACAACCUAUGUCUUUCAGGUAAUUGAGGUCAAGCCCUAAAGCUUCGGAUAGAAGUUCAAACAGAGUAUCCCCUGUUUUCCACAUUAGGUUGUUGUAUGCGAUCAUUAUCUCUCUGCAAAUUAAUAAAGACAAAAAAUAAUCACUACUAAAAGAAAGGGAGAAUGGCAUUUCGACUUUUAGAAAUUUUUUUUUUAUUGGGUUAACAACUAGAUGAAAUGAGAGUAAUAAAAACUUAUUAGGAACCCAAGUGAUGCAAAACGUUUUAAGAAAGAUGCGAGUGUUAUCCACUGUAAAAGAAAUAAAAUCUAUUGGUCAUCGUCCACAUACCUGCAAGCUUCAGGCAAAUCUUCAGGAUUUGAAAAAUCGCGACCCAUAACACAACUCAAAGUAUCUUUCAGUUAAGGAAGCUCAUUGUGCUAAGUUUAUGAAGAACAUGAAGGCAAAGAAGUUCUCAGUCUUAGUCAGUGAAGCAAGUCAAUAGUGCCAGCUCAUCAGUGCCAGAUCAGCAGAAUUAGUUACGGGAAUUAACAAGUCAGCAUAAGUUGUUAAUGCUUGUUACUAGUUUCUUUAGCAUGUGUAUGUAAAUAUCUUCAAGUAUAUAAGCUGUAGAAGUUCAGUUGGUAUGUAACGAAAAAGAAUUAAGAAAUAAGAACUUUGAUUUUUCAUCUGUAAAUUUUCUCUUGAAACCAACAGCCUUUAACUUUCUUUCAUGGUAUCAGAGCCAACCAUGGCUAGUUCCAGUACACCUAAUCAAGUUCAUUCCACAAACAAUCAAUUUCAAUCUACGCAAACUUCAUUUACUUUUGCUGCGACUGUAAACUCGAUCGAUCGAAUUUUCUUCUUUGGCGCAAACAAGUACUGACGUCAAUCAGAGGAAAUCGACUUGAAGGAUUAAUCUCAGAAGGUCAGAAUAUUCCAGAAUAGUAUCUAUCUCAAUCAAGAGCUGACAGAUCUAUGGAGAAGAUUGAGAAUCCAGCUUAUGUUAAUUGGAGAGCUCAGGAUCAGACUCUGCUUAGCUGGCUUCUUUCAACAAUAAGUGAAAGUAUUCUAAGCUCAGUUCUCAAUUAUGAUACUUCCUUCGAUAUUUGGAGAUCCAUUGAAAAACAAUUUAGAGUUCAAUCCGAAGCAAAAAUAAUGCAACUUAGAUAUGAAUUGGACACUUUGAGAAAAGAAUCAAUGUCAGUUGAAGAAUAUUGCUCAAAAAUGAAAACUCUUGUGAAUAAGCUUGCUUGUGCUGGUGAUAAUAUAACUGAAAAAGAUCUGUUGAUUAGGACUCUUAAUGGAUUAGGAUCUGGUUAUUUGGAUCUAGCUUCCAUAAUCAUAGCUAAUAAAAUGAACUUUGAUGAUGCGUAUGCACUGUUGUUGACACAUGAAGCUCGAUUAGAACAGAAUUAGAAUCCACAGCCUAUGUUUAAUGCCAACUAUAGUAUGGUGAAUGCAAAUUAUGCAAAUUCUUCGCAUAUGAGAGGUUUUCCUAGGAAAUGCUUCUAAUGGUCAAUAUGGAGGAAGAGUUCAGUAUUUUGGUCAUGGUAUGUUCUCUACUUCUUAUCCUAGAGGUUUUCCAGCUGGUAAUGGUGGUUUUGGUAGAGGGAAUGAUGUUGCAAGUUUUGGCAGAAAUCAGUUUCAACAUUUUCACAGACCACCACACAUCAGAAAUAUGUUUUCUCACGCACAUAAUCAAAACAAUUCUACUGGUGAACAUAAUGAACUGACACCUAUAUGCCAAAUAUGUCAUAAGCAAGGUCACACUGCUGAUGCUUGCUGGUAUCGAUAUGGUGAUAAUUACCUUCUUAAGAAUUUUGGCAUAGGUAAAAUGAUGGGAUCAAAGGCUGCUUAUAUGGCUAAUUUUGAGUCAUUUCCUUAUCAACAGUCAACAGAGGAAGAUUCUUAUGGAGUUGCAGAUAUUAACUACAGCUAUCAACCAGUGAAUUACUCACCUGUCUCUUCUUAUCAAUCUGAAGCUUUUACUUUCUCGGAAGCUUAUGUUGCUAACCUUGAAGGCUCAUCAGAUGAAGGGUGGUAUCUUGAUAGUCGGGCCACACAUCACAUUACAAAUAACAUGGGAAACAUGCAUGUGAGAGAAGAGUUCAGAGGUGCAGACCAGCUGACCAUUGGCAAUGGACAAGGUGUGAUUAUUACUCAUAUUGGUGAUGCUUGCUUUAGCUAUAAAAGUCUUAAUGCUGCCCACAAACACACACCUAUAGCACUUAAGGAUAUCUUAUUAGUUCCUUCUAUUACUAAGAACUUAAUAAGUAUAUCUAAGUUAACCACUGAUAAUAACCUUUCCAUUGAAUUUGUUGGUAAUGUGUGUUAUGUAAAGAAUUCACUGAAGGGACAAGUACUUCUGCAAGGUCUUGCUGAAAAAGGAUUAUACAAGUUGCUGUUACAAUCAUCUCAGUCAUCUCCUUCCUCUUUCUUGAGUCAAAUUUCUUCAAACAAGCCUCUGUCUAUGCUUUCUACAUGUCAUCUUCAAUUUCCUGUUAUAACGGAUGUCCAGAAUAAAGAUUCAAAGUCUGUAGCUUGUUAUCAAACUGCUGUCAAUUCUUUCUUUCCUUGUAAUGAAUUAGUUAAUAAAGUCAACUUGUUUCAUAGAUGAUUUGGUCAUCCUCAUUAUGAUGUACUAGUGCAUUUACUUAAGAAUGAUCAGUCUAUCAAUAUCUCUACUUCCAUUAUUAAACAAGCUGCACAACAAAUAUGUGAGGUAUCUCAAAUGGGUAAGGUUCAUAGGCUUCACUUCCCUGCAACUAAAACCAAAACUUCCCACAUACUUAAACUUAUUCUUACUGAUUUGUGGGGUCCUUCCCCUUAUUCUUCCAGAGUUGGUUAUGUUUAUUACAUCAGCUUUGUUGAUGAUUUCAGUAGGUACACUUGAAUCUAUCCACUGAAACUGAAAUCAGAAGCCUUACAAAUUUUCAAACUCUUCAAACUGCAAGUUGAAAAACAAUUCCAGUGUUCCAUUAAAAAGUUACAAUCUGACUGGGGGGGAGAAUAUCGAGCAUUCACUGAAUUUUUGAACCAAAAUGGAAUUAUUUUUAGACACUCUUGUCCAUACACACAUCAUCAAAAUGAGGUAGUUGAGAGAAAGCACAGACACAUUGUUGAGUUAGGACUUACACUUCUAACUCAAGCUAAAUUACCCUUAAACUUUUGGUGGGAAGCUUUCCAAACCUCAGUCUAUCAUAUUAAUAGGUUGCCUUUUGCAACUUUGAAAUUUCUUACUCCCUAUGAAAAGCUCUUCAAUCAUAAGCCAGAUUACAAAAUGCUCAAGUGCUUUGGUUGUGCAUGCUAUCCUUACUUGAGAGAUUAUAAUAAGUAUAAGUUUGCCUAUCAUUCUAACAAGUAUGUCUUUAUUGGUUACAGUCCUUCUCAUAAAAGGGUAUAAAUGUUUGCAUCCAUAUGGUCAGGUCUAUAUAGCUAGACAUGUCAUAUUUGAUGAGCAUUCCUUUUCUUACUCAUCAGAUUCUGUUUUCACUUCAAAUAAUUCAUGUCAACCUCUGUCAUUUACUCCUCAACAAGUGUAUCAUCUAUUCACUUUGUCAAUACCUUCUAAUUCAAAUGACAGUAACUCUUAUAAUCCUGUUUCUGUAAGUUCUACCAGCAGCAGUUCUCAUCAUUCAGUGAAUCAUACACAUAACAAUGACUCUCAGCCUUUGCCACAAAUAUUUGAGCCACAUACAGAAUCUCAUCAUUCCCUGCCUACUCAAUCAUUCACUACCAACACACUCUCUCCAUCACAAAUUUUAACCAACAUCAUUUCCACAACACUUUUGCUCCNNNNNNNNNNNNNNNNNNNNNNNNNNNNNNNNNNNNNNNNNNNNNNNNNNNNNNNNNNNNNNNNNNNNNNNNNNNNNNNNNNNNNNNNNNNNNNNNNNNNNNNNNNNNNNNNNNNNNNNNNNNNNNNNNNNNNNNNNNNNNNNNNNNNNNNNNNNNNNNNNNNNNNNNNNNNNNNNNNNNNNNNNNNNNNNNNNNNNNNNNNNNNNNNNNNNNNNNNNNNNNNNNNNNNNNNNNNNNNNNNNNNNNNNNNNNNNNNNNNNNNNNNNNNNNNNNNNNNNNNNNNNNNNNNNNNNNNNNNNNNNNNNNNNNNNNNNNNNNNNNNNNNNNNNNNNNNNNNNNNNNNNNNNNNNNNNNNNNNNNNNNNNNNNNNNNNNNNNNNNNNNNNNNNNNNNNNNNNNNNNNNNNNNNNNNNNNNNNNNNNNNNNNNNNNNNNNNNNNNNNNNNNNNNNNNNNNNNNNNNNNNNNNNNNNNNNNNNNNNNNNNNNNNNNNNNNNNNNNNNNNNNNNNNNNNNNNNNNNNNNNNNNNNNNNNNNNNNNNNNNNNNNNNNNNNNNNNNNNNNNNNNNNNNNNNNNNNNNNNNNNNNNNNNNNNNNNNNNNNNNNNNNNNNNNNNNNNNNNNNNNNNNNNNNNNNNNNNNNNNNNNNNNNNNNNNNNNNNNNNNNNNNNNNNNNNNNNNNNNNNNNNNNNNNNNNNNNNNNNNNNNNNNNNNNNNNNNNNNNNNNNNNNNNNNNNNNNNNNNNNNNNNNNNNNNNNNNNNNNNNNNNNNNNNNNNNNNNNNNNNNNNNNNNNNNNNNNNNNNNNNNNNNNNNNNNNNNNNNNNNNNNNNNNNNNNNNNNNNNNNNNNNNNNNNNNNNNNNNNNNNNNNNNNNNNNNNNNNNNNNNNNNNNNNNNNNNNNNNNNNNNNNNNNNNNNNNNNNNNNNNNNNNNNNNNNNNNNNNNNNNNNNNNNNNNNNNNNNNNNNNNNNNNNNNNNNNNNNNNNNNNNNNNNNNNNNNNNNNNNNNNNNNNNNNNNNNNNNNNNNNNNNNNNNNNNNNNNNNNNNNNNNNNNNNNNNNNNNNNNNNNNNNNNNNNNNNNNNNNNNNNNNNNNNNNNNNNNNNNNNNNNNNNNNNNNNNNNNNNNNNNNNNNNNNNNNNNNNNNNNNNNNNNNNNNNNNNNNNNNNNNNNNNNNNNNNNNNNNNNNNNNNNNNNNNNNNNNNNNNNNNNNNNNNNNNNNNNNNNNNNNNNNNNNNNNNNNNNNNNNNNNNNNNNNNNNNNNNNNNNNNNNNNNNNNNNNNNNNNNNNNNNNNNNNNNNNNNNNNNNNNNNNNNNNNNNNNNNNNNNNNNNNNNNNNNNNNNNNNNNNNNNNNNNNNNNNNNNNNNNNNNNNNNNNNNNNNNNNNNNNNNNNNNNNNNNNNNNNNNNNNNNNNNNNNNNNNNNNNNNNNNNNNNNNNNNNNNNNNNNNNNNNNNNNNNNNNNNNNNNNNNNNNNNNNNNNNNNNNNNNNNNNNNNNNNNNNNNNNNNNNNNNNNNNNNNNNNNNNNNNNNNNNNNNNNNNNNNNNNNNNNNNNNNNNNNNNNNNNNNNNNNNNNNNNNNNNNNNNNNNNNNNNNNNNNNNNNNNNNNNNNNNNNNNNNNNNNNNNNNNNNNNNNNNNNNNNNNNNNNNNNNNNNNNNNNNNNNNNNNNNNNNNNNNNNNNNNNNNNNNNNNNNNNNNNNNNNNNNNNNNNNNNNNNNNNNNNNNNNNNNNNNNNNNNNNNNNNNNNNNNNNNNNNNNNNNNNNNNNNNNNNNNNNNNNNNNNNNNNNNNNNNNNNNNNNNNNNNNNNNNNNNNNNNNNNNNNNNNNNNNNNNNNNNNNNNNNNNNNNNNNNNNNNNNNNNNNNNNNNNNNNNNNNNNNNNNNNNNNNNNNNNNNNNNNNNNNNNNNNNNNNNNNNNNNNNNNNNNNNNNNNNNNNNNNNNNNNNNNNNNNNNNNNNNNNNNNNNNNNNNNNNNNNNNNNNNNNNNNNNNNNNNNNNNNNNNNNNNNNNNNNNNNNNNNNNNNNNNNNNNNNNNNNNNNNNNNNNNNNNNNNNNNNNNNNNNNNNNNNNNNNNNNNNNNNNNNNNNNNNNNNNNNNNNNNNNNNNNNNNNNNNNNNNNNNNNNNNNNNNNNNNNNNNNNNNNNNNNNNNNNNNNNNNNNNNNNNNNNNNNNNNNNNNNNNNNNNNNNNNNNNNNNNNNNNNNNNNNNNNNNNNNNNNNNNNNNNNNNNNNNNNNNNNNNNNNNNNNNNNNNNNNNNNNNNNNNNNNNNNNNNNNNNNNNNNNNNNNNNNNNNNNNNNNNNNNNNNNNNNNNNNNNNNNNNNNNNNNNNNNNNNNNNNNNNNNNNNNNNNNNNNNNNNNNNNNNNNNNNNNNNNNNNNNNNNNNNNNNNNNNNNNNNNNNNNNNNNNNNNNNNNNNNNNNNNNNNNNNNNNNNNNNNNNNNNNNNNNNNNNNNNNNNNNNNNNNNNNNNNNNNNNNNNNNNNNNNNNNNNNNNNNNNNNNNNNNNNNNNNNNNNNNNNNNNNNNNNNNNNNNNNNNNNNNNNNNNNNNNNNNNNNNNNNNNNNNNNNNNNNNNNNNNNNNNNNNNNNNNNNNNNNNNNNNNNNNNNNNNNNNNNNNNNNNNNNNNNNNNNNNNNNNNNNNNNNNNNNNNNNNNNNNNNNNNNNNNNNNNNNNNNNNNNNNNNNNNNNNNNNNNNNNNNNNNNNNNNNNNNNNNNNNNNNNNNNNNNNNNNNNNNNNNNNNNNNNNNNNNNNNNNNNNNNNNNNNNNNNNNNNNNNNNNNNNNNNNNNNNNNNNNNNNNNNNNNNNNNNNNNNNNNNNNNNNNNNNNNNNNNNNNNNNNNNNNNNNNNNNNNNNNNNNNNNNNNNNNNNNNNNNNNNNNNNNNNNNNNNNNNNNNNNNNNNNNNNNNNNNNNNNNNNNNNNNNNNNNNNNNNNNNNNNNNNNNNNNNNNNNNNNNNNNNNNNNNNNNNNNNNNNNNNNNNNNNNNNNNNNNNNNNNNNNNNNNNNNNNNNNNNNNNNNNNNNNNNNNNNNNNNNNNNNNNNNNNNNNNNNNNNNNNNNNNNNNNNNNNNNNNNNNNNNNNNNNNNNNNNNNNNNNNNNNNNNNNNNNNNNNNNNNNNNNNNNNNNNNNNNNNNNNNNNNNNNNNNNNNNNNNNNNNNNNNNNNNNNNNNNNNNNNNNNNNNNNNNNNNNNNNNNNNNNNNNNNNNNNNNNNNNNNNNNNNNNNNNNNNNNNNNNNNNNNNNNNNNNNNNNNNNNNNNNNNNNNNNNNNNNNNNNNNNNNNNNNNNNNNNNNNNNNNNNNNNNNNNNNNNNNNNNNNNNNNNNNNNNNNNNNNNNNNNNNNNNNNNNNNNNNNNNNNNNNNNNNNNNNNNNNNNNNNNNNNNNNNNNNNNNNNNNNNNNNNNNNNNNNNNNNNNNNNNNNNNNNNNNNNNNNNNNNNNNNNNNNNNNNNNNNNNNNNNNNNNNNNNNNNNNNNNNNNNNNNNNNNNNNNNNNNNNNNNNNNNNNNNNNNNNNNNNNNNNNNNNNNNNNNNNNNNNNNNNNNNNNNNNNNNNNNNNNNNNNNNNNNNNNNNNNNNNNNNNNNNNNNNNNNNNNNNNNNNNNNNNNNNNNNNNNNNNNNNNNNNNNNNNNNNNNNNNNNNNNNNNNNNNNNNNNNNNNNNNNNNNNNUUGGUUCACUUCAACUAUCUAAGGAACAAACUCAAUGUGCAGCCUUGCCCCUUGAGUUUGAGGGGGGCUGUUAAGGAAGCUCAUUGUGCUGAGUUUAUGAAGAACAUGAAGGCAAAGAAGUUCUCAGUCUUAGUCAGUGAAGCAAGUCAAUAGUGCCAGCUCAUUAGUGCCAGAUCAGCAGAAUUAGUUACGGGAAUUAACUAGUCAGCAUAAGUUGUUAAUGUUUGUUACUAGUUUCUUUAGCAUGUGUAUGUAAAUAUCUUCAAGUAUAUAAGCUGUAGAAGUUCAGUUGGUAUGUAACGAAAACGAAUUAAGAAAUAAGAACCUUGAUUUUUCCUCUGUAAAUUUUCUCUUGAAACAAACAGCCUUUAACUUUCUUUCACUUUCCAAAAGAGGGUUGGUGCACUAUACAAAUUUAAAUUUGAACAAUAUUUAAUUUUUUUGGAGUAAUCACGAGAAUAAUAUUUCUGCUUAACCUCAACAUCUUGUUGAAAAAAAGCUACGGAUCCCAUCAAUGGCCUGAUCCAAAAUGCUUGUUGGGAUUCCAUGAUUGAUCACUUGAAAGAAACCCCACUUCUCACAAGCACUUCUAAUUUGGUCAAUUACCUGAGAACGCAAACUUGAAUCCUUGAGUAUUCUUUGAAGGUCUAUGAUAGGGAUGCUGAUUUUGGGGUCCCUGCAGAUUGGCUUAUCAUCAAACUUAUGUUUAGUGUGACGAUCUUGAAUGAUGAUCUGUGGAAUGGUUGUGAUCCCAGCAUCUACGAGUCCCUUAACACCAGCUUUCGUGUCAUCAAAAGCUUUCAACUCGCUAACUCUGUCACAAGUAAUGCUUCCCAUUGCUUGGUGAAUUAUCUUUUACCUGGUGAAUUAUGAAGUACAAAUGCUGACUUGCGGGUGAUUGCUUUUGGUAUAUGCCGUUUAUAUGAAUAUGAUUCCUAGCUUGCCACGUGCAACAUGUUGAAAUAUAGCGAUAGCAUGAAGAUGUGGAAAUUUGUAAAAUUUGAUCCUGCGUUAUUUAUCAUGAUUAAAUUAAUUAUAAAUUAUCAAUAAUAGUCAAUUCCGGGGACCACCAAUUACUGGGUGGCACAUCACAAUAAUAAAUUAUCAAUAAUAGUCAAUUCUGCAUUAUUUAAUAUUUAUGUGGAUAAAAUUUCAAUUAGCUACACUACAUUGUUGUUUGAUAGUUAACGGUUCACCUUCUCCAUUUGUAAAUAUUAUUAUGGACUUAUAGUGUGGCUUAAAAGCUAGAUCUUAAAUGAAAAGAAAGCUUUAAUGGUGAAAUAAAAAUUUAAAUAAAUGAUAAAGGGAUUAAAGGUUAACCUAAUGUUAACAAAAAUAAUUGUAAAAUAUACAUGUUUUAUCAUGUUAAUUGAUGUUUUUCCAGUAUGCACAUAAAAAAGAUCUAUUUUACAAUUGUUUCUGUUGGCGUUGGGGCAGAUUUUUUUUUAGUCUAAUUAAGUAUAUCAUAAGUUAAUAAUAGUGCGUAUUUUAACUUUAAUAAAUUUGGCCACUUAGAUUUUUAAUUCUGACUCCUUCCCUAAUCAAUCAAGAAAAAGAAUGCUUUUCUCCAUAAAAAUUAAAAUAGAAAAUUCAGCAAGGACAUAACUGCGGAGAUGUUUGAUCCUGGAUUUAUAUAUCAAAGCAACAUCAAAAUUAUAAUACUUCCUUGCCACCGAGAAGAGAUAUAUUCAAGAGCACUGGCCUUAUAAAGCCUAAACCAUACUAAACUACCUACAUGGAAUCUAAUGCGUACAUGCAAUGCUUUCUAAAGUGAAACUGUCGCUUGAAAAUAGAAUUCAUGUUCAGCAGCCUCUCUCUAUCCGGGCUCCAAUUUUAUAACAAGGCAGCUAAAUAAGAUGAUUUAGAUGGCAUCGGCAUCUGUAGUAUCGUUUGUCUGUAGUCCCUCAUUAUCUACGAUCUGAUCGCUCCCUAUAGUAUUGUUUGCCUGUAGUCCCUCAUUAUCUACGCUCUGAUCACUCCCUAUGUAGAGAAUCGACAAGAGCAAAUUGAAGCACACGUUCACAGCACUAAUAACUGUUAAACUCUUAUAGUACUUGUCAAGCCUACUAUCAUCCAGGGUUUCAGCAAAGUCGCCUUUGUUUGCCAAAAUGAAAAAGAUGUUAAAAAUGCUUCCUAUUCCGACGAAAAAAUAACUUAUUGCUGAUACAUGGUACUCCAUCCGUUCAGGAAAAUGAGAGCUCGAGUAUUCAUCACAUCCAUACCAGGCAAGCCCUUCCAUAAGACCUAAUAGACAGAAUUGUGGAACAAGCCAAAACAUGCUCAUAUUUUACAGUAAAUGUUAAAUUUCACAGCAUGUAAAAUAUAUAUAUAUAUAUACACACACACACACAUACCUAAUAAGAGGAUAUUAGGAGCUUUACCCUUAUAAAAAUAAUGCUAGAGAUCUCAAUAGUUAAGUUACAAUUGAUGUGACAUUAAUUCAUUUUGGCUCCACUUUGAUUAUAAUAAUGAUUAAGAAAAGCAUUUCUAGGAUCAUAAUGUCAUGCUAUACAAUUAGUUCCAACAAUUUUCGUUUCAGGCAUUGGGGCUAUUGUUCUGUACAGCGUCCAGAGAAUUUUCAGAAACCAACUUUGAGCUACUCAACAUGAUAGGAAUUAUCCUGUUAGCAGUGGGUGAAGUUGGAGCGGCGCCUCUUUUGGGACCAUUUCUUGCCGAUCAAUUAAGAGAACAUGGUAAAGGAGGGAGAACAGAAAAUUCAAAUGAGGAUCAAGUAAUGGCUCAGAAAAGAGUGUGGUGGCGGUUUGCCUGGUGCUGUGGUUCAGCUGCGGCAUUCUAUGCAAAUAAUAUUAAGACAUGGAAGAAGACUUUCAUGUUCACAUUGUUGUUUAUGGGGGGCAGUUUGAUCCUCUUGUUGUUGGGUAUUCCCUUUUAUCAUAGUAGACAAAUACCUCCUAUUGACCGUUUUGCUAUAAUCCGCGUUGUUAAAACCUCCCUGAAGAAAAAGCAUCUCAAUUAUCCUCUUUCUCCGGAGCUGUUCUUCAGUAAUGAUGAGGGAAACGUAUUACACUUGUCACCAAGAAUCAAAUUACUCAGGUAUAUGCCCAACAUGUAUACACCCACACCCGGCCCGUGGUCUGGCAAAAUUGUUGGGGAGACCCUCUUAUUUUUAUUAAUAAUUAUAUAAACCUCUUUAUGGACACAUUAAUACCCUUUUGUGUUCGGGAAUAGUCACACCGACCUCCAAGAUUUGUCCAAAAGGGCGUAUUUAUAAACGCGUCUGUGUGAUCAUUUUGCCAAACCAUGAGCUGUCGCUUUCUCUUUUCCUAAAAAAUUACCAAUAAAUUAAUUCUUUGAAUUGCAGAUGGAUAGACAAAGCGGCAAUUAUAGAGACAUCAAGUACUUCUAACGAACAAGAAGAGGCAGGCACACUUUGCACUGUGGCCCAGGUCAGGGAGUCAAAAUCUCUUCUUAAUGCGUACAUGCAAUGCUUUCUAAAGUGAAACUGUCGCUUGAAAAUAGAAUUCAUGUUCAGCAGCCUCUCUCUAUCCGGGCUCCAAUUUUAUAACAAGGCAGCUAAAAAAGAUGAUUUAGAUGGCAUCGGCAUCUGUAGUAUCGUUUGUCUGUAGUCCCUCAUUAUCUACGAUCUGAUCGCUCCCUAUAGUAUUGUUUGCCUGUAGUCCCUCAUUAUCUACGCUCUGAUCACUCCCUAUGUAGAGAAUCGACAAGAGCAAAUUGAAGCACACGUUCACAGCACUAAUAACUGUUAAACUCUUAUAGUACUUGUCAAGCCUACUAUCAUCCAGGGUUUCAGCAAAGUCGCCUUUGUUUGCCAAAAUGAAAAAGAUGUUAAAAAUGCUUCCUAUUCCGACGAAAAAAUAACUUAUUGCUGAUACAUGGUACUCCAUCCGUUCAGGAAAAUGAGAGCUCGAGUAUUCAUCACAUCCAUACCAGGCAAGCCCUUCCAUAAGACCUAAUAGACAGAAUUGUGGAACAAGCCAAAACAUGCUCAUAUUUUCCAAUUGUUUGAGCUUUUCCAACCUGCGAACCUCAACCUGCCAUGCCACUACACAGCAAACUGUAGUCAUCACCAUUCCAAUAAAUGUUCUCAACACUUGAGCUUGUCUCUUUUUAGUUUUUGGAACAAAAUUGGAAAUUAAAUUUUUUGACAGAUAAGAGAUCGUUGCACGAAUUAUCCCUUUAAAAGUUCGUAGAAAGAUUAAGUAUCUUUCAGAAAUCAUGUUGGCUCCCUGCCCAGGAAAAAAUGUAUUUCCUGCUGACAGAACCAAUCCAAACACAAUGAAGCUAGACCACAAUGGCAACAAUUUAAGAAGAGAUUUUGACUCCCUGACCUGGGCCACAGUGCAAAGUGUGCCUGCCUCUUCUUGUUCGUUAGAAGUACUUGAUGUCUCUAUAAUUGCCGCUUUGUCUAUCCAUCUGCAAUUCAAAGAAUUAAUUUAUUGGUAAUUGUUUAGGAAAAAAGAAAGCGACAGCUCAUGGUUUGGCAAAAUGAUCACACAGACGCGUUUAUAAAUACGCCCUUUUGGACAAAUCUUGGAGGCCGGUGUGACUAUUCCCGAACACAAAAGGGUAUUAAUGUGUCCAUAAAGAGGUUUAUAUAAUUAUUAAUAAAAAAAGAGGGUCUCCCCGACAAUUUUGCCAGACCACGGGCCGGGUGUGGGUGUAUACAUGUUAGGCAUAUACCUGAGUAAUUUGAUUCUGGGUGACAAGUGUAAUACGUUUCCCUCAUCAUUACUGAAGAACAGCUCCGGAGAAAGAGGAUAAUUGAGAUGCUUUUUCUUCAGGGAGGUUUUAAUAACGCGGAUUAUAGCAAAACGGUCAAUAGGAGGUAUUUGUCUACUAUGAUAAAAGGGAAUACCCAACAACAAGAGGAUCAAACUGCCCCCCAUAAACAACAAUGUGAACAUGAAAGUCUUCUUCCAUGUCUUAAUAUUAUUUGCAUAGAAUGCCGCAGCUGCACCACAGCACCAGGCAAACCGCCACCACACUCUUUUCUGAGCCAUUACUUGAUCCUCAUUUGAAUUUUCUGUUCUCCCUCCUUUACCAUGUUCUCUUAAUUGAUCGGCAAGAAAUGGUCCCAAAAGAGGCGCCGCUCCAACUUCACCCACUGCUAACAGGAUAAUUCCUAUCAUGUUGAGUAGCUCAAAUUUGGUUUCUGAAAAUUCUCUGGACGCUGUACAGAACAAUAGCCCCAAUGCCUGAAACGAAAAUUGUUGGAACUAAUUGUAUAGCAUGACAUUAUGAUCCUAGAAAUGCUUUUCUUAAUCAUUAUUAUAAUCAAAGUGGAGCUAAAAUGAAUUAAUGUUACAUCAAUUGUAACUUAACUAUUGAGAUCUCUAGCAUUAUUUUUAUAAGGGUAAAGCUCCUAAUAUCCUCUUAUUAGGUAUGUGUGUGUGUAUAUAUAUAUAUAUAUUUUUUUUUUUUUUACAUGCUGUGAAAUUUAACAUUUACUGCAAAAUAAUAAAUUUUUAAUUUAGCCCAAAGUACUAUAAAGUCCUGGGUCCGCCCCUGAAUAUAUAUAUUGCUUGCAAUGAUAGACAUAUGUUUUAAUUUCGUCUCUGUUUAGAAGUUUAGCAAAUUCAAAACAUAUUAACUUACAAGGAUGUAGGAGACAGUUGAAAAAAUGAGGAUUCUGAGAGGACGAAUGGCAUAACACGAAAUCCAGGCGGCAACAACCGUAAGAGUUGCUAAUAUUACAUCCUGAAUACUCGUAAAUAUUGCAGCUUUCUGAAGUGUGAAUACUUUUGAAUAUUCGGAGUUGGAGAAGUAAGUUAUCAAGACGCCCACUAUAGCCAAGUCUACGAGUUUGCGGCUUAUCAACAAACCUGGAAUCAAAAUAAUCAUUAGAAAAAAUGUUCGUGCUCACUAAAAAAAGCUUACACAUGAGGACUGCAAGAACAACGUGAGAGAACUAUUGUCAUGUUUUAUAAUUUAGCCCAACCUAAUCAAAGAUCUUAAGUACACCUCUCUUAACUGAAAUUAUUCUAGGGGAUUAUCUAUUUAGGAAUCUCAAAGUUCAUGAGCUCUUAAUACAUACACACAUACAUAUACAUACAUACAUCAUCAUGUUGUUAAAGUAAUGAUGUUAGUAAAAUACAAAAAAAAUAUAUGUACAUGUAUUAAAUUGUAUGAUUUAACAGAAUUAGUACAAAUAAAUAAAUUACAUGAUUUUGUAGUGCAUUGAAAAUUAAUUUUAUUAAACUAUACAAUUUACUAGUGUGUCUCCAUUAAAAAAAAUAAAGACCCUCAUAUAUAUAUAUAUAUAUAUAUAUAUAUAUAUAUGUAUACAAGUUUAUGUUCUGAAUAAAUACAUUUUUAAAAGAUAGGAUUACCUAAGGCCCCACACGCAAAAUUACCUGACAGAAAUGCAGCAGCCUUACAAAAGCAGACGUAAUAUCGUACCCAAGUUAUGAACCUGUUUUGAAGCUUCAACAGCUGAGAAAAUGGAAACAUUGUAGUUUCUGAAACUGCUUUUAUCUGCAAAGACUUCUACUUGUGAGUUGUGAAUCCCGAGACGAUGAAGAUUUUGUAAUUAUGCCAAAGUCUUUUAGGUAGUUUAUUCAAAUUAAAAAAUAAUAAGUCGCACUUCAAGACCACCUAUUGGUCACAUCAAGACCACCAUUUGGUCACAUAAGUCUUCUUUUUUUUCUUCUAACUUUAAUCCAGCUAGUCAGCUACGGUCCAACAGGUGCACCGUGCCCUCUUUUUGACAGCACCCCUUACUUUCUUCUAUAUUUACAGUUUAUUAAAGUAAUUUCUUUUUCCUCUUUCUUUCACCCCUCACCUUUACAAUCUUCCAAUUUUUUCCAUUUUCAAUUAAACCUGUAAUCAACCAAUUGCAAGCAAUAAGAAAAAAGUUGGCAAGCUAUUUGCUCUAUAAUACACAAGUAAUUAGGGGUGGGCAAAAUACCCGACCCGAUCCGACCCGAAAAAUUUCAGGUUCGGAUUGGAUCGGGUUAUUAAUAUAAUCCGAUCGGAUGAAAUAUUACAAACCCGAUCGGGUUGUGAUCGGAUCGGAUAAAACCCGAUCCGAUCCGAAAACCCGAUCGGGUUGCUAAAAAAAAUAUAUAUAUAUCUAUGGCCAAACACACACACACGGCACACAGCACACCACACAUAAUCACACAAAUCAGUGAAAUCACAUACUCAAAAGGUUACACUUUACAGUUUACACAAACACAAAACACACAAAAACAAAAAAAUCACAACACCCAACCCGUGAACCCACCCUCAAGAAGCAAGAAAACAUUCUCUCCUUCCCGCAAUCUGCUGCUGCCGUGUUGCGAGUCCGGCCAUCUGCUGCUGCGUCAGCGAUCUGCUGUUGCCGUGCUGUUGUCAUGCUGCUGCCGUGUUGCGUCCAGCCAUCUACUGCUGCGUCCACGAUCUGCUGCCGCCGUGCUGCGUCCACGAUCUGCUGCCGCCGUGCUGCGUCCAGCCAUCGCGAGGAAACUGCUGCUGCGUCCACGAUCUGCUGCCGCCGUGCUGCGUCCAGCCAUCGCGAGGAAACUGCUGCGCGUCCAGCCAUGCGCAAGCUGCUGCUGCACGCCCACCGAUCUGCUGCCGAAAACCCAGCCGCCGAUCUGCUGCUCCAAGGCUCAAGCUCCAACCCGACCCGAGUUUCUCCCUUAGUCCCUUAUGUGUUUUGAAUUUUGAAGCUUUCAUGGUGUAUUGGUAUAUAUGUUUUGAAUUGACCCGUUUAAUUUGACCCGAAUUGGUUUAAUUUGACCCGAAUUUAAUAUGAUCCAUUUUUAAUUCGAACCGAUUCAACCCAAAUUCAACCCGAUUUUUUACCCGAUCCGAACCGAUCCGAAUAUAUAUCGGAUCGGAUCGGGUCGGGUUGUAAGUUCGGGUUGUAUUCGGAUCAAUGUUUGCACAACCCGAAUAACUCGAAACUCGAUCGGGUUGACCCGAACCCGAUUUUGCCCACCCCUACAAGUAAUAAUGAAUUGAAGUUUUUAUAUAAAAAAAUUACAUAGAUGUAAUUUUUUUACGCACACUAUUUAUCAUCUACAAUGAAAUUAACAUGUAAGUAAAUUUAUUUUUUUAUCUUUUAUUAUAUGUAUUCUUCCCCUUUCUCCCCCGUAUGUCUUUUCAUUUUCUCUUUGAAUAAUCUAACCUAAGGCUUUCUAAUAAUUGGUUUAUUGUUAUUAUUUUUAUAAGUAAACCUUCUCUUUGUUAUGUCAAUAGGUUUAUUUUAUAAAAAAAAAUUCGUAAAUGACCAAAAGUGAGAACCUUAAUAAAAAUUCAAAACCUAUCUUAGUUUUUGUUGUCUUUGUUGAUGCAUCUUGCAUGUUUGAUGUCUUAAUUAUAACUUGUGAGAGUAAGUACUGUAAUACAAUGAUGAUUAAUGAUUAUUACUAAGAGUAUUCAGAGAAAAAGAAGUUGGUGUAAAAUUUUAUAAACUUUGAGUUUUCUAAAUUUUCACUAAACAAUAGGGAUUGCAUUAUUAAUAACUAAAUAAACACAUCCAUAACCUUGAAACUACAUUUGUGUAAGUUCUUUCUCUUUGUAAUGGUUACGAAGACUGACAAUUUUCUAUUGAAGUUAUUUAUACAUGUAUUUCUUUUUCAGCAUGUAAUACAUUUAGGAAAUGAGUAAUGAUUAAGUACAAACACUUUUAGAUAAACAAUGUUGUACGAACUUAUGUGAUAUUUUUUAGAAAAAAGGAUCUGAACAUCCUUAAGAUUUUAAAAAAUGGUCAUUUAUACUUUGAGUUUUCAAUACAGAACAUCAAGACACUUUUUUACUAUAGUAUUCUUAAUAGAUAAUAACAAAAAUUAUUGAAUUUAAACAUUUUAAUAAAUAUAAAUAAAAUUUAAAUAGUUUAAUAUGUCUAGUAGACUAAUAAUAUUAGAAAUUUCUAGUAGACUAAUAAUAUUAGAACAUUUCUUAAUAUGUAAAUAAUUUUUAAAAGAUAAAUUAGUAUAUUUAUUUUAAUAAUAUAUUUUUACUUAUUAUAAAAAUUGUAAAUAAAUCUUUAGGUUAGAUAGAUUUUAAAUUUAAUAAAAUACAUGUCAUGUACUAAUAAUAUUAAAACUAUUUUAUAUAAUAUUGAAAAUAAUUUAAAUUUUAAAUUUUAAUAUUAUCUUUCGAUUUAUUUUGAAAUUUAGUUUAAUAUAAUUUAAUGUUGUAAAGUAUUAAAAUAUUUUAAAAAUAUUGAAAUUAUUUUAAAAUGUAUAUAUUGUUACAUUUAUUUUAAUAUUAUACUUCUAUUUAUUAUAAAAUAUUAAAAAUAAUAUUUUAAUUAAAAGGGAGUUUUGGUGUCUCUUACUGAAAAAUAGAGUGUACAUAAUCAUUUUUUCAAAUUUUAAAGGGUGUACAUGUCAUUUUUCUUACUUUUUUAUAAUCAAUUGAAUAAAAAAAAAGUCAUCUGGCCACAUAAAUUAUUUCUAAUUUAUAUUUUCAAUCAACAAAUCAUAAUGUGUCAUAUCUAUUUGUAUAAGCAUUUAUGAACAUAAAAAAUUAAGUUUAGGCACUAGUCGGGUUGGAAAUCAACUCAUCCAAACCCAUGUAUAGUGCUAGUUGGGUGAGUUGGACUUAUCUCGAAGACCCAUUUUCUGUCUUUGAAAUAUCAAUAUGAAAUUAAAAUAAUUAAAAAAUAAUUUAAUUGAAACAACUAAAAAUAGAAUACAAAAUUACAAAUAAUAACUAUCCCUGAAACUUCAUUGUUAAUAAAAAUAAUUAUUUGUAUAGGAUCCUAAUUACACCAUAAAAAGUAAUAGGAUGAAUUCAAGAGUUGGGUUUGAAAAUUUUCAACACCUAGUAAAUAUAGUGCAUUUUCUCCACCCCUAUGAAAUUAGGGGUUGGCUUUCUACUUGAUUUUAAGUAGAGAAAAUGAUCAAUCCUACCUUAUUGUUUGUUGAAACUAUAGGGUGAAUUUAAGAGUUGGGUUUGAAAGAUGCAAUAUGUUCAUAUGUAUAUAUGAACAUAUUGCAUCUUCACUAUCUUAUCCCCAGAAUUUUUGCACCAAAUCAUGGUACAAGAAUAAAAAUUCGCAACUCGAAUCAACAAAGUAUAUCACUUAAGUUAUUCUGCAAGCCGCCAAAUUGGAAAAUGUCCCAAAUAAUUAAUUAACCACAUCGACUUGAUAGCUUAACUUUUUCCAACGCUGAGAGUCCUUCAUUCUUCCCUAUUGAGGAUUGGUUAUUGUAAACGUCUGUUGGAGUAACAUGGGGAUAGUGCGGAUGAUUUUUUUCGGAUAGCAACUAUUUAAUUGGACCAUAUUGUCUCGAGCAACUGUUGUUCAUAUAAAAAACUUCCAAUUGAAAUCGUUGAGCCUCGCCUUCUUGACAACACUCUGUGAUAGGCACUCUUGAACGCGACACUGGUAAUUAGCUGCAUAAACAUAUAAAAGAACACUAUAAUUAAGUUAUAUGAUGGAUUCAUAAUAGUCAAAGUUGUGCAUAACAUCUACUUGCCUGCAUCAUGUAGCCUAAGUUUACAACUAGAGCCCCGGAAACUGGGGUAAUAUCAAACCAUUGAUCUUCACAAAAGACUUGGAGGCCACAAUUCGAUCUUGUAUGAGCAUAGUGACAAAUCCAGGGUCAGAACGUAUUGUUACGCCAAUUGUCAAUUUCGGAUGAGGGCUAUCUGGGUAGUGACUAUUCCUAAUAGUCAUUUCCUCUACAGAACCUGUGUCUUUCAGGUAACUGGGGCCAAACCCUAAAGCUUCAGACAAAAGUUCAAACAGAGUGAAUUAGCAAUUGACGUUGUUGGAGAAAAAUCAAUUUUUAUUUUUUUUAAAAAAAAAACUUUUUAGAGUCGAUCUCAUAUAAUAUAUAAGAAUUCAUAAUUUAGAAAUUAUACCUUGAAAAUAUGAGAAAAUGAACAAUCUUUGCUUUUUCUACUGAAGUGAAACAAGGCUCCCAUAUCACGAUUUGUCACCACCACACCUGUUAGAUUACAAUCUGUCACCACCACGCUUGUUAGAUCACGAACUAUCACCAAUGAUUUUCUAGAUUAUGACUCAGGUUUGAUCUGCACUUGACGUGUGGGUGCUUUUAUCACUACCAAUAGCAACUAGUAUGAGAAAAAUUUUCUCUCAAGAUUAAAGAGAAAAAUUCUUUUUCUCUUAUCUGUAUAAUGUGGCCUUAUAUCUUUUCAAGAGAAAAUAAGCCCUUUUAUAUCUUAUCUAGUGGAAAUCCUAAGCUCUAUAUUUUUUAUUUUUUAAUUCUAUUAACACAAGGCCCCUUACACAUAAGCAUAUUACAUGGAGCCUCCCACUAAAUAAUAUAUUUAGGCUUUUAACCCAAAUAGCUAGUUAUUUUACUUAUUAAUCCAGUAGCGGCGCAGUCAAUUAAAUGAGCUAACCCAAAUAUCAUUUGAGAACAUACAAUAGUGGCUACAAUAAUUAGGCAUGUAAUCAAACUAGCCCAAUUAUUUAAUUCUAAAUCUACUCCACUAAAAGAUUGGAACUGACCUCCACAAUUGUAUGCUUGAAUAAUAAUUCAUCCCAAACAACAUUGAUUUCUUUACUGCACAAUCUUUUGUACCACAUCAUUAAUUAAAUUGAUAUCUCACCUGUCCAAUCAAUUUAACUACAUUUUGUUCCUUGAUUCUUACUGGUUUUCUCUAAUGAUCAUUUUCAACAUACUAAAUAUGUCGACACACUCUGACCAAAGAAUUCUAUGAUCAAGUGCCGAAAACCCAUCAAGAGAUGUGUUGUACAAAUUCUAUAUUGUCAAUUUAUAACUCCAAUACUCAUAAUUGGUCUCAUCAAGAUACCGGAUAAUCUUGACUACAAGUAUGUGUCGUGCCCAUUGGUAAUUCAAAUGGAAUAACAAUUAUAAUCAUGAAAUCAUAAUUAACUCAAGAUUAAGAUUGCAGUAAAAUCCAUGUCUAUGAGAUUUAAUAAGUCUGACAGUAAUUACAAAGUUAAUUAAAUCUCAUAUGUUAUCUUGUUCAAUGUAGUCUUACUACAUCAAUAAAUUUUUACAUGAAUAAGACAAAUCAUUCAAUGAAUUCAUUACAGUCUAUACCUAAAUAAAGUGCCCAACUUUAUUUAUCAACUGCGAAUUAAAUUUAUUUAAUCAUAAGAUAACUUGUAUUUAUGUCUUCUGUAAUCCACAUGGUGAUUCUUGUGCAAAUUUAUUGAACUCGCAAGUGCACGAAUAUAUUGUAGAAUAGAUUAAUGGUGACAAGUGUCGAUCCCACGAGAAAGUGGAUUUUAAUUAUGUGUAAAUUUAAUUUUCUAUGAGGGUGGUUGGAUUUGUGGUGAAAAUGAUUUGGAAUAUUCUAAACAUUAAAUUAGAAUGGCAGGAAUAAAUUAAAGCAAAAUCUAUUGAAAUAAAGCACUUGGGUAUCUGGAUCUGCAUUAACAUGCACCAUGUGCUAAAUAUUCCUUAGUAAUGCCAAUUAAAUCAUGAGGGGGGUUUCUACUCCUCAUGAACCACACUCUAAUCAAUAUGGUGUUAAGGACUUAUUGUGGCAAACAAUAAUAACCUUGUACUAGGGAGUCGGUUAAAUCAGCGCAGUAUCCAGACAAGAUUAUUACUAUUUGUCGACGAAAAGUCAAAAUAUCAAUAAUAAUUAGAGGAGAAGAGAAAGUAAAUUUACUAAAUAAAGCCCACGACACAUGUUGAGACUUCACCAACCCAAACUUGAAAGAAAAUUAGCUACUUAUAAUUGAACUAAGGGUAAAAUGAGAAUUUAUUAAAAUACAUAGAAAAUACAAGAUGGAGAAUGAAUUACAGAAAAUAGGCUCAAAAAUGAAUUCAAAAAUGCCAAAUUAGGGAGGAGCCCCCCUUUUAAUAGAUACACUGAGUAAAUCAUGGCCAUCAUAUUAAAAACAUUUUGGACGCUCAAGAUUGCGCCACGUCAUCGGUCAACAGUACGUGGUUUGGUUGUAAAUAAUCUCGUGUAUAUGCAUGUACCGUACGCACUAUUUUUGAUCCACUAACAUGCUGCCACGUCACAGAUCAACAGUACAUAAGAAUUUUAGUCUAAUAAAAUCGUGACAUCUCAUCAGUCAAUACCACAUCAUCAGUCAAUGCCACGUCAUCGUUUUGUAUAUGUGAAUAGUGUCGUGAACAGUAACAUGGAUAGUAUCGUAUCUGUGAAUAGUACCGUACAUGUGAACAAUUCCAUUUUUCCUUUUAAACUCCUCCUAAGAUUUUCGACUGUCCUGAUCUCAAAAGUGAUGUCUGUUUUGCUGUAUGAUCUCUCGUUCAUUGUGAAAUGACCAUGAUGCCCCUAAAAUACAUAAAAUAUUUAAUUAUAAUAUAAUACACAUAAUUAAAUCACAAGGAACUUAAAUACAUAAAAGUAUGAAUGUUAGUGAAACUUGAAGUGUAAAAUGACGAUUUUCUCCUUCAUAAAUAUACACUUUCUAACACUCAAAAGUGAUCACAUAAAUACAUAUAAUAUGAUUAAAUGGACUUUAAUCAAAAUAUUAAUGCAAUUAAGAUAUUUGAAUAAAAUACCUUAUUUAUUUUAUUAAUCAGAAAAAUUAUUUAUUACAAUUAAAUAAACACUUAUGCUUUUAAAGAGCAUAUUUUCCCAACAGGCGUAUCUCAUAAAGGCAACUUCGGUGGUUGAGGUAUCCUGCCGUGCAACACUGUAUCUCUUAUAGUCAACUUUUACGACUUGGACAAUUUGUAUUUUACCGAUUGUCCAUUGAAUUAAUUUGUUUUUGCUGAAAAUGAAUAUUAAAAAAAGAUUAAAAUAAAUAAAAUUAUAAAUAAUUAAAAUCACAGAUUGUCCCAAACCACCAAUAAAACCUCUAAAACUAAAAUUAUAAGCUCCUCCGUAAGAUCCACCAUUAUAUUUCUUAUUACCACUAGCAUUCUUUCAAGGAUUAAAAUGGUUUUGAGUUACAUUAGCUAACAAGUUAUGUGUGACAUCACUAGCAAUUUUACCUCUUGUCUGUUCAACUCUAUUCUCCUGAUUUAGCAGUAAAGAGUAAAAUUCAUCAAGACUGAUCUUAUCACCUCCAGCUAACACACUGAUAACUAAAGACUCAUAAUCAGAUGAAUCUAGUCUAGUCAAAAUAUAUUGAACAAAAUCACUUAACUCAACAGAUUUUCUAGCUAAAGCCAGACUGUCAGACAAUCUCUUCAUUUUAACAAAGUAAUCAAUCAUAGACAUUGAUCUUUUUUUGAGUGUUUGAAUAUGCAUCUUAAAGGCAUUAUUCUAGCUUGAGAUUGUAAAGUAAACAUACUUGUGAGUGUAUCCAAAAGCUCUUUAGCAAUGGAGCAAUGAACGAUUGUAGCGAGUAGAUUUUGCUGAAUAGAUGACAACAUCCAACUCAAAACUAAUUGAUCUGUCUUCAUCCAGGCUGUGUAUGCUGGAUUGACCUUUCGAUUUUCAGUAAUAGUUGAGGACCAACUUCAGUGCUAGCUGGUGUGAGAAAUUACUCCGAACAAGUUUGAUCACCAUUAAUGAAAUUAUCCAGAUCGUUUCCUUUGAUGGAUGUUAAAACCUGAGUUUGUCAGACAAUGAAAUUAUUAUGAUCUAGCUUAACAGGAUUGAUAAAACUAUAGGAUCCAGAAAAUUGAUUAGAACUGACCAUUGUAGGCUCUGAGAUCAUGAUAGAAUUUGUAAUAUAUAUGUCUGGAAAGCAAGAAAAUUAAGGAGAAAAAGAUAGAAAGAAAAGAAGAAGAAUUUAGAAUAUGUUAAUUGUUCAUUACAUUACAAAUGUGAUUAUAGCCUUUGUAUUUAUAUUAAGUGAAAUGCUUAACUAUAAUUUGUUAUAACUGGAAUAGGUGCUAAACAGUUCUUUAGCUAGAAGGCUGAGAUGGCUAACUAAUUAUUCCACGUUAGCAAGAGCACUCAUGUAUGGUCCUCAUCCGUACUGUAAUUAUCAUACUCUGUAACAGUUCUUCUACAUCUUCUUGCUCUUCAGGACCAAGUGUACUUCGUGGGUCUAUAAUUGCUGCUUUGUCUAUCUAUUUGCAAUUCAAAGAAUUAAUUUAUUGGUCAUUUUUUUAGGAAAAAAGAUAACGAAACAUAGUUGUUUGGUAAAAUAGUCAUGUGAACUCUUUCUUCAAAACAUAUAUAAAAACAAACCUUGGAGAUCAGUAUUGUCUAUGUGAUAAUUUCUAAAAAUAAGAGGUCUAGCUGACAAUUUUUUCAAACCAUGGGAUGUUGGUAUAUACUCUUUAAGUAUGUACCUUAGUAAUUUGAUUCUAGGUGACAAGGGUAAUUCAUUUUCAUCAUCUUUACAGGAGAAUUGAUCUGCAAAAGAAGGAAAAUUUAGAUGCCUUUUCUUCAGGGCAGCUUUAAAAAGACAGAUUAUAGCAAAACCGUGAAUAAGAGGUAAUUGUUUACUAUGGUAAAAGGGAAUACCCGACAGCAACAAGGCCAAACUGCUCCCAUAACCAAUAUUGUGAACCUCAAAGUCCUCCGUCAUGUUUCCAGAUUAUUUGCAGGGAAUGCUGCAACUACAUUAUAACACCAGGCAAGCUGCAGCUAUACUUCUUUUUGAGCCUUUACUUAUUUCUCAUUUGGAUUUUUUGUUCUCCCUUCAUCACCAUGUGCUCUUAAUUGAUCGACAAGACAUGGUCCUAAAAGAGGCCCCAUUCCAAAGUCACCCACUGCUAACAAGAUCAUUCCUAUUACGUUGUGUACUUCAAAUUUAGUUUCUAAGAAUUUACUGGACGCUGUAUAAUACAAUAGCCUUAAUGCCUCCAACAACAAUAGUCGGAACUAAUUGUAUGGCAUAACAUUAUGAUCCUAAAUAUGCUUCUUAAUCAUUACUAUAGUUAGGAGCGGAACAAAAUUGAGAUUUAGGGGGCCAAGUGUAAUUAAGGUAAUUAUUUCAGGAUUAGAGAGUAUUAGUUAUUUUCUGGGGUUAGGGGAUGGGGUUCACGUUUAUGAAGCCACCAUAUAAAGAAAAACAACUAGUUUGAAAGUUGAAAUUACAAAUUUAUAUAGUGUGAGAUUAUUUCAACCUACUAAAAUAUAUGUUAUUUUAAAGACUAAUGAGCUUGCGGCUUUGAAAAGGUUGGAAUGUUAUUUGGUUGGAGAGGGACUCGGUUUCAACUUUAACUUGUCUUACGAGUACCAAAUUCAAGCCGUCGUAGCAUCUGCAUAUCAUAUAGUUGAAUUGUUUGAGAGCCUAAAAGUCAAAUAUUGUGGAUCAUAUCAAAUGCCAAAUGUUGGAUAAUCUUUUCCAAAUGUUGGAUAACAAGAAAAGGGUUGCACACAAGACCGCUGACUGAAAAUAGAAAUAAUUGGACAAAUAAAGCCCAAACCACAACUCAUCAUAAUCUUUGUGUUACUAAUGGAAGCUAAAAGCACCUGAGUUAUCAACUAUUCACAUUUUCUAUUAGAUACUGAUGCUUGAUACAUUCAUCAUGAUAUCCAGAAACAAUAAAAUUAAGCUAGUACAAAGAUAUCUAAAUGAAGAUGAUAAUAUCAUAGGCAAAAUAUGGUCCAAUUGAUUAGGAAAAUCAAGCUAAGGUAAUUUUUUUUUAUACUAAAUGCUUAAUUAAAAAGACAUCAUUAUAUGUUUUAUACAUGCACAAAUUGUCAUUUAUUUGAGGCAUGUCUAAUAUUUAGUAGAGUGACAAAUAUACUUGAAAAUGUAUAAAAAUUAUCAAAUAAUAUGUGAGAAAUAUAGUUAUUUUUGUUGUAAUAUUAAUGCAAUAAACUUUUAUUGUAUCAUAUCGGCAUGUUUAAAGAGGAAAAAAAAAACUCAGAGACUCAAAAAUUCCAAACUUUAAUGUGUAGCUGGCAUUUAUUUGUAGGCUCAAUUGAAGUACAGAAGUCACAAUUCCAAACAACAAACAAGCUAUCAUCACUAAUCCACCAAAUUGGAAAACAUCCUCAAUUAAAUUAACCACCGCGCCUUUCCAGCUUGAGUUUUUCCAAUGCUGAUAGUCCUUCUAUUGAGGAUUGGUUAUUGUAAAUAUCUUUUAAGGUAAUUUCAGGAUAGAGCGGAGGAUUUUCUUCGGAUAGCAACUCUUUAAUUGGACCAUAUUGUCUCGAGCAACUGUUGUUCAUAAAAAAACUUUCGAUUGAAAUUCUUGAGCCUUCCUUUUUUGAUAACACUCUGUGAUAGACACUUUUGAACUUGUCAUUGGUGAUUAGCUGCAUAAACACACAAUAAAAAAAUCCACUAUAAUUAAGUUACAUGAUGGAUUAAUAAUAGUCAAAGUGAUGCAUAACAUGUACUUGCCUGCAUCAUGUAACCGAAGUUUACAACUAGAGCUCCGGGAACAGGGGUAAUUACGAUAUGCAGUUUCCUAAUUUAACUCAUGCACGCUCGAGGCUUUUGUUUACCCUAGUUUUCAGUAUAAAAAGAGGCGCGCAUCACAUAAUACGGCGGCAAAGAAUUAUCAUUAGAAAAAUUGGAGAGAAAAAGAAGAAGAAGAUCAUAAUUCAAGGGAACAGCUGCAACAUCAUUGAAGAAUCCAGCAGAGUUAUUUGGAUUCACUUUUUGUCGUUCUCGACUUAUACCUUUCUUCUUUCUCUAACUAAUCUAAUGUAUCUCAUGAACAAUAUGUUGCUGAUUGUUUAUCUCUUUCAGAAUAUGAACUAAACUCGCUUGUAUUUGAGUGACAAACAAUCUAAUGGGUUCUUGACUGUUCUUAUGAGUUGCUAUGUCAUUGCUGUAGCAUUUUACUCUAGUAGCUAUUAUUAUAACUGUUAUUUCGGUUGACCACCCAUUUAAUGGUUCAAGUUAAGAUAGGACCAUAAAAGGGCAUGUCUUACUGGAUAUUAUUAUAGUAAUACUUGAUCUUAAUUUAAGUUUCCUAGAUUACGUUUAUCUUGAAUCCCAUAAGGGCUAUACUUAAAGUUAAGAUUUGUGAUAAACUAGACAUAAGUAUUCACCUUGUAGGGUGGAGAGAAUGGAUGUUCAUAAUAUCAUGCCAUAGGUAAAAUAGCAACUGGCCAUUGUUAAGAUGUUUACGGGUAUGAGACUUCCAAUAUGCGACAACUGAGGAUGCAAAUUAAAUUAUGUCCAGUGCUAUAGAAAUUAUUGUAGCAACUGGUGUUAACUUGAUGAAAAGCAGUUAACCCAUAAAAAGAGUUUGAUCAUUCAACUACCUUAUUCUCAUUUGAUUCUUCGACGCAUUUUAUUUAAUUUGUUUCAUUACUACAUUGUUUAACUUUAUUCUCUCACAAUUAUCAAUUUCAAUAGUAACCAACUUUACAUUUGUUAAUUUAGGAAUUAAGUUAGAUUACACUAUCAUGAUUGCUGUAGCAUUUCUAGUAAUAUCAAUCCUUGUGAAGACGAUCUUAAAUAUUCAUCACUUUAUUACUUGUUCUGUACACUUGCACAUUGACAUAAAUAAAAUUUGAUAAAAAAUACCAACAAUGAGAUAGGGGUAAACUUCAGGAUGUGCUGCGCUUUUUAAUUGUUGUGUAGAUUCUUUUGAUUCCUAUCUCUAGUGGAGAACCAGAUGUGAUUUUGUGAGACCUUUCUCCUGAUGGUAGUUUUUCUUUGAGGACUGCUUCAAAUAUUGUGCAUUGGACAAUGCCAAGUGAUGAGGCUUUUUUUGUUAUUUGACAGCGACAUCUUUUCCUGGAUAUCUUUUUUUCUCUAGAGGUUGUGACACAAAUUCUUGACCACAGAUGAUGCCUCGUGUUCGGGGGAUUUCUGCAUAGUUUCUUAGUAUCUUUGUGGUCGGGCUUAUGAGACUUCUAGGUAUUUUCUUUCUUGGUUGCCCUCGAGUUAGGCCAGUUUGGGUCCAUUUUCUAUGUACUCUUGGUUUGCGCUAUGUUGCUUUUCUAUUCCCCCGCACUUUAUUUUUUAAUUGGUAGUGAUGUGCCCUUUCUUGGAGCCAUAUUCGAGUUCUUCUUCCUUGUUUCAUUUUGUGGCGAGUUUAGAAGGCCUGUAAUGCAUUGAAGUUUGACUCAAUGGCCUUUUUUGUUGAUGCUGUUAUUUAUUGGGCAAUGUUGGAUCUUAGGCUUGCUGGUUCUGCCUUUGGUCUUAAACCAUCCCAACUGUGAGGAGUUCUAGGUUCUCGAUUUGCAAAGUUCUUGAGAGUUGUUGUUUCAUCCAAGAGGCUGAUUCUUUUAGUUUUUUGGCAGUGGUCACCACCUGGGGCGGUGAAGCUGACUAUUGAUGGUUGCUUUAGGAGUAAUCCUAGGAUGGCUGCUUCAGAUAGUAUUUUACGUGAUGAUUAGGGUGUGGCUUUGGCUGCUUUUGGUUCCUUCCUUGGGCGCUCACUGAUCUUUCAUGCAGAAUUCAUGGCUGUUUUUUAGGGGUUAGAGUUGGUGCUCAGCUCCAUUAUUCUGUGCUUGACGUAGAGUUGGACUCAACCAUGGUGGCUUCUUGGAUUCUUUUCUAAGGCCUUGUUCAUAUGGACUAUACCUAUUCUUUGCAUCGGGUGUGUAGUUUGACAUUUUCUUCUACUUCGUGGUUAGUCAUGUGCUUCAGAAGGUUACUUCUACUGCUGAUUUCUUUGGCCUGCACUCUUCAAGGUCAUUUGUGUUUCUUGGGUUCUCAAGAUAUAUUUGCUAGCUUAUCUAAUAAUCUCUGUUUGGAUAUGUGGGUAAUUUCUCGUAUCAGGCAAUAGGAUUGCUUAUUUAUGUAUUCCAUUUUUUAUCUUGUAUUUUUCUCUUUUCCAUUCUUAUGUUCUUGCAAUUGCGGUUUUGAUUUAUAUUCACCUCCUUAUGUAUUUGAUUCAUUCUAUGAUUUAUAUGAAAGAUAGGAGUUCCACCUAACCCCACCUUUUUGUGGUUAAAAAAAAAAAGAUCAGGAAUUCAACCUAGAUCAUCAAGGUGAAACAUCAAAUAGGUUGUAAAUUUAACAUAUGAACGUAAAAGCUUAACAAAACAUUUGAAGUUGCUUGACAACAUAGAAAUACAAGCAAAAAGAGAUGCUAAACAACACAAAAUUUUGAUUGGGUGGGAGUAUUGUUCAUGCUAGCAUAAUAAUGAGGUGCUUGAGAAUACCUAAGACUUUCUUGAUAAAUAAUAUCAUCUAAAAGGUUAGGAAUCAUAGAUAAUUGUCCACGUAUGAACAAACCUAGCUCAAAAUGUGAAAUGUGUUAAGAUUUUCAAACAUUUAAAUCAAUAGUUAAUAAUUUCAGACAAAGGAUUCUUGGAGACCUUAAAGUUCACUGAUUCUAUCUUAUGGCUCAUUGUCUCUCUCAACAAUUUAAUUUCUAGAUUAUUUGGCUCCUAUCUAUUAAAAGACAACACCGUUACUAAAAUUAUAAAUUAUAACAGUUAAACCUAAACCUACGUCGUUUAGCAAUUUACGAAAGAAAAAAAUAUAACAAAAGCCAAUUGUUGGAGUAGCAACGUGCCAACGAGAAAACCUCAAGCCAUGUAAUAUCAUGUGUCAACAACUAAAGAAGAACAAACCACCACCCUCUAGGUCGUCGCUGCACUAACGCUGGGCCCGAUUUGAAUAGUUAGAAGUUGUAACAUUAAUUAGGGAAUGAGGGCAAAAUUUUGGACUUCGAUUUAAUAAAAUUGAUUUAAAUGAGUCCCAAUAGAAAUAUGAUUAUAAAUAUAUCAAUACAAUUAUGACAUGUUUAAAAGAAAAAAAUUAUUUUCACACAAAACAAAAAACACAACCCUUGGAUGUGGGAUGUGUCUAAAAAAUAAUAGGGUGGAAAUAUUAUCACCCUCAAAUUAGAUAUAUAAAUAUUUAAUGUUUUACUCUUAUAAUUUUAUAAUUGUUUUUUUAAAUAUUAGUAAGAGAAAGAUAGAAAUUAAUAUAUAGACAAAUCGAGUCCUUUAUUUUAUUAUUCAUAUCCAUAAAAAGUAACCACUAUGCUAGUCCCACGAACUUAGCAUAAGACGGUAAUUUAGAAAAAAGAAAAAAAAAGGAACGUUUUAGACACCAAAACAAAAGCAAAACAAGCACAAAGCGAGACAUACAAACAAAUUUUAUGCUACUGCAUAGGGGUGUUCGCGGAUCGGAUUUUAUGGAUAUGAUAUCAAUCCAUAUCCGAUCCAUGAUUUUGCAGAUUAUAAUUUUUCAAUCCAAUCCAAUACACAGAUUGAUAAAAUUCAAUCCAAAUCCAAUCCAUACAUCUGCGGAUCGGAUGCGGAUUUGACUCAAUCCAUAUGCAAUCCACCAUUUUGCGCAUUAGUUUUCGAAUUAAAAAUUUUUAGUUCUCUCCAACUAAUGAAAUAAAAAAAAUCUAAUAUAAAAAUAAUUUUGCUACUAAUUAAAUUUAAAAUUGAAUAAAAUUUAAAUAAAUUAAUUGUUUAAAUAAAGCUAAAAUAAUAUAUUUAAAGUUUUAAAAUAUAACACAUCGAGACUAAUUAUUCAAAUAAAGCUACAAUAAUACGUUCAAAGUUUCAAAAUAUAACACACAAAGCUUAAUUGUUCAAAUAAAGUUACAAUAAUACGUUAAUAUAACACCGAAAUUAAUUGUUCAAAUAAAGCCACAAUUAAUUGAAAAUGGCGAAGUUUUGGAAACCAAACACAGUUUGAUCCUUCACCAGGGCUGUUGUGCCUGUCGAAAAGUGGUGAUUACGGAGCCAUCCACGAUGGGAACCAGGAGAAGCCGUACGGGUGGCGAUUUUGAAGGUUGUGAUUGUGAAAUUGUUCAAUUGGAACCAAUGAAUGUGAAGUGGCUCGAUGGACUUGGGAAAGAAGAUGGCUUGCUCUCGCCAGAAUCGUGCAGCCGAUGUCCUUUAAAUCCGUGUCGAGAGUGUAUCCAACCAGUAUUAAGUGUUGUUAGUGUGUAUGACGGCGGGAAAGUUUAGGGUUUUUUGUUUGUAAAUUGGUUGUAACUUUACGUUAUGUUACUUUGCUUUUGCUAGUGCGUGUGACUUUGCUUUUAUUUUGUUUUACAAUUUUUACAAGUUAUAUUUGUAUAUUUGAUUAUUUAAUUAUUUUUCAUUUUAUAUUAUUAUUAGGUAAUGGCUAAGAUAUGUUAUAAUGUUUAGUAACUAUGUAAUGUCAUAUUUAUAAUUUUUUAAUUAUAUAUAUAUAUAUAUAUUUUGCGGAUUCAUGGAUUUCUGCGGAUUUACAGAAGUAAAUCCAUAUCUAAUCCAUCGACUGCGGAUUUUUAAAUUUUCAAUCCAUAUCCAAUCCACCAAUCCACGGAUCGGAUUUAUACGGAUCAGACGGAUUGAGGGGAUCGGAUUGGAUUCUGAACACCCCUACUACUGCAUUCAAGCAGAAGCCACCAAUUGUUCACGACGGCGUUUGAAAACAACCAACAUUUCAUCCUGAUUGGGAAGGUUUUCUUCAAUUAUAGGGACUUGCUUGAAAGUUUCAAGCCAGGCAUGCAAGCGAGGGAAUUUGUGUGAUACAAAUAUUUUAACUCCUACUACAUCUUCAAUGACUUGCAACCAAUAAACAAUUGAACCAAAUGCUAGGUCCACUAAGCCAAUAUUGUCUCCGUUGAAAAAUUUCUUCUCUCCCAAGCCAUGCUCUUCAACGUUUUGUAGCAUUUCCAAGGCUUCCUUCGCUGUGUUUUGUAGUUCUUGUCCAGUGCUACGAAACAUUUUCCAAAUGGCAACACCCUGCCACAAAUAUUUUUACAUCAGAUUUUAUCACCGACAUGAUUAAUUAAUAAUAUGUAUAUAAAAGCGAAAAAUCGUUAGACGAUAUGUACACGUGUCACAAUAUCCUUAAAUUAGAGGUUUAAUAAGUUAAUUAAGAGAGUUCAACCACUGAGUUGUAAAAUCUGUCAUUAGCUAGUAAAUUCACUUUUUCCCAAUGCUUCAAAAGUCAUCAAAUUCCCCGUGAAGUUAAAAACGGUUGUGUUAACUUUAACUUAUUACAACUUUUCAUAUUUUAGGAUAAAACAGUGAAGACACCAGAAAUUAACAGUUUAGAGAACGUUUAACAAAUAAAUAUGAAAAAGACCCCUGGGUGGCUGGGCUCGACUGGCUAUGAAUUCACUUUCACUUUGCGCCAUCACCCGAGUUCGAGUACAUAUAGAGAAUAAGAGUUGCUGUUUGGCGGGUGGAUUUUCUUAUCCUCGUCACCUCAUCUAGAUCUUAAAAUAAAUCAAUAAAUAAACAAAUUUGAAAAGAAUGAACUUAAUCAUAAACGUGUUUGCCAGAGUUGUGAGCGAACCUUGUCUUCAGCGAAUUUGAUCCAGAAUCAAGCAAGAGCCCUAUCAUAAGGAUUAUUUGGCAUCAAGGAGGGAUUCUGUGGCCACGUCUCUUCAAUGUAUUGUAGAAUAACCAUGGACUCACAAACUGGUUUUCCGCCAUGGACGAGCACUGGGAUCUUCUUGUGAACUGGAUUAUACUUCAAAAGCAAUGCACUUUUGUUUGAGAGAUCUUCGGAAACAAAUUCAUAUGGCACGCCUUUCAAUUUCAGAGCCCAAAUCGCCCUGUAAACAAAUGGACUCGGCAGGGCCCCAUGAAGCUUCACUGCAGCCAUGAUAAUUCUAAGAUUGAAUUUGAAUUAUCGGUUUUUCUGAUCGAUGUUGUGUAUGGCUGUUAACUCAUUACAUAUGUUUCUGAAUUUAUAGUGAUUUAUGGAAUGCACUUUCUUGAGCAGAAAGCUUCAAUUUUCCAUUAAUAAAACGAUUAAUGAUGAAUUCAAAGAACUAGUGCAAUGACUUUAAUUAAAUAUUUUUUUACGUUGUGUGCAACCGCUUUUUGAGGUUAAUAUAAAGGAUAUUAUUUUCUCCUGAUCAAAACUUUUAUAUAAAAAAAUAUAAUUAUGUAAUUGGUAGUUAUUAAGUAGAAAUAAAAUAAAAAAUAAAUUUUGACCGUAAAUAAAUAAAAGUUCAUAUAUGUUAUAAAGAUUUUUUAAAACUCAAAUAAGUGCACCCAAUUCCUAAUUUAAAACGCUAGCCAAUGAGAUCAAUAAUUUGGUCAACCAGUCAGAGAUAACCAUACAAUAAUUAAUCAAAAAUUUGCCAUUUGUUUUACAUUUAAGACCUUUGCGUCAUGCAUGAUGAUCAAUUGAUCAUGGAUCAAUUAGUCAACAAGACAUUUGCCUUUUGUGAAUGUGUUCACAUUGGACGCAAAUAUAAUUUGUUAUAAAAAAAUUGGACUAAAUUAUUUUUUAAUAUUUUUUUAAAAAUAAUACAUCUGAUCCUCGAGGGCCUGUUAUUUAGUUCGUGAAUCUUAUAACAGGACCCAUGAUUUAUUUAUUUUUUAAAUCUUAUGGGUCCCCUAUUAUUUAAUUUGUGGAAUUGACGGAGGUAACUUACAGUUUCAUUUUUGUAAUUUACAGCUUUCAAUAAAUUCAGAUAAUAUUAGGCGGUAAAAGUAGGCCAGGCUGGAGGAGUAGAUCUAUAAAAUUUGCAAGCACUUUGCACUGUCUGUUUGGUGCCCAGAAACACACAUAUUUAUCAUCCACUUUUUAUUUAACGCUGGGUUUUUUUCGACCCAUAAUAAUUUCUCUUUGCACAUCAACUUUUUAAUAAAAACUUUUAUUGUCAAUAAAUUGUUAGUAAUUACUUCACUAAUCCUCCUUUUUUUUUUGGGCCAAUUUCUCUUUCGCAACUGACAAAAUUUAAUUCACAUCAUGUGAUAGUAUGAUUGCAAAUAAAUUUGAAGUUAUCUCUCGAAAGUUGUUCACAUAUCUUGUGUAUAGAACUAAAGAACAAUAGCAAAACCACUAUCCUCUAGCCGAUCGCUGCUAUUAGGACGGCAAAAUUAGUUGUAAAUAUGUAAAUUUGUCUAAACCCAUCUACAAAAAUCUGUCCACUGCCAAUAAUUUUGUAGGUUGCGAAUAAGUUUGAUAUUUUAAAUUUAAGUUCGUUGCAGGUUACAGAUGGAUUUAGUAUUGAAAAAAAAUUGGCGGGUAUCUGCCGACUAGCAUUUUUUUAAUUAUUUAUGUUUUUAAUUUUAAUCACAAAGAUUGUCUUUAAAAAAUUAAUCAAAAAAUAUAGUAGUUAAAGUUAUUACUCUAAUCUUCCAAAUUCCUAAACCUAACCUAACUCAUGACAGUUGCACACCCUACUCCUUCAAGUAUGUAUGUAUGUAAAUGUAUACACACGCACACACACACAAAAUAAGCUUUUAAUAAGUAGAUUUAGUAUUUUUGAAGUUUAAUAUUAAUGAUAUGUUAAUUUAAUUAAAUUACUUUUGUUUGUUUCUCUUUAAUGACUUGAACUUAGUGAUUGCUGGCUAAGAUUUGAUUUUUAUUUAUCUAAUUAAUGGUCAAUAGUUGUCCAAAAUAUAUUUGUUAUUAUUAUUGACAAUACUUAUAUAUUGACUAAAAGAUAGAGUAAGGCAUUAAUUUUAGUAAUAAUUAUUUGCCUACAACAAAAAUAUUUUGUGUUAGAAUGAUAUAUUUUGUGUAUUUGUUUUAAUAUUGAAACUUUAAUUUCUCUUUUACAUUGAUGAAAUCUAAAGUUGAGUAGUUUAUGUAGAUUUUUUAGUCUGUUACUAUAAAGUUAUAUUUUGAAUUAUAUAAUUUAAAUUAUUAAAUAUAAUUUUUUAAUAUUUAUGAUUUUAAAUAUAAAAAUUUAUUAAAAAAAACUACUACAUGUUAUGGGUGGAUUUGCUAAUUAUUAAAAAUUAUAGCGAACGAACUAAAAAAAAAAGAAGCAACCGGUUACGGGCGAAUUUAAUAAUGGCAAACUCAUAAUAAGCGAUACCAUUACCAUCGGCAGCUUCUAUAACGCAGGGCCGGGGGCGGUCUUGAAUUGUUAGAAGUUGUAACAUUAAUUAGCAAACUUUUCAGCGGCAUCCCUGAAGUUUAGCAUAGAGUUAGAUAUAUCCCCUUGUUUUCAAAAUUAGUCUCUGAUUCCCAUGUUGUUUACUUUAUUAUUUUUUGUUUUCAUUUCAAUUGGAUUUAUAACUUCGUAAUGUUGCGCCUUGUAAAAUGUAUGCUUAAAACGCGUGCUUCUUAUUUUUUAUAUACUGCUAAGAGAAUUUGAGAAUAGAAAUAUAUAAAAUGGUGUCUCAUUUAUUAAUUAUUUAUAUCCUCUAAAUAGCACCUAACAUGCAGCUCACUUCAAUGGUAAAAUUAAUUAAACAAAAUAAAAAAAAGCAUUUUUAACACCAGUACAAAAACAUAACAAGUGUAAAAGAAGACUCAUUAACUUAUUUUAUGAUAUUAAAUUCACGCAGAUACCACCAAUGUUUCUCGACCAUGUUUGAAAGAGACCACCAACUCAUGCUGACUUGGAAGAUUUUCUUUAAGUAUAUAAGUGAAAGUUAUUACUCUAGUCUUCAAAAUUCUUAAACCUAAUCUAACUCAUUACAGCUGCAUGCCUUGCUCCUUUUAUUAUAUGUAUAUAUUUUAAGAUGAAUACAAUAACUUUUUAAUAAGAAGAAUUUUAUACUUUUCAAGCUUAAUAUUAACGAUAUUUUAUUUUAUUUUAAUUACUUUGAAUUGUUUUGGUUUAAUGACUUGAACAUAUUGAUUGUUUGCUAAAGUUGAAUUUUUAUUUGUCUAAUUAAUUGACGAUAGCAAUUGUAUAAAAUUUACUUAAAAAGAUAAAAUCUUAGUAGAUUACAGAAAGAUUUAGUAAUGACAAACAUGUAGCAGCCAAUACACAUUACCAUCCCCAACGGCUGUAAUAUGGCCAUGGGCAGUCUUAAUUGUUAGAAGGUGCAAAAUUAAUUAGUAAAAUGUUCAGCGGUAUCCUUGAAUUUUAGCAUAGAAUUAGAUAUAUCCCCUAGUUUUCAAAAUUUGUUUUUGAUUCCCCUAUUGUUUAAUUUAUAUAUAUAUAUAUAUAUUUAUUUCACUUGGAUAUAUAACUUUGUAAUGUUGCGCCAUAUAAAAUGUAUGCUUAAAAUGCAUGCUUAUUACUUUUUAUAUGUUGUUAAGAGAAAUUGAGAAUAGAAAUAUGUAAAAUGGAGUUUCAUUUAUUAAUUAUUUAUAUCCAUUAAAUAGCACCCAACGUGCAGUUCGUCUCAAUAGUAAAAUUAAUUAAACAAAGCAGAAAGAUUUGCUUUAGCAUCAGUAAAAAAAAAAAAAAAAGCACAAAGCGAGAAUCACAAACUUAUUUUAUGAUAUUACAUUCACGCAGAUGUCACCAAUAUUUCCCGAUGACGUUUGAAAGCGAUCACCAUCUCAUGCUGAUUUGGAAGAUUUUCUUCAAUUACAGAGACUUUCCUGAAAUUUUCAAACCACUUAUGCAAGCUUGGGAAUUUGUGAGAUUCAAAUAGUUUCAUUGUUAUAGUGCAAUUUAUGCACUAGUUUUGCAUUGUUUACUUCCCUUAAUAUCGAUGUUUUGCACUUAAUAAUAGUGAUUUACUUGUGUUUUACUUUUGUAGGUGCAAUUCUAUUGAUUUGUGAUAAAAUUGAGCUAUAAGAUGAUGUUUAAAGAUGAUUGUUCUCUUGGAGAAAUUUAGGGCGUCAGAAGAACUUUGUUGACAAGGCGUGGGCGCGUACUGUCAACUGCGGACCUGCAAUUUUUAGUUUAACGUGUUUUGUAUUUUUGGUUAUUUUUGUAAUUAUGAAUUUAAUAUUUCAGAUAUUAGUAUUUUAUUUUAAAUAGAACUCUAAAAGAGAAAAGAGAGAGAGUAUUUAAGGGAGGAAUCUAUUGUGAAAACGAAGAGAUUGGGGGAAAAAGAAAGAAACCCUAGAUCUAAACUUUUCUCUUCUCUCUAUGAAGAACUAAACUUAUUUUUCUGGUUGAAGGUUAAUAAAGCUUUGAUUCAUCACUACUGCGAGAUCUUUCUUAUGCUUUAAUUGUUUUAUUACUUUUUGGGUAUUUUUUUUAUUUUCUGAAUUAUUAUUAUGAUUAUGUUUGUUAAUUAGAUAAUUGGCCACUAUUUAAAUAUCAACUUAAUCUAUUGUCAAUUAAAUGAUUUAUCGUAUGAAGAUUUUAAUGUUUGUGACAAAUAACAUAGCAGAGAGUUGUGUUGUGAGAAUAAACAAUCUAAUUUAAAUGAACCAUCGUAUGUGUUUGUUGAUUAGGAUUUGGGUCUCUCUGGUUUUUCAGGCUGUCAAUUGAUUAAAUCCUAUGAUCGUAUCUAGGGUUGUCUAUUGAUUAGGGAAAUAACCAACGGUCGUACCUUGGUUAUCGACUAGUUAAGGAGAGAUUGGCUAUUAGAGGGUCUCAGUAGCUAUAACCGGUCUAUUCAUAAGAAAUAAUAAUUUAUAUUUGAAUCAAUGAUCAGUAGUCGAAUCAAGCUGAGUUAAUUCCUUCAACCAGAGCUUUCUCCAAUUUGAAUUACAACUUUAAUUUGCAUUCUUGUUAUUUUAAUUUGAUUUUUAUUAUUGUCAACAAAACCCCCAUUUUAUGUUUUACGUUUCAAAAGGAUUUAAAUAAUUACCGAUCUCUGUGGACACGACCCUAUUCAAUCACUGUACACAAUUUAUUUAGAGUAAGUAUUUAUUUUUGUUGGCUUCGACAACCAUAAAAUUUUGGCGCCGUUGCUGGGGAUUGGUGUCAUUUAUUUAAUCCUUUUUACGUUUUACUUGGUGUAUGGUUCGUUCUUCUCGUACAGGUACACUUUCGUUUGAUCCUGAAAUUGAGAAGACAGCUCGCCAGCUAAGACAGCAGACGAAGCUAGCUAAGUAACGAUCCUCGUCGCCUUUGAUUUCUGAAACAGAUACGGUGCCUGAUUUGGUUGAAUCAUCUAGCGAUUCAGAAGAACAAGUGAUGGAUAGAUUUGCACCUGUAGAAAGAACUCUUAGAGAGUUAGUUGAACCAGACUUGAAUCAGCAGCCACUCUGCAUUCAAUAUGUAGACUUAGAGGUAAAUUUUGAAUUAAAGUCUGGUCUCAUUCAUUUAUUACCCAAGUUUUAUGGUUUUGCAGGUGAAGAUCCUCAUAAACAUUUCAAGGAGUUUCAUGUUGUAUGUUCAAGUAUGAGACCACAAGGCGUGACUGAAGAGCAGAUUAAGCUGCGUGCUUUUCCUUUCUCUUUAGAUGACUAGCUAAAGACUGGUUGUACUACUUGCCUCCUGGAUCGAUUACAACGUGGAAUGGUUUGAACAAGCAGUUCCUUGAGAAGUACUUUCCUGCUUCAAGAGCUGCCAACAUCAGAAAAGAUAUUUGUGGGAUCAGACAACUUCCUGGGGAGACUUUGUAUGAGUAUUGAGAGCAAUUCAAACAAUUGUGUGCCAGCUGUCCUCAGCAUCAGAUUUCUGAUCAACUUCUUAUUCAGUAUGUUUACGAAAGACUAUCAUUAAUGGAGAGGAGUAUGAUAGAUGCUGCUAGUGGAGGCGUGUUGGUGAACAAGACCCCUACUCAAGCAAGGGAGUUGAUCUCAAAUAUGGCUGCCAAUGCACAACAAUUUGGCAGUAGGCAAGAUCCCACUUCAAGGAAGGUGAAUGAGGUAAAUAUUUCUUCUGUUAAACAACGUUUAGAUAAACUUACUUCUUUUGUGGAAAAGUUUGUUGUAGGUAAUGUGCAAUAGGUAAAGACUUGUGGCAUCUGUUACAAUAUGGGUCAUUCAACUGAUAUGUGUCCUACGCUUCAAGAAGAACCCGUUGAACAAGCCAAUGCAGUUGGAGGAUUUCCAGGCAUGCCUCAGAGGAGGUAUGAUCCUUAUACACAAACAUACAAUCCGGGGCGGAAGGAUCAUCCCAACUUCAGCUAUGGAGUUAGGCCGUCAGGAUUCCCAUAACAGUAUCCACCAAGAUAACUAGCACCUCCACAGUCAAACUCCAAGUCAGGUAUAUCUCUUGAAGAAAUUGUUAAAUCACUUGCGACUAACGCUCAACAAUUUCAACAGGCAACUACAACAAGCAUUCAGAAUUUGGAGAGCCAAGUGAGUCAAUUGGCAACUACGAUGAGCCGUCUAGAGUCUCAAGUAUUAGAGAGAUUGCCUUUACAAUCUGAGGUGAAUCCCAAGCAAAACGCUAGUGCCGUCAUCCUUAGAAGUGGGAAUGAGUUGUAAGAGCUUAGUAAGAAAGUGACAGAGCAUGUAGAACCUGAGCUUGAAAAGAAUGAAUUGAUGCCUAAAUCUCAAUAUACGCAACCCACCAGAGCGAAACCCCUACCUAUUGUGAUACCUCCUCAUUUUCCAAGCCGGUUUGCAAAAUCUAAGAAGGAGGAACAAGUGAAAGACAUCCAUGAGACAUUUCGCAAGGUUGAGGUAAAUAUUCCCUUAUUAGAUGCUAUAAAACAAAUACCUUGAUAUGCUAAAUUCCUUAAGGAACUGUGCACCUCUAAGAGAAAAUUAAGAGGAAAUGAAAGAGUUCACAUGGGGGAGAAUGUUUCAGCAGUUCUCCUAAGUGCAAGGAUCUAGGUAUGUUUACUAUCCCUAGCAAAAUUGGUAGUGUUAGAGUUGAGAAGGCUAUGUUAGAUCUAGGAGCUUCUAUUAAUGUCAUGCCUCGUUCUAUUUGUUCGUAUUUGAAUGUUGGUGCAUUAAAAGAAACUGGCGUGAUAAUUCAAUUAGCUGAUAGGUCUAAUGCAUAUCCUGAUGGGGUAUUAAAAGAUGUCUUAAUACAAGUUAAUGAGUUAGUUUUUCCUGCUGAUUUUUAUGUACUUGAUAUGGAAGAGGAUAACUCCUCUAAUUCUGUCCCAAUUUUGCUAGGAAGACCUUUUCUUAAGACUGCUAGAACUAAAAUGGAUGUACAUAAAGGGACUCUUACUAUAGAGUUUGAUGAAGAGGUUAUAGAGUUCAAUAUGUAUGAUGCCAUGAAAUAUCCCAGUGAGGAACAUUCGGUAUUUUCUAUGGAUGUUAUUAACCCUAUAGUGCAGGAAGUUUUUUAUUUGGAUGUUAAAGAUUCAUUGGUAGCUGCUUUAAAUAACAGUUUGGACCUCAAAGGAUUGCAAAAGGAUGAAAAUGAGUUUGUUUUAAAUUUUGUAUUGCAAGAGAUAAUUUAUUAAUUAAAUUCUUUGAGAACUUUAACUCAUCAUAUGUCUAAUAUUGAAUUACCUUAAUCUCAUGCAAAACUUCUUCCAUCUAUUUUGCAGGCACCGAAAAUAGAGCUUAAACCAUUGCCGAGUCAUCUAAAGUACAUGUUUCUAGGAGAUGAUGAGACACUUCCGGUGAUCAUCUCUUCAAAGCUUAGUACUUUAGAGGAAGAGAAACUUAUUAGAGUGCUGAAGGAUUACAAAAAGGCUAUUGGGUGGACAAUUGCAGAUAUUAAAGGGAUAAGUCCGUCCACGUGCAUGCAUAGAAUACUGCUGGAGGAAGAUGCCAAACCUUCAAUUCAAGCUCAACGUCAUUUGAAUCCACUCAUGAUGGAAGUAGUGAAGAAAUAAAUUCUAAAACUUCUUGAGGCAGGUAUAAUCUAUCCAAUUUCAGAUAGCAAAUGGGUAAGUCCGGUACAAGUGGUACCGAAGAAAGCUGGUAUAACAAUUGUUGAGAAUUCUUAUAGUGAGUUAGUACCUACCCGAGUUUAGAAUGGGUGGAGGGUUUGUAUUGAUUUUAGAAAGCUUAAUUCACUCAGUAGGAAGGAUAAUUUUCCUAUUCCUUUUAUUGAUCAGAUGCUUGAAAGGUUGGCAGGAAAAUCUCACUUUUGUUGUCUUGAUGGCUAUUUAGGUUUUCAUCAGAUACCAGUUGCGCCUGAGGAUCAGGAGAAGACUACCUUCACAUGUCCUUUUGGAACCUUUGCGUACCGACGUAUGCCAUUUGGUCUUUGUAACGCUCUCGCCACUUUUCAAAGGUGCAUGGUCAGUAUUUUUUCAGACUAUGUAGAAAACACUAUAGAGGUAUUUAUGGACGAUUUUACGAUCUAUGCUGAUUCUUUCGAUGAUUGUCUCUAUAAUCUGAAGAAAGUACUUGAAAGAUGCAUUGAAACAAACCUUGUCUUAAAUUAUGAAAAAUGUCAUUUUAUGGUAGAUCAAGGCAUUAUUUUGGGUCAUGUAGUCUCUGCUAGAGGCAUUGCGAUAGAUAAAGCUAAGAUAGAUGUUAUUAAAUCUUUACCUUAUCCCACAUGUGUGCGGGAAGUUCGUUCUUUCCUUGGUCACGCAGGUUUCUAUAGACGAUUUAUCAAUGAUUUUUUAAAGAUAGCUUAGCCUUUAUGCAAGCUUCUUCAGAAAGAUGUGACGUUUGAUUUUAAUGAAGCAUGCAAGGUAGCCUUUGAUAAGCUCAAAGAGUUAUUGACUUCAGCUCCAAUUAUACAGCCACCCGACUGGAGCCUCCCUUUUGAGAUAAUGUGCGACGCCAGUAAUUAUGCUGUUGGUGCUGUUCUCGGACAAAGGGUUGGAAGAGCUGCUCACGUGAUAUAUUACACAUCAAGAACACUUGAUAGUGCUCAGUGUAAUUACUCAACAACGGAAAAAGAACUUUUAGCUAUUGUUUUUGCUUUAAAAAAAUUCCGCUCAUAUUUGUUGGGUACUAAAGUGAUUUUUUUUUUCUGACCAUGCAGCUCUCAGAUAUUUACUCGCCAAGAUGGAAGCGAAACCGAGACUUAUCCGCUGGAUCCUACUACUUCAAGAGUUCAACUUGGAGAUCCGUAACAAGAAAGGAACAGAAAACUUAGUUGCAGACCACCUUAGUAGAUUUACCACGUGUGAAGAAGCAACACCUUUGAAGGAUGAUUUUCCAGAUGAGCAUCUCUUUGUAACUAAAGGUAUGGUUCCUUGGUAUGCUGACAUUGUCAAUUACUUAGUUACAAGAACACUACCUAGUGAUCUGACGAGGUCUCAAAAAGAUAAAAUUAAGAACGAUGCUAAAUACUAUGUUUGGGAUGACCUUUACUUGUGGAAACAUUGCUCUGACCAAGUCAUCAAAAGGUGUGUGUCUGAGUUUGAAAUUCCUUCUAUUCUUCAGUUUUGUCACUCAUAUGCAUGUGGUGGUCAUUUUGGUCCUAAAAGGAUAGCAUCCAAUGUGUUAGAAUGUGGUUUAUUUUGGCCUACUUUAUUUCGUGAUUCAUACAUAUUUUGUAAGUCGUGUGAGAAUUGUCAAAAGACUGGUAAUUUAAGUCAUAGAAAUCAAAUGCCACUUACCCCUAUUCUUGUGUGAAAUAUUCGAUGUGUGGGACAUUGAUUUUAUGGGACCUUUUCCUUCAUCUGUUGGCAAUGCUUACAUUCUUUUAGCAGUGGAUUACGUUUCUAAGUGGGUAGAGGCUAAGGCCACCCGGACUGACAAUGCUAAAGUUGUUGUAGAUUUUGUCAAGUAUAAUAUUUUAGCCAAGUUUGGUGUACCAAGAGCGGUGAUAAGUGAUAGAGGCACUCAUUUCUGUAAUUGAGUGGUGGAGGUUUUGUUCAAAAGAUAUCAUGUUACUCACCGAGUGUCUACCGCCUAUCAUCCACAGACAAGUGGACAAGCUGAGAUAUCAAACAGAGAAAUCAAGUUUAUUCUUGAAAAGACAGUUAGUCUAAAUCAAAAGGAUUGGAGUUUGCAAUUAGAUGAUGCAUUAUGGGCGUAUCGCACCACAAUUAUUGUAACAAUGCCGAAGAGGAAAGCAUUAACUUCCAAGUCAUCUAAAAAGACACCCGUCGCAAAAAAAUCCAAGAUUGCCGCUCCCACUACGGUUCCAUGGAACACAGUUUCAGAUUUACGCCAAGCCGUAAGACAAAGAUCGAAACAUGGAAAAGGCAUGAGUGUUUUGCCACUUGCGGAAUCCAAUCUCGGAGGGUGCCUCGCAUUCGCGACUCAACAAGAGAAAAAGAGGUACAAAGAUAUUUCCAUGCGCAAAAUACUUCCAGCUAAGUAUAUUCAUUACCCGACUCUUGAAAAAUUGAAUGUUAAGGAUAAUUUUGAUUCUUUGAUAGAUAAGAUUGGGUUGCGUAAGUUUGUUGAUGUUGAUUGUUUGGGUUAUGUUGAGUUGAUUAGGGAGUUUUAUGCGACUUUUCAAUUUAAUAUACCGAAUGAUUUUACUUUGCAUAUCCCGGAUGUCAUAAAGUUUAGGUUAAUAGGACGAAAUUUUUCACACUCUAUCACGGAUUUUAACCUAGCUUUAGGAUUCAUUGAUGAUGAUUAUUCUUUUAGUGAUGCAUAUUUAGGAACAACUUGUGACUUUAGCGAAAAUUUUGAGCCUUAUGGUCUUUAGCGUAAUUUAUUUGUUGAUCACAAUGCCUAUGACCCGAGUAAAUCAAAGAGUUCUUUCUUACGUGAUCCUGUUUUGAAAUGUGUGCAUCGAUUCUUAGCAUAUAAUUUUUUAGGAAAGAAAGAUCACUUAGUAGUUUUCUCUAAAACUGAAUUUUAUUUUAUCUGGUGCAUGUUAAAUGAUGUGAGGCCUAAUUUAGGUUUUUGGUUAGCGGAUCAAUUUCAAAGUGUGCUUAAACGGUAUAGGACUUUAUUUCUUGGUCCAUACAUUACUCUGUUAGCUAUAAACCUAUGUGUGCUUGAUCCUAACAAUAAUGAUUUGCAUCCUGCUUGCAAAAAGGAAUUUUUGGAUAUGUCUGUGUUUGAAAAAACAGGUGUGGUCGAAUUCAAGGAGGGGAGAUUUCAGUUUACUGAACCAGGACCCACUCAACCUCCAAAGAAGCUUUAUGCUAGGAGUGGUGCUACCUCUGAUGACGAGUUUGACGACGACACUGCUGCCCUGCCAACUAUUCAUUCUACAUCAGCACCACCUUUGAGCAUUCAGUUAGAGAAAAUGAAGCACAAGCUAAACAAGAUGGAGCAGAAUUUGGCCGCAUACUUCGAGAGUGUGGGAUUUAUCUCACCAUUUCCGCCAAGCCCAUAGAUGUUAUGUGGAUCAAAGUUCACAAUUCAGGGAAGUUUUUUUUUGCCUUUAAUCUUUUAUCUUUACGCUUUAAUUUUUAUGUGAGCUUUGAUUAUCUUACAUUAGGGACAAUGUAAGUUCUUGGUGUGGGGGAGGGAUUUUUGCAUUAUUGAUGUCUGGAAAUAUUAUUUUCACUCUACUCAUCUAUUUUCACUCUACUCAUCCUUAAAUGAGUUUGGAGUUAGUAUGUUUCAUAUAAUAUUAUUUUUCUUUUGUUUUCUUUCUCACUACUCUUUUUCCAUCUAUCUCAAAUUAUUUACAUCUAUUUUUUUUAUUCUAUCAUACUCUUUCACACUAACAUUUUAUCUUCCACUUUUUAUAUUACUACAUACAUCUUUCUCACUUCUUAUCAUUUUUACCUUUCCUUUUAUAUAUCACUCAUACCUUCUUCUCAUUCUAAACCACUAUUGAUGGUUGAUUCAUUUGAAAAGUGUACAUGAUUUGAUGGCAAAUUUACCAACUUUGUGAGGAUUUUAGCCUAUGAGCAACCACUUUGCUCUAAUAUUUUUGUUAUGUGAAUAUCAAUCUUAGUUUGUUUAUUCUAGAACUUGGUUUGUUAUGCAUGUUGAAGCCGUAUUACAGGAUUUUAUGCAUUAAAAUGAUAACGGCAAACCGUUUACAUUUUUCUAUUCUCGCAUUUUCUUUUUUUUUCUCUACCCGAAGACCUUUAUUUACUAUCUUUGUUUGAACCUUAACCAUUACCCAUCUAAUUCUCUCCGUCUACUUAACCAUGUUUCUUUUUUUUUGAGCUUCAAUUUAAGGAGAUUUUGGGACUCAUUGUGUGGAUAUAUUUUGUUGCUUUUUCUACCUUGUAUUAAAGUUUCUCAAUUAGAUCAACAAGCAUUAUACUUGAAUUAAAUUGUGCAAGGUUCGUUUCUUUUGUUUGAAAAAAAAAACAAAAAAGAAAAAGAAAAAGAAAAGAAAAAAGAAAAGGAAAAAGAAAAAAAGAGAAAAAUAAAAAUAAAAAAAAAUCAAAAAAAAGAAAAAAAUUGUUUACAUUCUUGGUGACUUGAGUAGAAAUAAGCAUUUUGAUAUCAUAAGUUCAUUCAAUGAAUUCAUUCUUCUCAUUUUGAUCUCUUUUUCUUUCGUAAACCUUUCUUUUUCAUUUAACCUAUUUAACCCUAUUACAACCUUUUUAAGACUCUUAGAUUUUUGCAUUUUAUUCAUGUUUUGUGGAUUGUGAUGUGAUAUAUGAGCAAGCUUAUGGUAAUAGCAUUCUUUGAUUUGAUUUGAAUGCAUAAAUGAUACCCUAAACACUUUGAGUGCAUGUAACUAUGGCCAAUGGGCCGUGCUGGCUGUCGGCCCACAAUGGCUCGUGGGCCGGCACGGCACGACCCACCAAUUUGGUGGGCCGUGCCCACCUUUUUUCCAGUUGAGCCCAGCACGGCCCACGGCACGAGCCCGCUCGUGUCGUGUCGUGGGCCAUGCCCAAAAAAAGCCCACCAACUUUUUUUUUUAGCGUGCUUAAAAAAGUCCAUGUGCCUAGCGUGCUUUAUUCAAGCCCACGUGCCUGACGUACUUUUUUAUGCCCACCAACAUAAUAAUAAUAAUAAUAUUCACAAUCAUAAUCAUAUUAAUUUUUAUUAAGAGAGCAAUUAACAUUUUAUUAUUAGUUUAUCACAAUUUCACAACUAUAUAUUUUAUUUCACAAUAAUCAAUCAUAAUUCAUAACACAACAAUACAUAAAUUUAAUUAAAUUUAAUUCCAUAGAUCAUAAUAAUAAUUAAUUAAAAUUAAAAAUACAAUCCUCGAAUAAUCAUUACAAUAAGUCAUAACUACGAAAUAUUAAUAUAACAAAUCAUAGGUCACAACUUACAAGUUACAACUAUAAAACACGAACUACGAUCAAUUGACGAAUAACAAGCACGAAAAAAACAUUUAUUAAUCACAACUAUGGAUACGGGAAACGAGCAAGGUUAAUUCUAUCUCGGCUGGUGGCGAGCUAAACAAUUUGACACGUGCCGACAUAAACCCAAGGUGCCGUGGCUGUUUGAAUAAAUAACUUCUCGAUGACAAUAGUUGCACCUCAAGAUCAUCCGCUUGUAAGGACGACGCAAACUAUUAUCUAUUAUUUCCUCCCUUACUGUAGUAAAAUUUUGAAAAAGCUCAUUUAGAAAACGACUUCUGGGCUGAUUUAGCCUAGCAUUUUGUUGAGGUCCAACUACAUUAACACCGUAUUCUUGAGGGUGUUGAGGUUCUUCUGCAUUCAUAUUAUGUUGCUGCGGAUUCAUAAUGAUUUUGGCUUUUAGAAUAUUGGAAAGUUUGAGGAAAAAGAAGAAGAAUAAGAAUUGUGAAGCAUCAUAGCAUAAUGGCGUGUAUAUAUAAUAUUAGAUAGUAAUAAAAAGACAAAAAUUAAUUUUAUUUACUUUGUCGGUGGGAGUAAAAAGAGUAAGUAAAAAAAUAUUUAGUGAAAUAUAAAUAUAGCCGUGAGGCAAGUGCUUGGUUGGCAUGUGGGAAACAAAUCUUAAAUUAUUUAAAAAUCUGCAAUUUGCACGUCUGCAUGUGCACUAUAUGACAAGCUGACAACUACCGUGUUGAAAAUUUGAGUUGAGAAUUUAAAUUCAAAGAAAUAAAGUACUCUACAUAAUGAAUGCAAGCUCCUCCCGUACUACUAGUUUGUUAUUAUAAUAUUAUCUUAUCAACACACUUGUGAUAGGAUUUAUUAACAUUGUGAUAGUUGCGUGAUUCUCUUGUAACAAUGAACCAUAAUUUUUUUUAAUUUAAUAUGUUGUUUUGAAAAAAAAUUAAUUACAAAAAUUAUUUUUAAAAAUAAAUAACAACGGUGCACUUAGAAAAUAAUUUUUUCUAAUUAUUAAAUAAUAAAAAAAUUCUAAAUUAAUUUUAUUACUCACCCAACGGAUAAAAAAAAUUUGAAUUAAUUCAAUUAAAAAAAUUCUGAAUUAAUUGAAUUACUCACCCAACGGACAAUUUUUUUUUUGAAUUAACAGUAAAAUUGAUAUGACUACUCAAUUUUACAGUAUAAGCAGUCGGACUCUGAUUAUCAAUUAAUGUUUUCUGAUUUUUAAUGACAAAAAAAAUUUAAAUCAAUUUCAUAUUUUCAUUACUCACCCAACGGACAAAAAAAAAACUGAAUUAAUUGAAUAAAAAAAAUUCUGCAUUAAUUGAAUUAAUAAUAAAGUUGAUAUGCCUUUCCAAAAAAAAAACAAUAAAGUUGAUAGACUUGACUAGUCAAUUUCACUUUCACAGCAUGGGCAUUCAUGACUCAACAAUUAGACUUAACUAGCUUACAGAAUUUGUAAGCUAUAGACUGCAGCAUCAGCCGUUGGAUGUGGAGUGAGAAACUAAACAAUAGACAAUCGAAUGGUGGGAAUGGGAUGACAGGAGACGUUUGUUACAGUCUUGCAGAAUCGGUACCAUAGAGUCAUAGACAGAUCCCUCAACAAUUAAUUUUUAAUAAUAAAAAAUUCUAAAUUAAAUCAAUUGCUCACCUUACAAUUCCAAGUUUCCAACGGACAAAAUGAAUGAUAAAAUGUAACUGUUUAAUUUGCUGCAGCCUUGCAGAGUUGCAGGAAGCUUUGCAGUUGUAGACUUGUAGGUUUGCAGCGUGUUUGUUCGUUUUUGACCGUUAAAAUGUUUACUUUUUUAUUUGCUCGUUUCUAACCGUUAAUAUGUUUACUUUUUUAUUCUAUUUAAACGAUUAAAUUAUUUUCGAAUUCAUCUCACAUUCUCACUUCUCAAUUUCUAAUUCUUUAUCUCCUCGUUAUCUCUCUUAUCUCAUCAAUCAUCUCUAGUCUCUGCUUGCCCAAUCUUCUUUACUACAAUUCCAGCGCCUUUAUUUACCAAAACACUAAUUAUAUAAAAUGUCUCACUCUCAUUUCGAGUUAGAUGAGAAUUUUAAUUUUGUUGAAGAGGGAGAGGAAGUUGCAAAUGAAGAAAUUGCUGCACCAGAAUUUGAUCCAAGUAAUAUAUUUAUUGUCCCACCUAAACGAUUGCCUCCUACUUCUCAAGCAAGUCAAAGUGGUUCUACUUCUUCAACUGCCUGUCCUACUACUACCUCCAAACGACAAAGAACAUCGAUUGUUUGGUCAUGUUUUACUUUGGAAAAACAUCAAAUCAAAAAAGGUGAAAUGGUGGAUCAAGCAGUGUGCAAAUAUUGUCAAUUUGCUUUAAGUGCCAAAAGCAAUGGUGGAACUAGACAUCUUAGACGACAUAUGGAAACUUGUCAGACAAAACACGAGCCACAAGACCCAACACAAACCCAACUCUCACAAUAUGGUUCUAGAUCUUCCGGUAUAACAUCAUUCAGAUAUUCACAACAGCACAUGCGAGAAGGAUUGGCUCGGUAUAUUGCUGCAGCAGAACAACCUUUAACAUUUUCAGAAGAUGAACGUCUAAUAAAUUUUUUGCAAAGGUAUGUUCAACCUCAACUUAAGAAAGUGCCUAGAAAUACAUUAAAACGUCAUUUAACUAAAAUUUUUCAUGACAUGAAAAAACUUUUAAUUAAUACUUUUAUCAAUUUUAAUGGUGUUAUUUCAAUUUCUUCUGAUUGUUGGACUGGUAUUAAUAUGGUUGGUUAUUUUUGUGUGACUUCGCACUCUAUACAUGAGAUUAAUGGUAAAUGGAGGUUGGAAAAAAAAUUGCUUGCAUUUCAUGAAUUAGAAUAUCCUCACACUGGUUCAGUAAUUUAUGCAGCUAUAAUGUCUGUUUUAAGAGAAUAUGAAAUUACUGAUAAAUUGUUUAGCAUAUCAUUUGAUAAUGCAUCUGCCAAUACAGUGGCAAUUGAUAUGUUUUUGUGGAAUAUUUCUACUCUCAUGCCUGCACGUGGUUCAAAAGUUUUUCAUUUGAGAUGUGUGUGUCAUAUUAUUAAUUUAAUUGUUCAAGCUGGUAUGACUCAUAUAAAUCAUUAUUUAGAAAAAAUUAGAGCAUCCAUUUUAUAUAUUAGAGCACCUUCAAGACGUCAAUAAUUUUUAGAGACAUUGAAAAUUUUUGGAUUGAAAAGGAGAAAAUUCAACCUUGACAUGAAAGUUCGUUGGAAUUCUACGUAUUUAAUGUUGCUUUCUUGUCAAAACUAUUCUGAAGCAAUUUCUAGUUUUUACAAUGAGAGAAUGAAUGAUAAAGAUUAUCAUAUCACUGAUUAUGAUUGGAAUGUUGCAUUUAAAUUUAUGAAUUUUUUAAAGGUAUUUUAUGAUGCUACUCUUGCAUGUUCUACUGUUUAUGAGCCUACUUCAUGUAGAGUGUUAAUGCACUUGUACAAUAUAAGUUAUACUUUUAAGACUUUUAGAGAGAAUAUUACGUUUAAAAAUAUUUGUGAUACCAUGGAGGAAAAUUUUCAAAAAUAUUGGAAAGAUAUUCCCCACCUAUUUAUUUUUGCAGUAGUGUUGGAUCCUACAAUCAAGGAAGUUGGUGCAAAACUUUUAGUUGAGGGUAUUAGUGAAAAUUUACAAACCGGACUUGAUACAAAUUUUGAUACAAUUAUGUCCUCUAUGCAUGAACUUUUUAAUUUUUAUCGAAAUAAAUUCGAAUUAAGCAAUACAUAUUCUAAUGUUCAACAAGCAUCGACUUCUUAUAAAAAUCCAGCUCACCUUUUGUUACUCAAAGGUAAGGGUGUUGCCUCUAGUAUUGAUACUAAUCGUAAUGAAUUACAAAGAUAUUGUUAUGCCAAUCUUGAAGAUUUAGCAACUCCUUCACAAUUUCAAAAUUUUGAUAUUUUAGAUUUUUGGAUGGGUAAGAUAUCUUUUUUCCCUAUAUUAUCCAUUAUGGCCCGUGAUCUACUAACCCCUCCAGCUUCAACUGUAGCAUCAGAAUCAGCUUUUAGUAUAGGUGGCAGAAUUCUAGAUGAACAUCGGUCAAGAUUGUCAUCAGAGACAUUAGACUCUUUGUUGUGUUUGAAAGAUUGGGAAGAUGCUGAACGCCGAGUGCAACAAGAUUGGCAAAAUGCUUUAAUUAAACAAAUUGAGAGUUUGAAUGUUGAUCAAGAUGAAGUGGAUCCAGAUUAUGCAGAGUACUGAACAUUGAAGCCACUUCCAAAUACUAGAAAAUUUUUUUUCUUGUAACUUUUUGAUACAAUUUUUAUUAGUGAGAAGGUUGUAAAUUUGCAAAUGAUAGAUGGUCCAGUAGGUGCCAACCUAGUUGGGAUGUACUGUUAACUGUAGUGAUGCAAAUUACACCUAAUUUUAUUUGAAUUACUAAUAUUAUAAUUGUACUUUAACUUCAUUUAAUGAAAAUGUAAUUUUUAUUUAUCAUAAUUUUUCUUGUGUAUAAAAUGGAAAAUAUUUCAUUCACAAAUGAAACGUAUCUCUAUUAAAUAUUAACUAAGUUAUGAUUUAAUAUUAAUAUGAAAAAUAUUUCAUAUAAAAAAUAUUUUAUUAUUAAUUUUGUAAAAAAAUUUAUUUUUUAUUUAUAAUUUAUAAAUUUAUUAUAUUUAUAAUCUUAUUUAUUAAAAUCAUGAUAUUUAGUUAUUUACUUAUUCAUUUAAUAAAUUAUAAACAUAAAUAAAUAAUUAAAUAAAUAUCAUAAAUAACAUUAUUCAUUUAAUAAAUAUCAUAAAUAAAAUUAUGAUAUUUAUAAUUUUAUUUAUUAAAAUCAUGAUAUUUGCUUAUUCAUUUAAUAAAUUAUAAACAUAAAAGAUUAGAAUAUUUAUUUAAACUAAGAUUUAAUAAUUUAAAUUAAUUUUUAAAAGUCUAUGCUAAAAAAUAUAUUAAAACAUUUAAUUUCAAGAUAUUGUACUUUAAUUUCAUAACAUUUUAUAUUUACUUUUUGUUAAAAAAAAUUACUUAGAUAUAUUUUGGCCCAAGUGCUAUUAAUGGCUCACGGGCCGCGUGCUAGCCCACUAAUGAACUGUGCUUAUUACGUGCUUUUUCGCGUGCCGUGCUUUGGCCCAUCUCUAAUCGUGCCGUGCUUUAAGGCCCGUGUGCCUAAAAUUCUAGGCCCGACACGGCCCACAUGCAUGCCGUGCCGUGCCUCGUGCCUCACCGAAACGUGCUCGUGUCGUGCCGUGCCACGUGCCGCCCGGCCCAUUGGCCAUCUUUAAGUGCAUGGAGUGAAGUCAAUGAGAGGGCUAUUAAAUCUUGUUGCACUUGAAUUUUGAAUGGAUCUUCUUGGUGGUUGAAGGUUUUUAUUCUAGCUUAUGAGAUUCUAUGCUUUAAAAUCCUUGCCUCUCAAAUGUUGAUUAACUUAAAUUCUUGAGGCAUGCUUGCUUAAAAUUGUUUUUGGAUGAGUUGAGAUGAGAAUUGAGUGGAAAUUUGGGAUUAGUCUUGAGUUAUAUGCUUGAGGACAAGCAUCAUCUUGGUGUGGGGGAAUUUGUUAGAGUGCAAUUUAUACACUAGUUUUGCAUUGUUUACUUCCCUUAAUAUCAAUGUUUUGCACUUAAUAAUAGUGAUUUACUUGUGUUUUACUUUUGUAGGUGCAAUUCUAUUGAUUUGUGAUAAAAAUGAGCUAUAAGAUGAUGUUUAAAGAUGAUUGUUCUCUUGGAGAAAUUUAGAGCGUCAGAAGAACUUUGUUGAUAAGGCGUGGGCGCGUGCUGUCAACUGCGGACUUGCAGUUUUUAGUUUAACGUGUUUUGUAUUUUUGGUUAUUUUUGUAAUUACGAAUUUAAUAUUUUAGAUAUUAGUAUUUUAUUUUAAAUAGAACUCUAAAAGAGAAGAGAGAAAGAGUAUUUAAGGGAGGAAUCUAUUGUGAAAACGGAGAGAUUGGGGGAAAAAGAAAGAAACCCUAGAUCUAAACUUUUCUCUUCUCUCUAUGAAGAGCUAAACUUAUUUUUCUGGUUGAAGGUUAAUAAAGCUUUGAUUCAUCAAUACUGCGAGAUCUUUCUUAUGCUUUCAUUGUUUUAUUACUUUUUAGGUAUUUGUUUAUUUUCUGAAUUAUAAUCAUGAUUAUGUUUGUUAAUUAGAUAAUUGACCACUAUUUAAAUAUCAACUUAAUCUAUUGUCAAUUAAAUGAUUCAUCGUAUGAAGAUUUUAAUGUUUGUGACAAAUAACAUAGCAGAGAGUUGUGUUGUGAGAAUAAACAAUUUAAUUUAAAUGAACUAUCGUAUAUGUUUGUUGAUUAGGAUUUGGGUCUCUCUGGUUUUUCAGGCUGUCAAUUGAUUAAAUCCUAUGAUCGUAUCUAGGGUUGUCUAUUGAUUAGGGAAAUAACCAAUGGUCGUACCUUGGUUAUCGACUAGUUAAUGAGAGAUUGACUAUUAGAGGGUCUCAGUAGCUAUAAUCUGUCUAUUAAUAAGUAAUAAUAAUUUAUAUUUGAAUCAAUGAUCAGUAGUCGAAUUAAGCUGAGUUAAUUCCUUUAACCAGAGCUUUCUCCAAUUUAAAUUACAACUUUAAUUUGCAUUCUUGUUAUUUUAAUUUGAUUUUUAUUAUUGUCAACAAAACCCCCAUUUUAUGUUUUACGUUUCAAAAGGAUUUAAAUAAUUACCGAUCUCUGUAGACACAACUCUGCUCAAUCACUAUACAAUUUAUUUAGAGUAAAUAUUUAUUUUUGUUGGCUUCGACAACCAUCAUUCACUCCCAUUACAUCUUCAAGGACCUGCAGCCAAUAAGCAAUGGCUCCAAAUGCUAGGUUCGCUAAGCCAAUAUCGUCUCCAUUGAAAAAUUUCUUCUCUCCUGGGCCAUGUUUUUCAACGGUUUGAAGCAUUUCCAAGGCUGCCUUCAUUGCAUUCUCCAGGUCUUGUCCAGUGCUGAAAAACAUUUUCCAAACAGCUACUCCCUGCCACAAGAUUUUAUAUCUAAUUCUUAUCACCACAUGAUUAACAAUAUAAACGAGGUAAAAAGAAAUUAGAUAAUAGGUACACACGCAUCAAAGUAUCUUUCAAAGCCUAGACGUUUCAAACUGUCAAAGUAUCUAGAAGAGUUUACCCACUAAUUUUUAGACUAAUUUAUUAUAACUUUUAGAGCUUAUUCAAGUAGAAUUUUUGUUAGUAAAAUUUAAUUGUUAAUGAAAAUUUUCAUUAAUUUUUUUAAAUAACUUUAAUAGACAAGUUUAUAAAGUAAAGUUAUGAAAUAAAUAAAUAAAAUAAUAUUAUAAAAUAAAUGAUGAACAUUUUAAACUAUUUAACUUUUUAAAAAAUCCUCAAACUUCUAUUUCCAAAAAAUUAAAUUUAAAUUUUUACUAGUAUAGGUAAAAGAAUUUAUUUAACCCCAAAAGUUCUUCUAAAAAUAAAACUAAACAAUAAUAAAAAUUUGAAAUGAGAUUUUUUGAUUAAAUAAACACUUAUUAGUAAUAAAUAAGUCAUAUCAAACAAAUACUUAAUGAUAUAAAAGGAAAAAUAUUAAAAAAAAAAUCCUCUUAUUGUUUUAGUAAAUUAUAAUUUUGCUUUCAUGUUUCGAAAGUCCUCAAAAUUCCCCCUAUCGCUAAAACAAUUAUAUUUUAAUAUUUUACCCUUGAUGCAGUAAAAUCCACGAUUAAUUAAGAAAAAUUUCUAAAGGUAAAAAAUUUAAAGUAAUUAACCGAAUUUUUUUGAUAAUUUUCUCUAAUGUAAAAUAAAAGGUUCAUUGAGCUUAGUCGGCCGUGAAUGCAUUUUGCACAUGCGAGGACAUUAGUUUGAGCAUUAAUAGUAGAUAAAAAUUAAUGUUUAGGGAGUCAUGUUUCUCAUAUACAAUGAAAAAUUAAAGUAUAUAAAGAAACCCGACAAGAUUAAUUAAAUUUAUAAACGUGUUAGCAAGAAAAGUUGUGAUGCGAACCUUGUCUUCGGCAAAUUUAAUCCAAAAACGAGCUUGAGCUCUAUCAUAAGGAUCACUUGGCAUCAACGAGGGAUUGUGUGGCCACAUCUCUUCAAUGUAUUCGAGAAUAACCAUGGACUCGAAAACUGGUUUUUCGCCAUGAACGAGCACUGGUAUUGUGAACUGGGUUAUACUUCAAAAGCGAAGCACUUUUGUUGUAGAGAUCUUCUUCAAUGUAUUCAUACGGGAUGCCUUUCAAUUUCAGAGCCCAUACUACCUUGUUGCUAAAUGGACUCGCCCAUCCCCCGUGGAGCUUCACUUCAGCCAUGUGUCUGAGAUCGAAUUUGAAUAUGUGUGUGGUUGUUUUGCUUAGCUGAUGAGUUAUUGCAUACGUACAUCUGAAUUUAUAAUGAUUAAUAUUGGAAUAUCGAGUGCGCUUGCUUGAGCAGGGAGCUUCAUAUCUCCAAUUUAUUUAAUAAAACGAUUCAAUUAAGUUGAAUUCAAUGAACUAAUGCUGCGACAUUUUAACAAUUCUGUUAUAUAUUCAACGAGAAGAGGUAUCGUAUUUGACGGGAAUCUCUUGAAACAGUGCUGAAUUAACAAGUAACCAAUGGUGGCUGUCACUUUAUCACAGUAUUUGCUUCAAGUUUUUUCCAUGAUGAUGGUUGGUCAUCUUGGUCAACUUGCUCUUUCUAGCACCGCCAUGGCCAUCUCUCUAGCUAGCGUCGCGUCCUUGUAAGUUCUAUAAUCCAUAUAUAGUUAUUUACAAUAUCAAGAUCAUGACACAAGCUUGUUUGUUCUUUCUUUUGAUAGGUAUUUGCAUCAUUGCAUGUGGGAUUUAAACAAACAGAUAUGCCAAAUUUCGGAUGUUAAAAAACGUGCAAUUAACUAAUACCCUGUUUGUAAAAAUGCCAUUAAUUUUUAAAGGACUUGAUUUACUCGUUUUUAAAAAAAAAAAAAAUUCUACAGCUAACUUGAAUUGUGUAAUAUUUUCUUUGAAACAGUUAGGAAUGGCAAGUGCUCUGGAAACAUUAUGUGGGCAAGCAUAUGGAGCUCAGCAAUAUCAAAGAAUUGGAACUCAAAUUUACACUGCAAUAUUUUGUUUAUUCUUAGUAUGUUUUCCGCUUUCCUUUCUAUGGAUUUACAUGGGAAGGCUGCUAGUUUUGGUAGGCCAAGACCCCCAGAUUUCACAUGAAGUAGGCAAGUUUAUAAUCUGGCUUCUUCCAGCUCUGUUUGCUUAUGCAGCAAUGCAGGCGCUUAUUCGAUAUUUUCAGUCUCAAAGUUUGAUCAUUCCCAUGUUCUUAAGCUCCUAUGCCGCUCUUUUUUUGCAUAUUCCCAUCUGUUGGGGUUUGGUAUUCAAGUCUGGACUAGGAAACCUUGGAGGAGCAUUGGCAAUUGGUAUAUCGUAUUGGUUGAAUGUAACUUUCUUGGCAAUUUACAUGAAGUUCUCCACUGCUUGUGCAGAAUCCAGGGCUCCAAUUUCAAUGGAGUUGUUCCGAGGAAUUGGAGAGUUCUUCCACUUUGCUAUCCCUCCUGCAGUAAUGGUUUGGUAUGUUAGUUAUCUUCUGGAGCUUCAUUUUCCCUUCUCAUAGACAUCGUAGACACGUCAUAAAUUUUCAUGCUUCUUUUGUUUAUAAUUUUGCAGCCUAGAAUGGUGGUCAUUUGAAUUGCUCAUUUUAAUGUCAGGGCUGCUGCCUAAUCCACAGCUUGAAACUUCAGUCCUAUCUGUAUGGUAUGUUGACAUAGACUUUGUAUGUGAAAGUUCUAUACAGAGAAGCACCUACCAAAGGAAAUAGAUUUUUUUUCUUUUUUUCUUUUUUUUCCCGACUGCUCAUUAUUUGUCAACUUCUCUGGGCAGUCUCAGUACUAUUCAAACCCUCUCUGCAAUCCCAUAUGGACUUGGUGCUGCAGCGAGGUUUGUUCAUAACAAUCACUUAAAUAAUAAUUGUUUUAUAUCAACUAAUUAGCAGAUUAACCAUUAUUUCCUUCUAUAGUACUAGAGUUUCAAAUGAACUAGGAGCUGGGAAUGUGCAAAGAGCCCGUGUAGCUGUCUAUGCUGUGGUCUUUAUGGCAGUCAUGGAGACUAUCAUAGUAAGUGCAUCUCUCUUUGCCAGCCGGCAUGUUUUUGGUUAUGUUUUCAGCAAUGAGGGACAAGUUGUGGAUUAUGUCACAACCAUGGCUCCUCUGGUUUGUUUGUCUGUCAUCAUGGAUAGCUUACAAGGACUCUUUUCAGGUUAAAUUAACUUCUUCAACUCUGUCAAUUGCUAAAUAGUUCUCUUUAAGUGGAAAUAAAAUUUUUCAGGUUUCUAAAUUCUUUUUAUUAUUUUUAAGGUGUUGCAAGAGGAUGUGGGUGGCAGAAUAUAGCUGCUUUUGUGAAUCUUGGGGCUUAUUAUUUGUGUGGAGUCCCAACUGCUGCCAUUUUGGGUUUCUGGUUAAAGUUUAGAGGAAGGGGCCUAUGGAUUGGGAAACAAGCUGGUGCUUUUACACAAACACUUCUGCUUGGCAUCAUAACAACAUUUACAGAUUGGGAAAAACAGGUCUGUUUCUCAACAUUUAAUCCCUUAAAAAUUAGAGAAGCUUAUUGGACUAUAUAUGUAAAUAUGUAGCAAUUUUUUUUUCCCAAUACGUAUCUGAUACCUUUUGACUGAAAGUUCAAGAUUAAAAUCACUCAGCUUGAUCUGAAAUGGUUAGUAUUAUCAUCUUCUGCAGAAAUGGUUUUGCUCAUUGAGAAAAUGAUAUUCAAUAACACAAAUGCAAACUCAUUUGAAAAUUUUGCCAUUGAGAAAAUGAUAUUCAAUAACAGACAUGCAAACUCAUUUGAAAAUUUGCUUUUUUGCAAGAAUUAUAACCAUUUUCUAGUUUGUUAAUUGUUGCAUCUUCUGUGUUUCUAAGGGGUUUCUCAUGUUGCAGGCAAGUAAAGCAAGGAAAAGAUUAUCAAAGGGAAGAUCUUUAGAAGAAAAUAGAAUAGUUUGUGAGUGAGCAGAGUCAAUCAAUGAGCUGAUAUAUACAUUUUCCAGUUGAAAGAGAUAAUCAUUGCUUGAGAAAAUGAGCUGAUCAUAUGUCAAUUGAUGGCCAAGAAGGUUCCCCAAUCUGAUCUACGGAGCAUGGCAUUUCAUAAAACUCUGUUUCUAGAGAAAAAAAAAAAAAUUAACAGCUUCUUAGGAUUGGAGCAUCAGGUGACUUAGUAUUUCCAGUAUGAAUGAAUUAUAAGAUAGAUGAUGCUGCAAAAAUGAAUAGAGAUAAAAUUAAGCAAGAGAAAAUGUUUGAAUGUUAUUAUUGAAACCUUUUCCAGUGAUUGUAGAGAUAAUUUUCUUUGUAUUGAAACUUUCAGCAUCUGAAAGAUAAGGAAAAUAUUAAAAGAAAAAAGAAAAUUCUUAAAUCUUUUCCAUGUCACUCCAGCAAAGUUGAAUUGUGAUUCUAAACCCUACACCAAAGUGUAAGGUGGCCUGUGGCCUAUAGGUAAUACACAAUUUGACAACCCCAUAUAUUUAGUAAUCUAGGUGGAUGCCAUUAAUUUUUUUUAAAAAUUUUUGUUCAUUUUUAAUGCAAACAACGCCUCUUUCAUUGAGACAUUGGAAUAUAUAAAGAUUUGUAUACUGAUUUUGGACCAUAAUUCACAAAUAAUGCGGCGCAUAUCUUUCUUUCAGUACUUCUUCAGGAGGAUAAGAUACAGACAUUGUUGUCUUUUUACCUGAAGCAAGUGCAUGCGCAUGAAUUGUUGUUGUCUGUUAAUCUGCUGCCACUUUGCUGCCAAAAAACUUGAAAAAUAAACCAGGAAAAUUUUCAAUAAGCAAAGCCAAACAACUAACCCCUGUUUUAAGUUAUUUUCCUAAGAAAACUUUUAAACACUCAAAUAAAGCACAUAAGUAAAGUAUUUCUGUCACAUUAGCUUUCGAGUGAGGUUUGAUUUACAUUUAUAUCAUAUAUACCAAGUGUUUUUUAUUCUUUUAAUUAAUGUAUAUCACAGCUUGGAAAUUCUAAAAAUUAAUCAUGCUUAAUCUUGAGCAACAAUAUCUGUAAUCAUCAUACGAGGUCAAAAGUGAGGAAAAAAAAGGAAAAGAAAAAGGAAAGAGUUAGUUUUAUGUAUAAAAGUGAAAGGAUCUGUUAUAGACUAUUUCUGUUGCAUGGUUUUCGGAGGCAUAGCAUUGUCCACAGCAUUUGGGCUUUGCUUCUGAUUCAAUGGCAUUUAGAAUUUGGUUUCAUCUGAGAUCAUAUAUAGCUUGAUCCUGAUAUCUUCCAUUUUGGAGGGAUUCAGUUAAAUUGAAGAAGUUUGAUGUUCCAGUUCAAAUUGGGAUUGCUGCAGAUAAUAUAUAUAAUUCUGUAGAGGUUUUCUAAUUUUUAUUUUUAGUAAUGUAUUCAUGUCCUGUCAUUCUUCUUUCUGCUUAAAUCCAAUUGCCCAUGUUGGAAUUUCUUUUCAGCUUUUGUAUUCUUUUUCCUUUUUGUUCAAUAAUGCUAUAGACGAUGCUCUACCAUUUAAAAGAUAUAAAUAACAAAUUUUAUAAAUUUUUACUUCGUCAAGGUGUGAAACCUUAUAAAAUUUAUAAAUUUAACUUAUGAACAGAGAAGCAUAAAAAAAAUGUUUGGAGUUGCUUAAUACCAUAGAAACAAAAGCAGAAAGAUAUGUUCAAGAACAAAACCCAAAAUUUUCAUCAAGUGGAGGAUCGAUCAUGCCAGCAUAAUAACAUAAUUACAUAAUGCUCGAAGAGCAUGCAUGACUUUCUCAAAAAAUAAUAUCACUUAAAUGAUCAAAAAACAGAAAUAAUUAAUUGAUUAUCCAUAUAUAUAAACAAGCCUAGCUCUCAAUGUGAAAUAUAUUAAAACAGCAACUAUAAGAUUUUCGGUGAUGAUAUUUCCACCCCAUAAAUUUUAUAAACCCACCCAUUUUUUAAAAAAAUUAUUAUAAUAAGUUCACAUUAUUUUUUAAAACAUUUAAAUUAAGAAGAAAUUAAAAAAUUAAUCAAUUAAAUCUAUAUUCAUUUCUUCUUCUUUUUUUAACUAUGUUUCUUUAUUAUAUUUCAUCAAUAAGGUUGCUUUAACAUAAAUUAAUAUGACUAUUUUACCGUUAUAAGGUAAAAGUACCAAAAUAUCACUUUAAUAAAAUUUUAUGCAAUUUUUUUUAUAUUUUAAUGAUAUAUAAGUAAUUGUUAGUACAAUUAUUAUUACUCCACUAAACUAACAAAAUAUAAUUAGGAUAGGGAUGGCAAAAAUCCCCACGGGGACGGGUACCCUCGGGGAUUUUUCCCAUUCGGGGAGGGUACGGGGAUAAUUUUAUACCCAAUUUUUUAUUCGGGGAGGGGACGGGGAAAAUUUUUUACCCAAUUUUUUAUUCGGGGAGGGGAUGGGGAUGAGGUGGAAUCCCCAUCCCCUACCCAUUUCCCCAUUUUAAUUUUUAAUUUUAAUUUUAUUUUUAAAAUUACUAAUAAAUAAAUAACAAAAUUAUAAAUAUUGUUAAAAAUAAUAAAUAUCAAAAUAUUUAUAUUAUUAAAUGCUAAUAGGUAUCCUACAUUAGCUCGAAUUGCUAGAGAUAUUUUGGCAAUUCCAAUUAUAACAGUUGGUUCUGAAUCAACUUUUAGCACCGGUGGUAGAGUUGUGAGCUCACACCAUAACAAACUUCAUCCAAGCACAUUGGAGGUCUUAAUGUGCUGUCAAAGUUGGUUACGAGCUUACAAUAGUAGUAUGAGUUUAUUUUACAUUAUAAUUAUAUUAUAUAAUUAUUAAUAUUUGCACUUAUAAGUUACUUUACUUAUAUCAUUUUCAUUGUUUUAGGUUUGAAAUCUGAGGCUAUCUCUCAAUUUGCCACAUUUCUCGAGGAAGAAUAGGAGGAGCAGGACGAGCAGGAGGUAAAUAGUUUUAUUAAAAAUAUUAAUUAAGUAUCUACAUUUAUUUCAUUUAUUUUAUUGCCGAUAUAAAAAUAAUUUUUUUUCUUUUUAUUGUAGGAUUAUGAAGAUUGAGUCAUUGACAAAGAUAAUUAUUUUAAUAAUUUAUAUUUUGAAUGUGACUUUGUAAUGGAUCAAUAUUAAUGUAAGAUAUGUUUUGAACUUUAUUUUUAUCUGAAUUUUUUAUUUUAAUAUGAUUAAUUUAAAAUUGAAAAUAAAAAAAUUUAUUAGACUAUUAGUUAUUCGGGGACCGGGGACCCUCGGGGAUCCCCUGUUAUUAUUCGGGGAGGGGAUGGGGAUUCUUUCAAAUAAUUCUGACGGGGACGGGGAGGGGACGGGGACAUACCAAAAUAUCGGGGAUGGGUAUGGGGAGAUUGGUCCCCUCCCCUCCCCUCCCCAUUGCCAUCCCUAAAUUAGGACAUGUGGUGGAAUGAAAAUAAUUAAAUUUUAUAUAAAAACCUACGCAAUUAGUUACAAUAAAAAAUAAAUAAAUAAAUAUAUAUAUAUAGUAAUUUGGUUAUUUUAUAUUAUAAGGGUAAAAUAGUCAAAUUAAAUUUAUCUUGGGGCAACCUUCAAAAGUUAAAGAUUGUUAAAAGCUGAAGGCCAAAAAAAAAAUUGAUUUAAUUAAUUAAUUAUUCAAAGCUUUUAUUAAUUUGUAAUUUUAUAAAAUAAUGUAAAUUUAUUGUAAUUAUUUUAUGGAGGUGGAGGGGGUUUAUAAAAAUAGUGGGGUGGAAAUAUUCACACCCUUCAAUUAAUAGUUAGGAUAAUUUUUAGAUACUUCCCCUAAUGUUUGGCUUUGCUACACUUUUAGAUCAUUUUGAGAGAGAAUGUAUCUAUAUAUUGACAAGAGUGAUGAUACAACUACAAAUUUUUAUACAAACGUAUCUUGUAUAAAUUGAUUUGUCAUUAAUUCAUUAAUUGAAUAAAAAUAUAUCAUGUGGGCCAAAAGAUAUUUAAUUCAAAUAAUUUUAUUAUAUCACAUUAAUUUAUAUAAAAUAAAUUUGUAUAAAAAUUUAUAACUAUAUUAUUAUCCUAUUGAUAAUAUACACCUUGGCCGUGUAUAAGGGUUAGGCACUGAUUAAGUAGUUGCAGUUUUUUUUUUUUUAAAUCUUACAAAAGCUAUUAUACUGUAACUAAUAAGCUAGUGAAACCCGAGGGGAUAGUAACCCAUUUUCAUUGUCAAUGCCUAGCUUCAUUUCUUUUUUUUUCUUUUUUUUCUCACUUGAUGAGUGCUUAGCUUCAUGUCGAAGGUCGUGACACCAACUGAUUUUAGCAAAAGCAGAGAUACUUUGUGAUGCAGUAAGCUAACAAGUUUCUGAAAUCAACUAUGUUUUGAACCAAAUUUCGGCGACGACCAGCAGCUGAAAAGCCGGUGAUUAAAGGGCACAGUAGGUGCGUAAUUCUAUCAAAGCUUAAAACUGAAGUUAGGUUUUAUUAUUUUCUUGCAUUUUGUUGAAAUUGCUGUUAGUUAGGUGCUUUAUUCUUUGUUCCCAUUAAUUGAGAAAAAUGUUUAGGGUUUAUAGAAAUUGAAGUAACGACCGAAUAUAUUUGAAUUGAUUUUUGAGUUGAUAGUCACUCGAAAUGUUGUGUAAACCAUGAAAAUGAUUUAUUUUUUGAUGAUUUUGGACUGUGGGGUUUUUUUUUUUUUUGAAUUACAUGAGACUAAUGCUCAGAUUACAACUCAUAUUAUAUGAGAUUUACAACUGAUAUUUACAAUCAGACAAUUACUGGGCCUAAUUUACAUUAAUUCUUAUAUAGCAUUGCUCAGAUUUUACCCUCUCUAAUAUUCGAGGGGUGUCUACUCCACUCACAUUUCGAAAGGGAGAAGACUGACUUCACUUAAUAAUUAAGGAAGGAAAUAAACCCCUACAUGCGUCGCGGGGGCUCGAACCGCUGCGCUCACAGUUGUGAGUACAGGGUCCUGGCCACUGGGCUAAAGCCCAGUUGGUUGACUGUGGGUUUUGAAUGCUUACUGAAAUUUGCUUGAUAUGUUCUUUAAAUUGAGAAAAAUCCAAGCUUCUUCUAAGAAUACAGAGGUGUUGCUGAGAAAAUGCUUAUGGUGUUGUUUUGUUUCUUUUUUUAUUUUACAAGUGGGCAGUUCAUGAACCAGUACAGUUGAGAAAGUGUCUUUUGGGACAUUCAUUUUAAUACACAGAUUAACAGAUUUAAUUACAUAAACACAAGACUUCAUUUGUUUAUCCAAGUAGUACUUCUGAUGCUUUCGUAUAAUGAAUGCCAAAGAGAUGACAUUUGCAAAAAGGCCAUUUGAAUGUACCAAUUGCUAUCCUUGUAAACCUCUAUUGUGAUUCUGUUAUCAUUAUAUGUUUAAUGAUCUGAUGAUUUCGAGAUAUCAAGAUGAGUUUAUGGUAGUACAUGUUCAUUUAGCUACUUUAGGUACUAAUACAUGCAUUUAUUGUAUAAUGCCUACUUAGCAGCCAUAACUACACUCAUUGUUGAAGCUACAGCAACACAAAUGAGAAAAAACAUGCUGAGGAACAACAUUGUCUUUAUAUCAUUGCAUUUUACUCCAUUUUGUUGUGCUUUUUGCAUCAGUGACUUCAAAUCCAUCAUAUCCUUUUGCAUACUCAUCAGCAGUUCAUAAUUUGCUUGACAUGUUCCUAAACCAUCAAAUAUAACACCUCGAUCGAUAUCAUUUGAGGAUGGCAUCCAAAACUUGAAAUAGCCACAACCAUUUUUGCUAUCCAUACAGCAAUAACAUAGCUUGUUUGGGUUGUCAUCUGAUUGCGCUACCUUCAUAGUAGCUCUUUUGUAGCAUUUACAAAUCUUGUUUGAAAAUCGAAUGAAUUUAAAAUAUUAUCAUUUAUUGUUUUUUUGUAGCAUUUACUAAUCUUCUGAUAUUCAGUAUUGUUUUUAUAUAAAUUAAUUUAAAAUAUUAUCAUUUCUUUAUCUUAUUAUGUGAUUUUACACUAUCAAAUUAUUUGUUUUAAGGGGCAUUUUGGUCUUUUCAACACUCAUUUGAGUUUUGUCUUAUUAUAAGAAUAUGUAAUGUCAACAGCAAUUAUCAUAAGAGUAUAAUGGCCUUUUCACUGCUCUACAAACCCCCCCCCCCCCAACCCCGCGGCCAAAAACAAUUUCGCCCCAAAUAUAAAGAUCAUCUACCGUGUCCAAUAAUUUUGGCAUUCAUUGAAAUAUGUACUAAAGGGCAUUAUUGUAUAUUCACUCAACUACCUAACGAGUGCCUAACCUUUAUACAUGGCCGGGGAGUAUAUUGUCAAUAUAUGGAUACAUUCUCUCUAAGUGUAUCUAAGCCAAACCUCAGGGGAGGUUUCUAAAAGUUUUCCUAAAUAGUUAAUAAUUUUGUACAACAGAUUCUUGGAUACGCCUCAAGUUCACUGAUUGUACGUUAUGGCUGACUUUCAAGAAAUUAAAUUCUACAUUAUGACCCCCAGUGAAACAUUGUCGCCGAUAAAAUUAUAAAAUAUAUGUGUAAUAGUAGUCAAACCUAAACCUACGUCGUUUAGCAAUUUACAAAAUGAGAAAGACGACAAAAGCCAGGUGUUGGACCGGCAACGAGCCAACGAGAUAAGCUCAAGUUCACUGUGUUUUUUAUGAACCCUCUGAAGACCCGAAACUCUGGGUUUGUUUUUUACGUUCCCUAACUGUUUGACUGCAUUUUUAUUCUUUGCUACGUUCGUUAUGAACUGUUCAGGCUAAGUGCUCGACGAAAUCCCUAAGUGAGUAUGUAUAAUGGUUUGCUCUUGUAUUUAUUCUGUUAUAGAAGGUUUUGCUUUGGGUGGUUAAAUGGAGGAGACUAGACAUUGAACUUUAUGCACUUGUAUGUUUUCAAGUAAUUGGUUGUUCAGGGACAUGUACUUUGAAUUGCUUCAUUCAUCUUCAGAGAUAUCAUAACAUUUUUUGCUUAGUGUGAGUCUUAUUGUUGUUAAUUUGUCCAAAGUGAAGGCUUUUUUAACUUUUAUUUCUUUGAUUUAUUUAUUUAUUGUUGUGUCGAAGUUCUGUGUCUCAACUUUUAUUUGAUAAGUUCUUUCAGACUACUAAUUAGAAGAAAAAAAUGCUAGAGAGUGAGUAUGAGAGGGAAUGAUGUUUGGGCAAGGGGUGAUUGGUUCACUUGGCUCAUGAAGAACCCCAACUAUAAUGGCAUGUAUCAAUUUCGCAGCCUAAUUGGCAGGUAAGCUCAUUUCUUGAUUUCCUUCAAUUUUCACUUUCAUUUUACUGUUUUCAAGUAGCAGGUAAUCUAAAUAAAAGUAAAAUCAGUAGUGAUUUGCUUCAAGUGCAUGUGGAUAGUAUAUCACAUGUGAGAAGAUUGUAUUUGUUAUAUGAAAAUCCUUAAUAACUUUAAUUAAAAAAUAUAUUCUCAAACCUGAUCGUGGAAUGUACUAUUUCUUAAUAUCUGAGUUUGGAUCAACACAUUUUUUGCCAUGCAAUUUGACAAGUUGUCAUGUCCUCAUUCUGCGCUAUUAUAAGUUUUGCCAAUCUGCAUAGGUGUUUUUAUAGAUUGAGUUAAUCUAGUUUCGAGAACAUGCCUUACUAAAGGGCGUCGAGUUUCUAAAUGAAGGCAAGUGCAACUAUAAUUAUCUAUUUCAUAUCCUCCCUGUUACCUCUAAAUUCUUUCAAUAACUUGGGGACGUUAAUCCUAUUAACGACAGCCACAUAUUAUAAGUCGAGAAAACUGAUUUUUUGAUUAUUGAAAAAUUAAAUUUUUUGUAUUAUUCUGUUGAUGAUCUCAGUAACCUACCUGUUGCGGUUGUCUUGUAUGGAUCAUUGUUUCUCUUUUAAGCUGUUAUAUUGACAAUUUUUAGCUCUUAUUGCAGAUCUUAAAGUCAUUGCAAGCACAUGCUCCAUUGAUCUCCAUAAAUUCAGAUACAUAUGUAUAGUUAGCUAUUCAAACAACCACACGGGUAUUCAACUUCAAUAUUCAGAAACAUGGCUGAAGUGAAGCUUCAUGGGGUAUGGGCGAGUACAUUUUGUUACAGAGUGAUAUGGGCUCUGAAAUUGAAAGGCAUAGCAUAUGAUUACAUUGAAGAAGAUCUCUCUAACAAAAGUGCUUUGCUUUUGAAGUAUAAUCCAGUUCACAAGAAGGUCCCAGUGCUUGUUCAUGACGAAAAAUCCGUUUGCGAGUCCAUUGUUAUCCUUGAAUACAUUGAAGAGAUGUGGCCAUACAAUCCCUCCUUGAUGCCAAGUGAUUAUCCUAUGAUAGAGCUCUGGCUCAUUUCUGGAUUAAAUUUGCCGAAGACAGGGUUCGCUUCAGAACUCUAGCUAAUGCGUUUAUAAGUUCAUUAUUUUCAUGUUUAUUUCUUAUUAGAGAAAAUGAUCAGUAUCCCCCAUUGUGUGUCAAAAUUAAUCAUUUCUUCUUUUAUGUUUUAAAACCUAUCAAAAUCUCCAUUGUUGUUAAAAAAAUUCUGUUAACUUUCAACUUUUUGUGUCUUUUACUAAUUUACCUCUGGAAAAAUUUUUAUUAUUAAGAAGUUGAAAGUUUAUUAGAAUUUUUUUAAUGGCAGGGGAAAUUUUGAUGGCUGUUGAAAUAUGAGGGAGAAAGGAAUUGAUUUACCAAAACAGCAUUGGGGUUUUGUUGUUCAUUUACCCUCUGUCAUUCGAUGUAGUGGUUAACCUUUGGUAUAAGGAUGCUUGACAAGGGUAUUUAGGUCCAAGUCUUUUAGCUCAUAUGUAUUAUUAAUCAUGUGGUGAUAUUUUGGCAGGGAGCUACUGUUUGGAAAAAGUUUCGUAGCGUACAAGAUCAAGAGAAUACAAUGAAAGAAAUCUUGGAAAUGCUAAAAACCGUUGAAGAACAUGGCUUAGGAGAGAAGAAAUUUUUUCAUGGAGACAAGAUUGGCUUAGUGGACAUAGCAUUUGCUUCUAUUGUUUAUUGGUUGCAAAUAAUUGAAGAUGUAGCAAGAGUGAAACUAUUUGAAUCUCACAAAUUCACUAGCUUACACGGCUGGUUUGAAAAUUUUAAAAGAGUCCGAGAAAUUGAAGAGAACCUUCCUAAUCGGGAUGAACUGUUGGUUUUUUUCAAACGUCGCCGUGAAAAGUUGGUGGCCUCAUCCUCAUUGCAUUAGCACAAAAUUUGUUCAUGCAAUUGUAUUGUUGUCAAGAGGCCGCUCUUUGCUUAGUUUUUUAUUGUCUUUUGUGCUCAAUUGGGAGGCCGCCGGUUUGCUGGGUACUUUCAUAUGGAUUUGAGUAAUAAAAGGGACUUGACUUUAUAUUUAUGAAUUAUUGCAUGUAUUUCGUUAAUUAUUAAUGGACUACUAGCGGUUAUGUAUUGUUUGGAAGGAAGUUUGAAUGCUACGAUGUACUAAUGACUUAAUGACAUGUGUCAAAAAAAAUCAGUUAAGUAAAGUCAACUCGAUUGAACGAAUGGUAAUAUAGCUCUCAAAAGUUAGAAAUAAGCUUCCUAUGGAAAAAGAUAGUUUCGGUAAUAUGUCUAACAUUAAAGGGUAUUAUCGAAACUUAAAUUUUAAUGGUUAGACCCAGUAUGUGAACAGUGUGCCAUUAUUUUUAGGGUUAUAUUUUGCUAAGAAUAACGAGCCAAUAGAACUUUAGAGAUUUUUUUCUAGAUCUAAUUUGUUGAGAGACUUCUUCAUCUUCUUCAUCCUCUAUUUUUAGGGUUUCUUUCUCCAUUUUAACACCACCAUGGAAAAUCUUAACCAUCUCAUCUCCAAAAGAAACCUCUUCCCUUACUCUUUUCUUGGAAAACUCUCUAAUUUGGGCCAGGCACCUAAAAUCUUGUGUGUUCUUUAUUGUUUAUGCUUAUUUUCUAUUUAUUAGGAUGAUGAUAAUGCUCAGAUCGUAUUUCAUAUAUGAGCUCACUAGAGGUAUACCACGAGCUCUAUUGGGUUCCCCAAAUAAGCUCUCUAGUUAAAGCUAUCCUUAAAUUCGCUAGAGCUACUCCCUAAACUCUCUUGACCUCCGCAAAUCAACUCUUGAAACUAAAUCCCAUGAGCUCCACAAAGCUUACCUCCCAACAGCAGAACAUCAAGCUUAUCUCAAUUCAUCUUCCAGAUCACCUCAGUUAUUUCUUUUGUCCCUAACAGUAGAAAAACACACUUAGAUUUUUACUAGCCCAAUCUCACCUCAAAUAUAAAUUUAUUUAUUUAAAUUGUCUUUGACCUAGAUCUAGUGAGGACAAUGAUUCAAAUCAGAUCCUAGAGGAAAUCCGGUCAAAACAUGUAUCUAUGUAUAAUAUUUAACAUCAUCCUAACGAUAAAUCCGAAUGCACUUGGAUUUGUUCUUAAUAGUACACAAAAGUAGAAAAAGCAUAGCAAGCAACACUUGCACACACGAGGCUCAAUACAAGUACGAACGUCACAAUUCCAAGCAACAAACAAUGAUCCAUCAGUACUAAUUUUUUCUGCAAGCCACCAAAUUGGAAAAUACCGCCAAGUAAUUAAUUAACCACUGUGACUUGCCAGCUUAAGCUAAUCCAAUGCUGAGAGUUCAUUAUUCUUCAAGGAUUGGUUAUUGUAAAUGUCUUUUAGAGUAAUUUCAGGAUAGAGCGGAGGAUUUACUUCUGAUAGCAACUCUUUAAUUGGACCAUAUCGUCUCGAGCAACUAUUAUUCAUGAAAACACUUCCGAUUGAAAUUCUGGAGCCUUCCUUAUUUGAUAACACUCUAUGAUAGGCACUCUUGAACUUAUCGUUGGUAAUCAGCUGCAUGAACACAAACAUGUUGGUAAUCAGCUGCAUAAACACACACUUCAUAUAAACGAUAAUUAAGUUAUCUGAUAGAGAUUCAUGCUCAGGUGUAGAUGUUCACAUGAAAUUUUGUGAGGACGAUUCUUUCACAGUAUUGUGAAAGUGUGUGUCCGCACAAGAUUUAGUGCGAAUGUCGCACCAGAGAAUUUUUGAUAGGUCCCGAUCAAAUACAGAAAAGCAAUGCCUGAUAUUUGUUCAGUUUAUGGUAUGAACAACCAGUAUUUGUUUAACUAAUUUAUUUAUUUUUUUUUGUUUAACUAAUUUUUUUUUUUGUUUAUUGAUAAUUCUUCUCCUUUUAUUCGCAGCGGAGAACUAAUUUAUAGUAGCUAACCUUACAAGUCUUUGAUUCCUAGCCAACAAUAUCAGCUAGAUUAUAGUAAAAUAAAACAAGAAGAAAUAUUUAAAGAUAACUUAGAGACCGAAUCCAAAUCAAACAUGACCACCACGCUUUGAUUCUCUUCCAAACAGGAAACGAAAAUUUUGACGUGGUAAUUCUCCUGCUCUCGUUUUGACACUCAAUAAACUCAUCCUGCACGUGAAACACGGUCUGCAUGAAGCCAUGCAUGGCUUGCAUGAGCACAGCUUGGUUCCUUAUCAAUACCCCCUCGUGGAAGAGGACCCUUGUCCUCAAGGGUCAGCAAAGGAAUUAUUGUUGUAGCAAUGCCGUAUCUUCCCAAGUUGUUCUCUUUUGUUUUCUUCACCAUGUAGUUCCUCUGCAACUUCUUCACAAGUGAUCUCGUUGGUGUCGUUGUAGCUCUCGAGAAGUAGAAGUUGAGGCCCUUGACAUUUAUGACCCGCAGUGAAUCGUUCGUUGCAAGUGAAACACAGUCCCUGAGCUCGUCGUCGUUGCAUUUCAUCCCACGGUAAUCUUUUGACAGGCACGGUUGGUGAUGCUUGAGUAGGUGGCAAUGUUGGCGGUGUGCGACUGGAGGGUGGCUGGAAUAAUCUCCGUUGGUGUGUUAUCUGGUCAUCUUUCAUACGAGCAAGGCUGAUGGCUUCCUUUAACGUACGUGGCCUGAACAUCCGUAUAUCCUCUGCAAUCUCCGGUUUCAAUCCUCCCAUGAAAGUUCCUACCAACGCUUUCUGUGACCACCCAUGAACUCGGUUUCCCAACCUCUCGAAUUCCUUCUGGUAUUCUCGCAGAGAACGUGUUUGUUCGACCCGAGACAGUGCUUCAUCAAAGUCUUCACAAUCCGUUGGUCCGAAGCGCGCCCAAAGCUCGUCAACAAAUGUUUCCCACGUAACCGGUUGGCCUUCUUCUUGGUAAGCCUUGCGCAUCCACUGCCACCAUUGAUUUGCUUCGCCCUCCAAGUGAUAUGACGCUACGACUACUUUCUGCUCAUCUGUGGUUUCUUGGUACUCAAAAUACUGCGUUACCCGAUUGAACCACUCCGUUGGGUCGUCGCCGGCAUAGCGGGGAAACUCCAACUUAGCAAUUCUUGUCGGCAACGGUGGUCGACGUCCUUCACUUUCCUCACGGAAUGGUCGUGAAGAUCCAAUGUGCUCGUUAGUGCCGCGACUGGCAGUGCCUCUGGUUGCACUAAAAGAUUCUGCCAAUUUGCUCAGAGUGUCCUCCAGACGCUGCAACUUGUCAUUGAUCCCAAUUUCUAUUUGUUCCAUCUUGUUCUGUAAGUUCCCGAUAUCAGCUUCAAUUCGUUCGAUGCGUUCCUUGUUGGUUGCCAUUAAUAGCUAGCUCUGAUACCAAUUGAUAGGUCCCAGUCAGAUGCACGCUAACAAUGACUAAAAAAGAUGAUAAUGUUGUUCUGCUUUUGGUGAGAACGGCUAGAGAUAAUUUAGUUUGAUAAUUCUUCUCCUUUUAUUCGCAGCGGAGAACUAAUUUAUAGUAGCUAACCUUACAAGUCUUUGAUUCCUAGCCAACAAUAUCAGCUAGAUUAUAGUAAAAUAAAACAAGAAGAAAUAUUUAAAGAUAACUUAGAGACCGAAUCCAAAUCAAACAUGACCACCACGCUUUGAUUCUCUUCCAAACAGGAAACGAAAAUUUUGACGUGGUAAUUCUCCUGCUCUCGUUUUGACACUCAAUAAACUCAUCCUGCACGUGAAACACGGUCUGCAUGAAGCCAUGCAUGGCUUGCAUGAGCAACUUGCAUGAGCACAGCUUGGUUCCUUAUCAAUUUUAAAUUCGAUGGAUAGUAUUUCUUAAUAAGUUAUCUAACACACACUUGCCUGCAUCAUGUAGCCUAAGUUUACAACUAGAGCUCCCGGAACAGGGGCAAUGUCAAACCACUGAUCUUCGUGAAAGACUUGGAGGCCACCAAUUUGAUCUUGUAUGAGCACAGUGACAAAUCCAGGGUCAGAAUGUGUUGCUAUGCCGAUGGACAAUUCUGGUUGAGGGCAUUCAGGGUAGUAACUAUUCCCAAUAGUCAUUUCCUCUACACAACCUAUGUCUUUCAGGUAAUUGGGGUCAAGCCCUAAAGCUUCGGAUAAAAGUUCAAACAGAGUGUCCCCUGUUUUCCACAUUAGGUUGUUGUAUGUGAUCAUUAUCUCUCUGCAAAUUAAUAAAGACAAAAAAUAAUCACUACUAAAAGAAAGGGAGAAUGACAUUUCGACUUUUAGAAAUUAUUUUUUUAUUGGGUUAACAUCUAGAUGAAAUGAGAGUAAUAAAACUUAUUAGGAACCCAAGUGAUGCAAAAAGUUCUAAGAAAGAGGCAGGUGUUAUCCACUGUAAAAGAAAUAAAAUCUAUUGGUCAUCGUCCACAUACCUGCAAGCUUCAGGCAAAUCUUCAGGAUUUGAAAAAUAGCGACCCAUAACACAACUCAAAGUAUCUUUCCAAAAGAGAGUCGGUGCACUAUACAAAUUUAAAUUUGAACAAUAUUUAAUUUUUUUGGAGUAAUCACGAGAAUAAUAUUUCUGCUUAACCUCAACAUCUUGUUCAAAAAACCUACGGAUCCCAUCAAUGGCUUGAUCCAAAAUGCUUGUUGGGAUUCCAUGAUUGAUCACUUGAAAGAAACCCCACUCCUCACAAGCACUUCUAAUUUGGUCAAUUACCUGAGAACGCAAGCUUGAAUCCUUGUGUAUUCUUUGACGGUCUAUCAUUGGGAUGCUGAUUUUGGGGUCCCUGCAGAUUGGCUUAUCAUCAAACUUAUGUUUAGUGUGAUGAUCUUGAAUGAAGAUCUGUGGAAUGGUUGUGAUCCCAGCAUCUACGAGUCCCUUAACGCCAGCUUUCGUGUCAUCAAAAGCUUUCAACUCGCUAACUCUGUCACAAGUAAUGCUUCCCAUUGCUUGGUGAAUUAUCUUUUACUCGGUGAAUUAUGAAGUACAUAUGCUGACUUGCUGAUGAUUGCUUUUGGGAGAUACCGUUUAUAUGAUUUCUAGCUUGCCACGUGCAACAUGUUGAAAUAUAACGUCACCAUGAUGAUAUGGAAAUUUGUAAAUUUGAUUCUGCAUUAUUUAUCAUGAUUAAAUUAAUUAUAAAUUAUCAAUAACAGUGAAUUCCGGGGACCACCAACCAGUGGGUGGCACAGCACAAUAAUAGACUGGGCUGUGGCUUUGUUUUAUGUGGACAAAAUUUCAAUUAGCAUAUUGCUGCUUGAUAGUUAACGUUUCACAUUCUCCAUUUGGACAUGCUAUUAUGGAUUCACAGUGUUGCUUAAAAGAUAGAUCUUAAAUGAAAAGAAAGCUUUAAUGGUGAAAUAAAUAUUAAAAAAAAUGAUAAAGAGACUAAAUGUUAACCUAAUGUUAACAAAAAUAAUGGUAAAAUAAACCUGUUUUAUCAUGUUAAUAAUAGUGGUACAUAUUUAACUUUAAUAAAUUUGGCCAUUUCGAUUUUUAAUUUGGCACCUUCCCUGCUCAGUCAAGAAAAAGAAUACUAUAAAAAUUAAAAUAGAAAAUUUGGCAAGGACAUAACUGCAGAAGUGUUAUAUAUCAAAGCAAUGUCAAAGUUAUAAUACUUCCCUUAUUAAUGAGAAGAGCACUAGCAUAUACAAGAUCGACAAUCACUUAAAUUAAGCCUUAAUAAUACUAAACUACAUACAUGGGAUCUAAUGCGUACAAGCAAUGCUUUCUGGUCACAGCAGCUUUAGGCUUUCAGCUACAGUAUAAAGUGAAACUGUCGCUUGAAAAUAAAAUUCAUGUUCGGCAGCCUCUUUCUAUCCGAGCUCCAUUUUUAUAACCAGGCAGCUAAAUAAGAUGAUUUAGAUGGCAACGGCGUCUGUAGUAUUAAUUGUUUUUCUGUAGUCCCUCAUUAUCUACUUUCUGAUCGCUUACUGUGUAGAGAAUCGACAAGAGCAAAUUGUAGCACACGUUCACAGCACUAAUAACUGUUAAACUCUUAUAGUACUUAUCAAGCCUACUACCAUCCAAGGUUUUAGCCAAGUCGCCUUUGUUUGCCAAAAUGAAAAAGAUGUUAAAAAUGCUUCCAAUUCCGACGAAAAAAGAACUUAUUGCUGAUACAUGGUACUCCAUCCGUUCAGGAAAAUGAGAGCUCGAGUAUUCAUCACAUCCAUGCAAAGCAAGCCCUUCCAUAAGACCCAAUAGACAGAAUUGUGGAACAAGCCAAAACAUGCUCAUAUUUUCCAAUUGUUUGAGCUUUUCCAACCUGCGAACCUCAACCUGCCAUGCCACUGCGCAGCAAACUGUAGUCAUCAUCAUUCCAAUGAAUGUUCUUAACACUUGAGCUUGUCUCUUUUUAUUUUUUGGAACAAAAUUGGAAAUUAAUUGUUUUGACAGACAAGAGAUCGUUGCACGAAUUAUCCCUUUACAAUUGUUUCAUUAUCACGACCCAAAUGAAAUGGCACUUGAGCAAAUGUACGAUCAAACAUGCUAAAAUCAAAUACCAAAAAAUAAAAUUGGAAUUGGAAGAGUAAAUAGCAAAAGAUUGGAUGAAAAUUGAAUACCAUAACAUAAAAAAAUUAAAAUAAAUUGAAAUGACAAGAGUUAAUUAAGAGCAAAAAGAUGCUUGACUUACCAAGAGCAAGGACCAAGCAAAUGGUGUUACAUUCGGGCUUGAUGGUGAACUGGUUGGAGAUGGGUACGAAUGUGAUCUCGUUGAGAUUUGGAGAAGAAAACGGGGAAAUAGAUGCAAUAUCUUUGUUACUGUUUUUUGUUUUAACUUUAUUUUACUGUUGAUCACGUGCAACUCAUUAAAAUUUCUAAACGCAGUUAUUAUUGUCGUUUCGGUGUUCUCGGGCUAUCACAUGCUCGGUACGUCUAUCACUAAGUCUACUCUUAAUAAAUUUGGCCACUUAGGUUUUUAAUUUUGGCUCCUUCCCUACUCAAUCGAGAAAAAGAAUGUUUUUCUAGAUAAAAAUUAAAAUAGAAAAUUCAGCAAGGACAUAACUGCGGAGAUGUUUGAUCCUGGAUUUAUAUAUCAAAGCAACAUCAAAAUUAUAAUACUUCCUUGUUACCGAGAAGAGAUAUAUUCAAUAGCACCAGCCUAAAUAAAGCCUAAACAGUACUAAACUACCUACAUGGAAUCUAAUGCGUACAUGCAAUGCUUUCUAAAGUGAAACUGUCGCUUGAAAAUAGAAUUCAUGUUCAGCAGACUCUCUCUAUCCGAGCUCCAAUUUUAUAACGAGGCAGCUAAAUAAGAUGAUUUAGAUGGCAUCGCUCCCUAUAGUAUCGUUUGUCUGUAGUCCCUCAUUAUCUACGAUCUGAACGCUCCCUAUAGUAUUGUUUGUCUGUAGUCCCUCAUUAUCUACGCUCUGAUCGCUCGCUAUAGUAUUGUUUGUCUGUAGUCCCUCAUUAUCUACGCUCUGAUCGCUUCCUAUAGUAUUGUUUGUCUGUAGUCCCUCACUAUCUACUUUCUGAUCGCUUACUAUGUAGAGAAUCGACAAGAGCAAAUUGUAGCACACGUUUACAGCACUAAUAACUGUUAAACUCUUAUAGUACUUAUCAAGCCUACUACCAUCAAGGUUUAGCCAAGUCGCCUUUGUUUGCCAAAAUGAAAAGAUGUUAAAAAUGCUUCCAAUUCCGACGAAAAAAGAACUUAUUGCUGAUACAUGGUACUCCAUCCGUUCAGGAAAAUGAGAGCUCGAGUAUUCAUCACAUCCAUGCAAAGCAAGCCCUUCCAUAAGACCCAAUAGACAGAAUUGUGGAACAAGCCAAAACAUGCUCAUAUUUUCCGAUUGUUUGCGCUUUUCCAACCUGCGAACCUCAACCCGCCAUGCCACUACACAGCAAACUGUAGACAUCACCGUUCCAAUGAAUGUUCUCAAUACUUGAGCUUGUCUCUGCUUCGUUUCCGGAACAAAUUUGGAAAUUAAUUUUUUCGACAGAUAAGAGAUCGUCGCACGAAUUAUGGCUUCAAAAGUAAGUAGAAAGAUUAAGUAACGUUGAGAAAUCAUUCUGGCUCCCUGCUCAGGAAAAAAUGUAUUUCCCGCUGACAGAACCAAUCCAAACACAAUGAAGCUAGACCACAAUGGCAACAAUUUAAGAAGAUAUUUUGACUCCCUGACCUGGGCCACAGUGCAAAGUGUGCCUGCCUCUUCUUGUUCUUUAGAAGUACUUGAUGUCUCUAUAAUUGCCGCUUUGUCUAUCCAUCUGCAAUUCAAACAAUUAAUUUAUUGGCAAUUUUUUUAAGGAAAAUAGGAAGCGACAGCUCAUGGUUUGGCAAAAUGAUCACAUAGACUCUUUUAUAAAUACACCUUUUUGGACAAAUCUUGGAGGUCAGUGUGACCAUUUCUGAAUACAAAAGGGUAUCAGUGUGUCCAUAAAAAGGUCUAUGUAAUUGUUACUAAAAAAAGAGGGUCUCCCCGACAAUUUUGCCAGACCACGAGCCGGGUGUGGGUUUAUACAUGUUAGGUAUAUACCUGAGUAAUUUGAUUCUGGGUGACAAGUGUAAUACGUUUCCCUCAUCAUUACUGAAGAACUGCUCCGGAGAAAGAGGAUAAUUGAGAUGCUUUUUCUUCAGGGAGGUUUUAACGACACGGAUUAUAGCAAAUCGGUCAACAGGAGGUAUUUGUCUACUAUGAUAAAAGGGAAUACCCAACAACAACAGGAUCAAACUGCCCCCCAUAAACAACAAUGUGAACUUGAAAGUAUUCUCCCAUGUUUCAAUAUUAUUUGCAUGGAAUGCUGCAGCUACACCGCAGCACCAGGCAAACCGCCACCACACUCUUUUCUGAGCCAUUACUUGAUUCUCAUUUGUAUUUUCUGUGCUCCCUUCUUCACCAUGUUCUCUUAAUUGAUCGGCAAGAAAUGGUCCCAAAAGAGGCGCCGCUCCAACUUCACCCACUGCUAACAGGACAAUUCCUAUCAUGUUGAGUAGCUCAAACUUGGUUUUUGAAAAUUUUCUGGACGCUGUAUAGAACAAUAGCCCCAAUGCCUGAAACGAAAAUUGUUGGAACUAAUUGUAUAGCAUAACAUUAUGAUCCUAAAAAUGCUUUGUUUAAUCAUUAUUAUAAUCAGGAGUGCAGCCAAAAUGAAUACAUGCCACAUCAAUUAUAGCUUAACUAUUGGGAUCUUUAGCAUUAUUUUCAUAGGGGUAAGGCUCCUAAUAUCCUCUUAUUACGUAUAUUUUUCUCUAUAUUCUGUGAAAUUUAACAUAUGCUGCAAAAUAAUAAUUUCUAAAUUUAGCCUAAAGUACUACAAAAUCCAGGGUCCACCCCUGGAUAUAUAUUUCUUGCAGAUGAUAGACAUAUGUUUUAAUUUAGCAAAUUUAAAACAUAUUUACUCACAAGGAUGUAGGAGACAGUUGAAAAUAUGAGGAUUCUGAGAGGACGGAUGGCAUAACACGAAAUCCAGGCGGCAACAACCGCAAGAGUUGCUAAUAUUCCAUCCUGAAUACUCGUAAAUAUUGCAGCUUUCAGAAGUGUGAAUAGUUCUGAAUAUUCGGAGUCGGAGAAGUAAGUUAUCAAGACGCCCACUACAGCCAAGUCUACCAGUUUGCGGCUUAUCAACAAACCUGGACUCAAAAUAUAAUCAUUAGAAGAAAUGUUCGUGCUCACUGAAAAAAGCUUACACAUGAAAACUACAAGAACAACAUAAAAACUGUUGCCAUGUUUUUAUUAUUUAGCCCAACUUAGUCUAAGAUAUUAAGUACACCCUCUUAACUAAAUAAAUACAUUUUUAAAAGAUAUGAUUUCCUAAGGCGCCUCAAGCAAAAUUACCUGACAUAAAUGCAGCAGCCUUACAAAAACAGACGUAAUAUCGUACCCAAGUUAUGAACCUCUUUUUAAGCUUCAACAACUGAGAAAAUGGAAACAUUGUAGUUUCUGAAACUGCUUCUUUUAUCUGCAAAUACUUCUACUUGUGAGCUGUGAAUCCCGAGACGAUGAAGAUUUUGUAAUUAUACCAAAGUCUUCGCUAGUCUUCUAAAAAGUUAGUUUAUUCAAAUUAAAAAAUAAUAAGUCGCACUUCAAGACCAGCUAUUGGUCACAUAAGUCAAAAUAAUGACUUACUGUACAGCUCAAUAAUUUUAGGUGGUAUGAAACACGUUUGAUGAGACGGUCAUAAUUACACUGUACCAUGAAUGAUCCUUAUUGAGUAUAUAACCCCUUUCUUUUUUCAAACAAGAUUUACGCUUUAAUUUUGGGAGGUUUGCUAAGUUCUUUCUUUUUGUAAUGGUUAAGGAGACUGACAAUUUUCUAUUGAAGUUAUUUAUACAUGUAUUUCACUUUUAGAUAAAUAAUGUUGUACAAACUAAUGUGAUAAUUUUUUAGAAAAAAGUAUAUGUAUAUCCUUAAGAUUUUAAAAAAUGGUCAUAUACACUCUGAGUUUUCAAUAAGGGACACCAAAAUACUUUUUUACUAUAGUAUCCUUAAUAGAUAGUAACAAAAAAUAUUGACUAAAUAUUUUAAUAAAUAUAAAUAAAAUUUAAAUAGUUUAAUUUGUCUAGUAGACUAAUAACAUUAGAAUGUUUCUUAAUAUAUAAAAUAAUUUUUAAAAUAUAAAUUAUUAUAUUUAUUUUAUUAAUAUAUUUUUACUUAUUAUAAAAAUUUUAAAUAAAUAUUUAGGUUAGAUUUUAAAUUUAAUAAAAUACAUGUCAUGUACUAAUAAUAUUAAAAUUAUUUUAUAUAAUAUUAAAAAUAAUUUAAAUUUUUAAAAUUUUAUUUAAUAUUAUGUUUCAAUUUAUUUUGAAAUUUAAUUUAUUUUGAAAUUUAGUUUAAUAUAAUUUAAUGUUGUAAAGUAUUAAAAUAUUUUAAAAAUAUUGAAAUUAUUUUAAAAUGUAUAUAUUGUUACAUUUAUUUUAAUAUUAUACUUCUAUUUAUUAUAAAAUAUUAAAAAUAACAUUUUAGUCAAAAGGGAGUUUUGGUGUCUCUUACUGAAAAAAUGGAAUGUACAUAACCAUUUUUUUGAAUUUUCAAGGGUGUACAAGUCAUUUUUCCUACUUUUUUUAUAAUCAGUUGAAUUAAAAAAAGUCAUGUGGCCACAUAUAUUAUUUCUUAUUUAUAUUUUCAAUCAGCAAAUCAUAAUGUGUCAUAUCUGUUUGUAUACGCAUUUAUGAACAUAAAAAAGUAAGGUUAGGCACUAGUCGGGUUGGAAAUCAACCCAUCCAACCCAUGUAUAGUGCUAAUUGGGUGAGUUGGACUUAUCUCGAGACCCAUUUUCUGUCUUUGAAAUAUCAAUAAGAAAUUAAAAUAAUUAAAAAAUAAUUUAAUAAAAACAACUAAAAAUAGAAUACAAAAUUACAAAUAAUAACUAUCCCUCAAACUUCAUUGUUAAUAAAAAAAUUAUUUGUAUAGGAUACUAAUCACACCAUAAAAAGUAAUAGGGUGAAUUCAAGAGUUGGGUUUGAAAAUUUUCAACACCUAGGAAAUAUAGUGCAUUUUCUCCACCCCUAAGAAAUUAGGGGUUGGCUUUCUACUUGAUUUUAAGUAGAGAAAAUGAUCAAAACUACCUUAUUGUUUGUUAAAAUUAUAGGUUGAAUUUAAGAGUUGGGUUUGAAAGAUGCAAUGUGUUCAUAUAUAUGGAAUGUGCUUUCUUUAUAGUGAUUUAUGGGAUGUGCUUUCUUUAUAGUGAUUUAUGGAAUGUGCUUUCUUUAGCACUUAGCCGAAAGAUUCAAAUUUCCAUUAAUAAGACGGUUAAUGAUGAUUUCAAAGAGCCAAAAAGAUUUCAAGAAAAUACAUGUUUUCAACUUUGUGUACAAAUUAAUUACGUCUGUAUUUGGAUGGUUAAUGUAAACUAGUCAGAUAAUUAACCACGCAUUAAUUAAUCAAAUUUUUAUUAUUUAAUAUCUUUGCAUCGGAUGAUCAUUGAUCAAUUAACAAUAUAUUUUCCUUUUGUGCAUGUAUCCACAUUGGACGUCAAUAUAGUAAUUUGUUAUGAAAAAAAAAUCAAUCAAAAUUAUUUUUAAUAUUUUUAAUAUUUUUAAUUUUCUAUCUAACUUAGUGCUUGUUUAGUAUAAAAUAUCUAACGCCCAGCAGUAGGAUAACUCCAACAAUUCCCCUCACACAUCGGACCUUGGGUCAGAAGAUAGACACUCGUUCUCUUUAUUAGAUUGUUGGGUUGAGAUUGUUGAUGAAUGUGGACUCUGAUACUAGUGUUAGGUAGUCUUAAACUUCUCUCAACCCCAAAAGUUAGUUUCAGGGGUGAGAUUUUCCUGACAUUUAUAAAAUCACCAAUAGUCCUUUUCACAAUCCAUGUGGGACAACUUCGAUAGUUUGAUUGUAUUUUGAGUAUAACUUUUGAAGAUUAAAUAAAUUAUUUUGCUUCUAUUAGUAAAACCUUAAAAAUUAGAUUUUUGAGAGUGAUGGUCAUAGUACUUAAAGAAUAAAUUGUGUAGAAUAACGUUUUAUAUAUUAAAUGAUCUUAUUCCAUUCUUUUUAUUUUUUAACCUAACAAAAACCUAGUCCCUUCCCCACCCAUUUGAGUAAGUUGCGAAUCUCAGAUCCCUUGCUUUCAACCAGAUGAUACCCAUAAAUUAGAUCAAAUCCUUUUCAUAAUAUCACUUGCCGCAAUAGUAAAAUUAAACAAAGCAAAAGUACUCUUUUUAACACCAAUACAAAAACAAAACAAGCAUAAAGCAAGACACAAAAUAUUAAAAUAAAAAUCAUAAUAUUGCAUAUCUCCACAUGCCACCAACAUUUUCCAUCAACUGUUUGAAAGAGAUCCUCCAUCUCAUCCUGCUUUGGAAGCCAUUCUAAGGAGACUUGCUUGAAAUUUUUAAACCACUCGUGUGUAAGCUAGGGAAUUUUUAAGAUUCAAAUAGCUUCACUCCCUCUAUGGCUCCAUUUUGUAUAACUUUUUAAAUAGAGUUGAUUUAAAUAGGCAUUCAAUUAGUAGAGUUUUUACAAAUAGAUCUUUUACCCAAAAAAAAAAAUUGUUUAGUUCAUUAGUUGUCCAAAGAGAUUUUAUUAAAAAUUAAAAAUUUAUUUUAAUGUACAAAUUUUCUAAGUUAUGUUGUGAAAUGGAUACGAAUAAAAUAAGAAUAUAAAAUAAAUAACGGGCAUAUUAGAUAAUUUAAUAAUUUAAAAAAGUUUUCUAAUCUCUACUCUAAAAAAUUCAAAAUUCGAGUUUUUACUAAUAGAGUCAAAAUAAUUUAUUUAAUCCCAAAAACUAAAUUCAAAAUAAAACCAAAGAACAACCAAAAUUUUGAAAGAAUUUUUAAAAUUAAAUAAAUAUAUAUGACCAUUAAAUAAGCUAAUACUAAACAAGCACUAUACCUUUGAAGGACUUGCAACCCAUCCAAACGCUAGGUCCACUAAGCCAAUAUUGUUCUUGUCCAGUGCUAAAAAAGCAUUUUUCCAAACAGCUCCACCCUGCCCCAAUAUAUAUAAAUAAUAUGGAUAAGAUUCUCUCUUUCUUUCUUUUUUUUUUCCCCCUCUCAUAUUCUUCAACAAUGUUGAAUUAACAAGUGAUCCUAUUUUUAAUUUAAAAAAGGAGUCAUGUUUUUAUUAAUUUUCAAAUUACAUCUAUGUUUUGAUUAAUUAAAAAGGCCAGCUAAUGAGAUCAUUAAUUUGGUCAACUACUCAGAUAACCGUGCAUCAAUUAUACAAUAGGCAUUUCUUUCCCAAAUUAAUAUAUUUGCGUCAUGCAUGACGAUCAUGGAUCACUUGUAUUAGAGAGCUUAGGUGCCCAGCGAGUAAGUUGCAAGCUGCUAUCUUUGGCCAUACCUUUGAAGCACAAAUACUUCUUUUUAUUCUUGUUUGAUAGUACGGUUAAAAUCAAGGCAUCAAUCAGGAAGGUGCGCAGCAAGUCAGGUUGCCCAGCCGCUGUCUUUGACUGUACCUUUGAAGCACAAGUACUUCUUUUCAUUCUUGUUUGAUAGCACGGUUAAAAUCAAGGCAUCAAUCAGGUGGGUGCCCAGCAAGUUAGGUUGCCGAGCUGCUGUCUUUGACUAUACUAAUGGUUGUCGAAGCCAACAAAAAUAAAUACUUACCCUAAAUAAAUUGUGUAUAGUGAUUGAGCAGGGUCGUGUCCACAGAAAUCGGUAAUUAUUUAAAUCCUUUUAAAAUGUAAAACGUAAAAUGGGGGAAUUGUUGACAAUAAUAGAAAUCAAAUUAAAAUAACAAAAAUGUAAAUUAAAGUUGUAAUUCAAAUUGGAGAAAGCUCUGGUUGAAGGAAUUAACCCAGCUUGAUUCGACUACUGAUCAUUGAUUCAUAUAUAAAUUAUUAUUACUUAUGAAGAGACCGGUUAUAGCUACUGAGACCCUCUAAUAGCUAAUCUCUCCUUAACUAGUCGAUAACCAAGGUAGGACCGUUGGUUAUUUCCCUAAUCAAUAGACAACCCUAGAUAAGAUCAUAGGAUUUAAUCAAUUGACAGCCUGAAAAACUAGAGAGACCCAAAUCCUAAUCAACAAACACAUACGAUGACUCAUUUAAAUUAGAUUGUUUAUUCUCACAACACAACUCUCUGCUAUGUUAUUUGUCACAAACAUUAAAAUCUUCAUACGAUGAAUCCUUUAAUUAACAAUAGAUUAAGUUGAUAAUUAAAUAGUGGCCAAUUAUCUAAUUAACAAACAUAAUCAUGAUAAUAAUUCAGAGAAUAAACAAAUACCCAGAAAGUAAUAAAACAAUUAAAGCAUAAGAAAGAUCUCACAGUAGUGAUGAAUCAAAGCUUCAUUAACCUUCAACCAGAAAAAUAGAUUUAGUUCUUCAUAGAGAGAAGAGAAAAAUUUAGAUCUAGGGUUUCUUUCUCUUCUCCAAUUCUCCCUUUUUUCACAAUAAAUUCCUCCCUUAAAUACUCUCUCUCUCUUCUCCUCUAGAGUUGUUUUUUUAAAAUAAAAUACUAAUAUCUGAAACAUUAAAUUCGUAAUUACAAAAAUACAAAACACGUUAAACUAAAAACUGCAGGUCCGUAGUUGACAGCACGCGCCCACGUCUUAUCAACAAAGUUCUUCUGACGCUCAUAAUUUCUCCAAGAAAACAAUCAUCCUUAAAUAUCAUCUUGUAGCUUAAUUUUAUGAUCAAUCAAUAGAAUUGCACCUACGAAAGUAAAACACAAGUUAAUCACUAUUAUUAAGUGCAAAACAUUGAUAUUAAGGGAAGUAAACAAUGCAAAAUUAGUGCAUAAAUUGCACUCUAACAUAUACCUUUGAAACGCAAAUACUUCUUUUCAUUUUUGUUUGAUAGCAUGGUUAAAAUCAACCAUCAAUCAUGUACUUAUUGUGAAUCGUUGAAGUAGAUCUACAAUGCAUAAUAAGUAAUAUUUAUUUAAAAAUUGAAGCUACUAGAUAAUUUCGAUAUAAAUUAAGUUCAACUUUUACUUCAUCAAGGUGAAACAUCAUAAAGCUUGUAAAUCUAACACAUGAACGUAAAAGCUUAAAAAAAAAUUUGAAGUUGCUUGAUAACAUAGAAAUACAAGCAAAAAGAGAUGCUAAAGAAUACAUCCCAGAUUUUUCAUUGGGUGGGAUUAUUGAUCAUGCUAGCAUAAUGAUGAGGGCUGCCUGGAUAUCCAGUAUUUUAAUAAUAUGGUUAAGGUUUUUGAGCUUAAGCUUUGGUGGUGUUUUUAGGAGCAGCUUUCAUUAUGGGCUUCUUUUAUGAAGUCUAAGUAUUGUACAACUGCACAUUCGAGUAUGAUUUAGUUUUAAUAUCCUACCUACCCUCUUUGGAGGCACCUAUGCUUGAUUCAAUAUGUUGCUGAGCUUCAUGUGUGUUGGUUGUUUGGCCGAGGGUUGUUUUUGGUAUGGUUGUUAGCUGGGUUCUUGUCCUUUGGCCUUUUAUAAUCAUGUGGUGGCUUUUAUGGUGCCAAUUUCUUUUUAUUAGCAACAUACAGUAUGAGAUAGGGGUAAGCUUCAGGAUGUCCUGCCUUUUUUAAUUGUUGUGCAUAUUCUUUUGAUUCCUAUCUCUAGUGGGGAACCAUAUGUGAUUUUGUGGGACCUUUCUCGUGAUGGUAGUUUUUGUUUGAGGAUUUGCUUCAGAUAUUGUGCAUUGGAUAAGGCCGAUUUUUGUUAUUUGGCAGCGACAUAUCUCUUCAUGGAUAUCCUUUUUUCUCUAGAGGUUGUGACACAAAUUCUUGACCACAGAUGAUGCCUCGUGUUCAGGGGAUUUCUGCGUAGUUUCUUAGUAUCUUUGUGGUCAGGCUUCUGAGACUUCUAGGUAUUUAUUUCUUGAUUGCCCUCGAGUUAGGCCGGUUUGGGUCCAUUUUCUACUUACUCUUGGUUUGCGCUAUGUUGCUUUUCUGUUCCACCGUACUUUAUUUCUUAAUUGGUAGUGAGAUGCCCUUUCUUGGAGCCAUAUUCGAGUUCUUCUUCCUUGUUUUAUUUUAUGGCAUGUUUAGAAGGCCUGUCAUGCAUUGAAGUUUGACUCAAUGGCUUUUUUUGUUGAUGACAUUAUUUAUUGGACGGUGUUGGAUCUUAGGCUUGAUGGUUUUGCCUUUGGUCUUAAACCAUUCCAAUUGUGAGGCGUUUUAGGUUCUCGGUUUGCAAAGUGCUUGAGAGUUGUUGUUUCAUCUAGGAGGCCGAUUCUUUUAGUUUCUUGGCUGUGGCCACCACCUGGGGCGGUGCAGUUGACUAUUGAUGGUUGCUUUAGGGGUAAUCCUAGGAUGGCUGCUUCAGAUAGUAUUUUACGUGAUCAUCGGGAUGUGGCUUUAGCUGCUUUUGGUUCCUUCCUUGGGCGCUAACGGAUCCUUCAUGAAGAAUUCAUGGUUGUUUUUUUAGGGGUUAUAGUUGGCUGCUCAGCUCCAUUAUUCUGUGCUUGAGGUAGAGUCAGACGCAGCCAUGGCGGCUUCUUGGAUUUUUUUCUAAGGCCUUGUUCAUUCGGACUAUACCUAUUCUUUGCGUCGGGUGUGUAGUUUGACAUUUUCUUCUACUUUGGUAAGUCAUGUGCUUUGAAAGGCUACUUCUACUGUUGAUUUCUUUGGCUUGCACUCUUCACAGUCAUCGGUGUUUCUUGGGUUCUCAUGAUAUCUCUGCUAGCUUAGCUAAUAAUCUCCAUUUGGAUGUGUGUAAUUUCUCAUCUCAAGCAAUACGAUUACUUAUUUUUGUCUUCCAUUUUUUAUCUUGUAUUUUUCUCUUUCCAUUCUUAUGUUCUUGCAAUUGCAAUUUUGAUUUAUAUUCACCUCCUUAUGUAUUUGAUUCAUUCUAUAAUUUAUAUGAAAGAUAGGGGUCCCACCUUUUUUUGUAGUUAAAAAAAAAAAUCAGGAAUCAAACCUAGGUCAUCAAGGUGAAACAUCAAACAGGUUGUAAAUUUAACAUAUGAACUUAAAAGCUUAACAAAACAUUUGAAGUUGCUUGACAACAUAGAAAUACAAGCAAAAAGAGAUGCUAAACAACACAAAAUUUUGAUUGGGUGUGAGUAUUGUUCGUGCUAGCAUAAUAAUGAGGUGCCUGAGAAUACCUAAGACUUUCUUGAUAAAUAAUAUAAUCUAAAAGGUUAGGAAUCACAAAUGAUUGUCCAGGUAUGAACAAACCUGGCUCAAAAUGUGAAAUGUAUUAAGAUUUUCAAACAUUUAAAUUAAUAGUUAAUAAUUUCGGACAAAGGACACUUGGAGACCCUAAACUUCAUUGAUUCUAUGUUAUGGCUCAUUGUCUCUCUCAACAAUUUAAUUUCUAGAUUAUUUGGCUCCUAUCUAUUAAAAGACAACACCGUUACUAAAAUUAUAGAUUAUAACAGUUAAACCUAAACUUAAGCCGUUUAGCAAUUUACAAAAGAAAAAAAUAUAACAAAAGCCAAUUGUUGGAGUAGCAACGUGCCAACGAGAAAACCUCAAGCCAUGUAAUAUCCUGUAUCAACUAAAAAAGAACAAACCACCACCCUCUAGGUCGUCGCUGCACUAACGCUGGGCCCGAUUUGAAUACUUAGAAGUUGUAACAUUAAUUAGGGAUUGAGGGUAAAAUUUUGGACUUUGAUUUAAUAAAAUUGAUUUAUAUGAGUCCCAAUAGAAAUAUGAUUAUAAAUAUAUCAAUGCAAUUAUAAUAUGUUUAAAAGAAAAAAAUUAUUUUCACACAACAUAAAACUCAACCCUUGGACGUGGGAUGUGUCUAAAAAAUAAUAGGGUGGAAAUAUUACCACCCUCAAAUUAGAUAUAUAAAUGUUUAAUGUUUUACUCUUAUAAUUUUGUAUUUAUUUUUUUUAAUAUUGGUAAGAGAAAGAUAGAAAUUAAUAUAUAGACAAAUCGAGUCCCUUAUUUUAUUAUUCAUAUCCAUAAAAAGUAACCACUAUGCUAGUCCCCCCGAACUUAGCAUAAGACGGUAAUUUAAAAAAAGAAAAAAAAAGAAUGUUUUUAAACACCAAAACAAAAGCAAAACAAACACAAAGCGAGACAUACAAACAAAUUUUAUGCUACUGCAUUCAAGCAGAAGCCAUCAACUGUUCACGACGAAGUUUGAGAGCAACCAAUAGUUCAUCCUGAUUAGGAAGAUUUUCUUCAAUCACAGGGAUUUGCUUGAAAUUUUCAAUCCAGGCAUGCAAGUGAGGGAAUUUGUGUGAUUCAAAUAGUUUAACUCCCACUACAUCUUCAAUGACUUGCAACCAAUAAACAAUUGGACCAAAUGCUAGGUCCACUAAGCCAAUAUUGUCUCCAUUGAAAAAUUUCUUAUCUCCCAAGCCAUGCUCUUCAACGGUUUGUAGCAUUUCCAAGGCUUCCUUCAUUGUGUUUUGUAGUUCUUGUCCAGUGCUACGAAACAUUUUCCAAAUAGCAACACCCUGCCACAAAUAUUUUACAUCAGAUUAUAUCACCGACAUGAUUAAUUAAUAAUAUGUACAUAAAAGCUAAAAAUCGUUAGGCAAUAUGUACACGCGUCACAAUAUCCUUUAAUUAGAGGUUUAUAUAAUAAGUUAACUAAGAGAGUUCAACCACUGAGUUGUAAAAUCUGUCAUUAGUAAAUUCACUUUUUCCCAACGCUUCAAAAGUCAUAAAAAUUCCCCGUGAAGUUAAAAACGGUUGUGUUAACUUUAACAGUGAAGACACCAGAAAUUGAAAGUUUAGAGAACUUUUUACAAAUAAAUAUGAAAAAGACCCCUGGGUGGCUGGGCUCGACUGGCUAUGAAUUCACUUCCGCCAUCACCCGAGUUCGAGUAUAUAUGGAGAGUAAGAGUUAGUGUUUGGUGGGUGGAUUUCAUUAUCCUCGUCACCUUAUCUAGAUCUUAAAAUAAAUAAACAAAUAAACAAAUUUGAAAAGAAUGAACUUAAUCAUAAACGUGUUUGCCAGAGUUGUGAGCGAACCUUGUCUUCAGCGAAUUUGAUCCAGAAUCGAGCAUGAGCCCUAUCAUAAGGAUUAUUUGGCAUCAAGGAGGGAUUGUGCGGCCAUGUCUCUUCGAUGUAUUCGAGAAUAACCAUGGACUCACAAACUGGUUUUCCGCCAUGGACGAGCACUGGGAUCUUCUUGUGAACUGGAUUAUACUUCAAAAGCAAUGCACUUUUGUUUGAGAGAUCUUCGGAAACAAAUUCAUAUGGCACGCCUUUCAAUUUCAGAGCCCAAAUCACCCUGUAAACAAAUGGACUCGGCAGUGCCCCGUGAAGCUUCACUUCAGCCAUGAUAAUUCUUAGAUUGAAUUUGAAUAUCAGGUUUUUUGGUCGAUCUUGAGUGUAGCUGAUAACUCAUUACACAUGUUUCUGAAUUUAUAGUGAUUUAUGGUAUGCACUUUCUUGAGCAGAAAGCUUCAAUUUUCCAUUAAUAAAACGAUUAAUGAUGAAUUCAAAGAACUAGUGCGAUGACUUUAAUUAAAUUUUUUUUUACGUUGUGUGCAACCGCAAUUUGAGGUUAAUUUAAAGGAUAUUAUUUUCUCCUGAUCAAAACUUUUAUAUAAAAAAAUAUAAUUAUGUAAUUGGUAAUUAUUAAGUAAAAAUAAAUUUUGACCGUAAAUAAAUAAAAGUUCAUACAUGUUAUAAAGAGAUUUUAAAACUCAAAUAAGUGGACACAAUUCCUAAUUUAAAGCGCUAGCCAAUGAGAUCAAUAAUUUGGUCAACCAGUCAGAGAUAACCAUACAAUAAUUAAUUUUGCCAUUUGUUUUACAUUUAAGACCUUUGCGUCAUGCAUGAUGAUCAAUUGAUCAUGGAUCAAUUAGUCAACGAGACAUUUGCCUUUUGUGCAUGUAUCCACAUUGGACGCAAAUAUAAUUUAUUAUAAAAAAUUGGACUAAAUUAUUUUUUAAUAUAUAUUUUUAAAAUAAUACACCUGAUCAUAGAGGAGAUAUUAUUUAGUUUGUGAAUCUUAUAACAGGACCCAUGAUUUUUUUUUUAAAAUCUUAUGGGUCCCCUAUUAUUUAAUUUGUGGAAUUGACGGAGGUAACUUACAGUUUCAUUUUUGUAAUUUACAGCUUUCAAUAAAUUCAGAUAAUAUUAGGUGGUAGAAGUCGGCCAGGCUGGAGGAGUAGAUCUAUAAAAUUUGCUAGCACUUUGCACUAUCUGGUAGGUGCCCAAAAAUACAUGUAUAUCAUCCAUUUUUUGUUGGGAUUUUAUGCUCUUUUAAAGCAUAUUAAUUUAUUUUCUGAUUAAUAAAAUAUUUGAGACAUUUUCAAUUGCAUAAAUAUAUAUUGAAUAAGGUCCAUUUAAUCAUAUUAUAUGUAUUUAUGUGAUCAUCAUAUGGAUUCACAGAAGACAUAAAUACAAGCUAUCUUAUGAUUAAAUAAAUUUAGUUCGCAGUUGAUAAAUAGAGUUGGGCGCUCUAUUUAUUUUUAGACUGUAGUAAAUUCAUUAAAUGAUUUAUCUUAAUCAUAUAUGAAUUUACUGAUGUAGGUUGACUACAUUGAGAUGGAUCACAUAUGAGAUUUAAUUAACCUUGAAAGGACUGUCAGACUUAUUAAAUCUCAUAGGCAUUCUUUUUAUUAUAAUCUUAAUCUUGAGUUGGUUAUGAUUUCAUGAUUGUAAUUGUUAUUCCAUUUGAGUUACCAAUGGGCACGACACACACUUGUGGUCAAGAUUACCGGGUAUCUUGGUGGGAGCAAUUAUGAGUAUUGGAGUUAUAGAUUAACAAUAUAAAAUUUGUACAACACAUCUCUUGAUGGGUUUUCGGCACUUGAUCAUAGAAUUCUCUGGCCAGAGUGUAUCAAUAUAUUUAGUAUGUUGAAAAUGAUCAUUAGAGAAAAUCAAUAAGUAUCAAGGAAUAAGAUGUAAUUAAAUCGUUUGGACAGUUGAGAUAUCAAUUUAAUUAAUGAUGUGGUACAAAUGAUUGUGCAGUAAGGAAAUUAAUGAGGCUUGGGAUGAAUUAUUAUUUGAGUAUACAAUUAUGGAGGUCAUUUCCAAUCUUUUAGUGGAGUAGAUUUGGAAUUAAAUAAUUGAGCUAGUUUAAUUACAGGCCUAAUUAUUGUAGCCACUAUUGUAUGUUCCCAAAUAAUCCCCAGGUUAGCUCAUUUAAUUGACUGUGCCGCUACUGGAUUAAUAAGUAAGAUAACUAGUUAUUUGGGUUAAAAGUCUAAAUAUAUUAUUUAGUGGGAAGCUCCAUAUAAUAUGUUUGUGUGUAAGGGGCUUUAUGUUAUUUUACAAGGUGGGCCCCUAUAACACAAGAACAAGUAACGUUGUCUUUGUUUUUUUAUUUUUUUAAUUUAAAUCAAAUUUGAUUUAAUAAAUUUAAAAAUAGAAAAUAUAGAGCCUAGGGUUUCCACUAGAUAGAGAUAUAAAAAGGGCUUAUUUUCUCCCAAAAGAAUAGAGAGGCCACAUUAUACAAAUUAGAGAAAAAAAAAUUCUCUCUAAUUUUGAGAGAAAAAUUUUCUCCUGCUAGUUGCUUUUAGUGGUGAUAAAGGCGCCCACACCUCAAAUGCAGAUCAAACUUGAGUCAUAACCUGGAAGAUUAUUUGGUGGCGAUUCGUGCUCUAACAGGAGUGGUGGUGACGGAUCGUGAUCUAGGAGUCCAAAUCACUUCAGCGGAAAAAACAAAGAUUGUUCACCUUCUCAUAUUUUCAAGAUACGAUUUCUAAAUUAUGAAUUCUUAUAUAUUGUAUGAGAUCGAUCCUAAAAUUUUUUUUUUAUAAAAAAUUUAAAAAAAAUGAUUUUUCUCCAACACUUUUUAUUUAACGCUGGGUUUUUUUCAACCCAAAAUAAUUUCUCUUUGUACAUCCACUUUUUAAUAAAAACUUUUAUUGUCAAAAUAAUUUGUUAUUAAUUACUUCACUAAUCCUUCUUUUUUUUUUUGCCAAUUUCUCUUUCGCAUCUGAAAAAAUUUAAUUCACAUCAUGUGAUAGUAUGAUUGCAAAUAAAUUUGAAGUUAUCUCUCGCAAAUUGUUCAAAAAUACAUUGACCUAUCUUGUGUAUAGAACUAAAGAACAAUAGCAAACCACUAUCCUCUAGCCGAUCGCUGCUAUUAGGACGGAAAAUUCGUUGUAAAUAUGUAAAUUUGUCUAAACCCAUCUACAAAAAUAUGUCCACUGCGAAUAAUUUUGUAGGUUACGAAUAAGUUUGGUAUUUUAAAUUUAAGUUUGUUGCAAGUUACAGAUAUAUUUAGUAUUUUAAAUUUGGCGGAUGCCUACCGACUAUCAUUUUUUUUAAUUAUUUAUGUUUUUAAUUUAAUCACAAAGAUUGUCUUAAAAAAAAUUUAAUCAUAAAAAUAUAGUAGUUAAAGUUAUUACUCUAAUCUUCCAAAUUCCUAAACCUAACCUAGCUAACUCAUUACAAUUGCACACCCUACUCCUUCAAGUAUGUAUGUAUGUAAAUGUAUACACACGCGCACACACCAAAAAUAAACUUUUAAUAAGUAGAUUUAGUAUUUUUCAAGUUUAAUAUUAAUGAUAUUUUAAUUUAAUUUGAUUACUUUUGUUUGUUUCGCUUUAACGACUUGAACUCAGUGAUUGCUGGCUAAGAUUGAAUUUUUAUUUGUCUAAUUAAUGGUCAAUAGUUGUCCAAAAUAUAUUUGUUAAUAUUGUUGACAAUACUUAUAUAUUAACUAAAAGAUAGAACAAGGCAUUAAUCUUAGUAAUGAUUAUUUGCGUACAACAAAAAUAUUUUAUGUUAGAAUGAUAUAUUUUGUGUAUUUGUUUUAAUAUUGAAACUUUAAUUUCUCUUUUACAUUGAUAAAAUCUAAAAUUGAGUAAUUUAUGUAGAUUUUGUAGGCUGUUACUAUAAAGUUAUAUUUUGAAUUAUAUAAUUCAAAUUAUUAGAUAUUAUUUUUUUAAUAUUUGUAAUUUUAAAUAUAAAAAUUUAUAAAAAAAAAACCUACUGCAUGUUAUGGGUGAAUUUGGUAAUUAUUAAAAAUUAUAGCGAACGAACUAAGGCCACCGGUUACUGGCGAGUUUAAUAAUGACAAACCCAUAAUAAGCGAUACCCAUUACCAUCAGCAGCUUCUGUAACGCAGGGCCGAAGGCGGUCUUGAAUUGUUAGAAGUUGCAACAUUAAUUAGCAAAAUUUUCAGCGGCAUCCCUAAAGUUUAGCAUAGAAUUAGAUAGAUCCCCUUGUUUUCAAAAGAUUAGUCUCUGAUUCCAUGUUGUUUACUUAAUUUUUUUUUCCCUUUUCAAUUGGAUAUACAACUUCGUAAUGUUGCGCCUUGUAGAAUGUAUGCUUAAAAUGCGUUCUUCUUAUUUUUUAUAUACUGCUAAGAGAAGUUGAGUAUAGAAAUAUAUAAAAUGGAGUCUCAUUCAUUAAUUAUUUAUAUCCACUCAAUAGCACCUAACAUGCAGCUCACUUCAAUAUAAAAUUAAUUAAACAAAAUAGAAAGAAUAUUUUUAACGCUGGUACAAAAACUUAACAAGUGUAAAAGAAGACUCACUAACUUAUUUUAUGAUAUUACAUUCACGCAGGUACCACCAAUGUUUCCCGACCACGUUUGAGACCACCAACUCACGCCAAUUUAGAAGAUUUUCUUUAAGUAUAUAAGUUAAAGUUAUUACUCUAGUUUUCAAAAUACUUAAACCUAAUCUAACUAAUUACAGCUGCAUGCCUUGCUCCUUCUAGUAUAUGUAUAUAUUUUAAGAUGAAUACAAUAACUUUUUAAUAAGUAGAAUUUUGUACUUUUCAAGCUUAAUAUUAAUGAUAAUUUAUUUUAUUUUAAUUACUUCGAAUUCUUGAACAUAUUGAUUGUUUGCUAAACUUGAAUUUUUAUUUGUCUAAUUAAUUGGCGAUAGCAGUUGUAUAAAAUUUAUAAAGACAAAAUCUUAGUAGAUUACAAAAAGAUUUAGUAAUGACAAACCUGCAGCAGCCAAUACCCAUUACCAUCCCUAGCUACUAUAAUGCAGGGACACAGGCGGUCUUAAUUGUUAGAAGGUUCAAAAUUAAUUAGCAAAAUGUUCAGUGGUAUCCUUGAAUUUUAGCAUAGAAUUAGAUAUAUCUCCUAGUUUUCAAAAUUAGUUUUUGAUUCCCCCAUUGUUUAUAUAUAUAUUUCAAUUGGAUAUAUAACUUUGUAAUGUUGCGCCUUAUAAAAAUGUAUGCUUACAAUGCAUGCUUAUUACUUUUUAUAUGCUGUUAAGAGAAACUGAGAAUAAAAAUAUGUAAAAUGGAGUUUCAUUUAUUAAUUAUUUAUAUCCAUUAAAUAUCACCCAACGUGCAGUUCGUCUCAAUAGUAAAAUUAAUUAAACAAAGUAGAAAGAUUUGUUUUAGCAUUAGUACAAAAAUAAAACAAGUACUAAGCAAGAAUCACAAACUUAUUUUAUGAUAUUACAUUCACGCAGAUGUCAUCAACGUUUCCCGACGACGUUUGAAAGCGAUCACCAUCUCAUGUUGAUUUGGAAGAUUUUCUUCAAUUACAGGGACUUUCCUGAAAUUUUCAAACCAACCAUGCAAGCUUGGGAAUUUGUGAGAUUCAAAUAGCUUCACUCCCAUUACAUCUUCAAGGACCUGCAACCAAUAAGCAAUGGCUCCAAAUGCUAGGUCCGCUAAGCCAAUAUUGUCUCCAUUGAAAAACUUCUUCUCUCCUAGGCCAUGUUUUUCAACGGUUUGAAGCAUUUCCAAGGCUGCCUUCAUUGCAUUCUCCAGGUCUUGUCCAGUGCUGAAAAACAUUUUCCAAACAGCUACUCCCUGCCACAAUAUUUUAUAUCUAAUUCUUAUCACCACAUGAUUAAUAAUAUAUAUGAGGUGAAGAGAAAUUAGAUAAUACGUACACACGCGUCAAAGUAUCUUUCAAAGACUAGACGUUUCAAACUGUCAGAGUAUUUAGGAGAGUUUACCCACUAAUUUUUAGACUAGUUUAGUAUAACUUUUCAGAGCUUAUUUAAAUAGAAAUUUUAUUAGUAAAUUUUUAAUUUUUAUAAAAAAAUGUUAAUUAUUUAGCUGUUAACGAAAAUUUUCAUUAAAAUUUUCAAAUUACUUUAAUAGACAAAAUUUUAAUGUUAUGUUAUGAAAUAAAUAAAAUAAGAUUAUAAAAUAAAUGAUGAAUAUUUUAAACAAUUUAACUUUAAAAAAAAUCCUCAACCCUCUAUUUCCAAAAGUGUAAAUUUAAACUUUUACUAAUAUAGGCAAAAGAAUUUAUUUAAUCCCAAAAAGCUCUACUAAAAAUAAAACUAAACAAUAAUAAAAAUUUUGAAAAGAACUUUUUUUUUAUUAAAUAAACACGUAUGAGUAAUAAAUAAGCCAUAUCAAACAAAUACUAAUGAAAUAAAAGGAAAAAGAUAAAAAAAUCCUCUAAUUGUUUUAGUAAAUUAUAAUUUUAUUUUCAUGUUUCAAAAGUCCUUAAAAUUCUCCCUGUCGCUAAAACAAUUAUAUUUUAAUAUUUUACCCUUGAUUCAGUAAAAUCCACGGUUAAUUAAGAAAAUUUUCUAAAGAUAAAAAAUUUAAAGUAAUUAACCGAAUUUUUUUUAUAAUUUUCUCUAAUGUAAAAUAAAAGGUUCAUGGAGCUUAGUCGGCCGUGAAUGCAUUUGCACAUGCGAGGACAUUAGUUCGAGCAUUAAAAGAAGAUAAAAAUUAAUGUUUAGAGUCAUAUUUCUCAAAUACCAUGAAAAAUUAAAGUAUAUAAAGAAAUCCGACAAGAUUAUAAAAUUUAUAAACGUGUUGGCAAGAAAAGUUGUGAUGCGAACCUUGUCUUCGGCAAAUUUAAUCCAAAAACGAGCUUGAGCUCUAUCAUAAGAAUCACUUGGCAUCAAGGAGGGAUUGUGUGGCCACAUCUCUUCAAUGUAUUCGAGAAUAACCAUGGACUCGCAAACUGGUUUUUCGCCAUGAACGAGCACUGGUAUCAUCUUGUUAACUGGGUUAUACUUCAAAAGCGAAGCACUUUUGUUGUAGAGAUCUUCUUCAAUGUAUUCAUACGGGAUGCCUUUCAAUUUCAGAGCUCAUACCACCUUGUUGCUAAAUGGACUCGCCCAUCCCCCGUGGAGCUUCACUUCAGCCAUGUGUCUCAGAUCGAAUUUGAAUAUGUUUGCGGUUGUUUUGAUUAGCUGAUGAGUCAUUGCAUACGUACAUCUGAAUUUAUAAUGAUUAUUCAUUAAUAUUGGAAUAUGGAGUGCGCUUGCUUGAGCAGGGAGCUUCAUAUUUCCAACUUAUUUAAUAAAACGAUUAAAUUAAGUUGAAUUCAAUGAACUAAUGCUGCGACUUUUUAACAAUUCUGUUAUAUAUUCAACGAGAAGAGGUAUCGUAUUUGACGGAAAUCUCUUGAAACAGUGCUGAAUUAACAAGUAAUCUUAUUUAAUUUGGUCAACUGGUCAGAUUUGGAUUAAUUAUAUAUUUGGCGUUUGUUUUAGGUGCCCAGCUAGCCCUGCUGCUGUGCUUUUGACUUUACGAUGGGGUGGAGUCGUGGAGAUAUCAUCAUCCCAACUGAAGACAGAUUAUGAUAUUCUCCUGAAAACUUUGUGAGACUCAUUUACUCUACAAUUUUAGCAUUUUAGGCCCAAUAACUCCAUAUAAAUGACGUUUUGUCCCCCGGCUCCAUCUCUUCUAUAUAAAUCCGAACACCUGAAAAAUGACCAGACCGGAACAACUCUCCGUCUUAAGUCUAUGCAAAUUUUACACACAAGAGAAAGAGAGGGAGAGGGGCAGCCAUGAGAGACAACGAUACAGAAAAGAAUAUGGAAGAGAGUUUAUUAAUACCAAAAGAGAGUUUAUCAUCAACAUCCACAACAUGGGAUUUGUUGAGUGGAGAAGUGAAAAAGCAAGGUUACAUAGCAGCACCAAUGGUGGCAGUAACUUUAUCACAGUAUUUGCUUCAAGUUGUUUCCAUGAUGAUGGUUGGUCAUCUUGGUCAACUUGCUCUUUCUAGCACCGCCAUGGCCAUCUCUCUAGCUAGCGUCACCGGCUUCAGCGUCCGUGUGUCCUACAAUCCAUAUAUAGUUAUAUACACAAGAUUGUUUAUUCUUUCUUUUGAUAGGUACUUGCAUCAUUGCAUGUGGGAUUUAAACAAAUAGAUAUGCCAAAUUUCUGAUGUUAAAAAACAUGCAACUAACUAAUACCCUGUUUGUAAAAAUGCCAUUAAUUUUUAAAGGACUUGAUUUGCUCUUUUUUUUUAAAAAAAAAAAUGCUACAGCUAACUUGAAUUGUGUAAUAUUUUCUUUGAAACAGUUAGGAAUGGCAAGUGCUCUGGAAACAUUAUGUGGGCAAGCACAUGGAGCUCAGCAAUAUCAAAGAAUUGGAACUCAAAUUUACACUGCAAUAUUUUGUUUAUUCUUAGUAUGUUUUCCGCUUUCCUUUCUAGGGAUUUACAUGGGAAGGCUGCUAGUUUUGGUAGGCCAAGACCCCCAGAUUUCACACGAAGUAGGCAAGUUUAUAAUCUGGCUUCUUCCAGCUCUGUUUGCUUAUGCAGCAAUGCAGGCGCUUAUUCGAUAUUUUCAGUCUCAAAGUUUGAUCAUUCCCAUGUUCUUAAGCUCCUAUGCCUCUCUUUGUUUGCAUAUUCCCAUCUGUUGGGGUUUGGUAUUCAAGUCUGGACUGGGAAACCUUGGAGGAGCAUUGGCAAUUGGUAUAUCGUAUUGGUUGAAUGUAACUUUCUUGGCAAUUUACAUGAAGUUCUCCACUGCUUGUGCAGAAUCCAGGGCUCCAAUUUCAAUGGAGUUGUUCCGAGGAAUUGGAGAGUUCUUCCACUUUGCUAUCCCUUCUGCAGUAAUGGUUUGGUAUGUUAAUUAUCUUCUGGAGUUUCAUUUUCCCUUCUCAUAGAUAUCGUAGACACGUCAUAAAUUUUCAUGCAUCUUCUUUUGUUUAUAAUUUUGCAGCCUAGAAUGGUGGUCAUUUGAAUUGCUCAUUUUAAUGUCAGGGCUGUUGCCUAACCCACAGCUUGAAACUUCAGUCCUAUCUGUAUGGUAUGUUGACAUAGACUUUGUAUGUGAAAGUUCUAUACAGAGAAGCACCUACCAAAGGAAAUAGAUUUUUUUUCUUUUUUUCUUUUUUUUCCCGACCGCUCAUUAUUUGUCAACUUCUUUGGGCAGUCUCAGUACUAUUCAAACCCUCUCUGCAAUCCCUAUGGACUUGGUGCUGCAGUGAGGUUUGUUCAUAACAAUCAUUUAAAUAAUAAUUAUUUUAUAUCAACUAAUUAGCAGAUUAACCAUUAUUUCCUUCUAUAGUACUAGAGUUUCAAAUGAACUAGGAGCUGGGAAUGUGCAAAGAGCCCGUGUAGCUGUCUAUGCUGUGGUCUUUAUGGCAGUCAUGGAGACUAUCAUAGUAAGUGCAUCUCUCUUUGCCAGCCGGCGUGUUUUUGGUUAUGUUUUCAGCAAUGAGGGACAAGUUGUGGAUUAUGUCACAACCAUGGCUCCUCUGGUUUGUUUGUCUGUCAUCAUGGAUAGCUUACAAGGAGUCUUUUCAGGUUAAAUUAACUUCUUCAACUCUUUCAAUUGCUAAAUAGUUCUCUUUAAGUAGAAAUAAAAUUUUUCAGGUUUCUAAAUUCUUUUUAUUAUUUUUAAGGUGUUGCAAGAGGAUGUGGGUGGCAGAAUAUAGCUGCUUUUGUGAAUCUUGGGGCUUAUUAUUUGUGUGGAGUCCCAACUGCUGCCAUUUUGGGUUUCUGGUUAAAGUCUAGAGGAAGGGGCCUAUGGAUUGGGAUACAAGCCGGUGCUUUUACACAAACACUUCUGCUUGGCAUCAUAACAACAUUUACAGAUUGGGAAAAACAGUUCUGUUUCUCAACAUUUAAUCCCUUAAAAAAUAGAGAAGCUUAUUGGACUAGAUAUGUAAAUAUGUAGCAAUUUUUUUUCCCAACAAGUAUAUGAUACCUUCUGACUGAAAGUUCAAGAUUAAAAUCAUUCAGCUUGGUCUGAAAUGGUUAGUAUUAUCAUCUUAUGCAGAAAUGGUUUUGCUCAUUGAGAAAAUGAUAUUCAAUAACAGACCUGCAAACUCAUUUGAAAAUUUGCUUUUUUGGAAGAAUUAUAACCAUUUUCUAGUUUGUUAAUUGUUACAAGUUCUGUGUUUCUAAGGGGUUUCUCAUGUUGCAGGCAAGUAAAGCAAGGAAAAGAUUAUCAAAGGGAAGAUCUUUUGCAGAUAAUAGAGUAGUAUGUGAGUGACCAGAGUCAAUCAAUGAGCUGAUAUAUACAUUUUCCAGUUGAAAGAGAUAAUCAUUGCUUGAGAAAAUGAGCUGAUCAUAUGUCAAUUGAUGGCCAAGAAGGUCCCCCGAUCUGGUCUAUUGAGCAUGACAUUUCAUGAAACUCUGUUUCUAGAGAAAAAAAAAAAAUAACAGCUUCUUAGGAUUGCAGCAUCAGGUGACUUAGCAUUUCCAGUAUGAAUGAAUUAUAAGAUAGAUGAUGCUGCAAAAAUGAAUAGAGAUAAAAAUUAAGCAAGAGAAAAUGUUUGAAUAAAAUUAUUUAAACCUUUUCCAGUGAUUGUAGAGAUAAUUUCUUUGUAUUGAACACUUUCACCAUCUGAAAGAUAAGGAAAAUAUUAAAAGAAAAAAGAAAAUUCUUAAAUCUUUUCCAUGUCAUUCUAGCAAAGUUGAAUUGUGAUUCUUAACCCUACACCACAAUGUAAGGUGGCCUGUGGCCUGUGGGUAACACACAAUUUGACAACCCCAUAUAUUAAGUAAUCUAGAUGGAGGACAUUAUAUUUUUCAAUUUUUUAAUUUUUGUUCUUUUUUUUUUAAUUCAAACGACACCUCUUUCAUUGUGGCAUUGGAAUGUAUAGAGAUUUGCACACUGAUUUUGGACCAUACUUCACAAAUAAUGCGACGCACAUCUUUCUUUCAGUACUUCUUCAGGAGGAUAAGCUACAGACGUUGUUGUCCUUUUACCUGAAGCAAGUGCAUGUGCAUGAAUUGUUGUUGUCUGUUAAUCUGCUGCCACUUUGCUGCCAAAAAACUUGAAAAAUAAACCGGGAAAAUUUUCAAUAAGCAAAGUCAAACAACUAACCCCUGUUUAAGUUAUAUUCCUAAGAAAACUUUUAACACCAAAUAAAGCACACAGCUAAAGUAUUUCUAUCACAUUAGGUUUCGAGUGAGGUUUGAUUUACAUUUAUAUCAGAUAUACCAAGUGUUUUUUCUUCUUUUAAUUAAUGUAUAUUCCUAAGAAAACUUCUAAUUGAUUAUCCACAUAUAUAAACAAACCUAGCUCGCAAUGUGAAAUAUAUUAAAACAGCAACCAUAAGAUUUUCAAACAUUUAAAUUAACGGUGAUGAUAUUUCCAUCCCAUGAAUUUUAUAAACCCACCCAUUUUUAAAAAAAUUAUUAUAAUCAAUUCACAUUAUUUUUAAAAAAUUUAAAUUAAGAAGAAAUUAAAAAAUUGAUCAAUAAAUUCAUAUUCAUUUCUUUUUUAAACUGUGUUUCUUUAUUAUAUUUAAUCAAUAAGAUUGCUUUAACAUAAAUUAGUAUGACUAUUUUACCCUCAUAAGGUAAAAGUACCAAAAUAUCUAAAAAUUUACUUUAACUUUAAUAAAUUUUUAUGCAAUUUUUUUAUAUUUUAAUGAUGUAUUAGUAAUUGUUAGUACAAUUAUUAUUACUCCACUAAACUAACAAGAUAUAAUUAGGACAUGUGGUGAAUUGAAAAUAAUUAAAUUUUAUAUAAUACAUAUUGGAUUAUAAAAUAUAAAAAAAAAUGUCUAAGCAAUUAGUUACAAUAAUAUAUAUAUAUAUAUAUUUCUUAGAGUAAUUUGGUAAUUUUAUAUUACAAGGGAAAAAUAAUCAAAUUAAAUUUAUCUUGAAGUGCUUCAAAAGUUAAAGAUUGUUAAAAGACUAAGUCGGAAAAAAUAAAAAAAAAAUAUUAUAAAAUUAAUUUAAUUAAUUAAUUAUUUAAAAUUUUUAUUAAUUUAAAAUUUUAUAAAAUAAUAUGAACUUAUUGUAAUUAUUUUAUACAGGUGGACUGGGUUUAUAAAAAUAGCGGGGUGGAUAUACUUACACCCUUGAAUUAAUAGUUAGUAUAAAUUUUAGAUACCCCCCUAAAAUUUGACUUUGCUACACUUAGAGAGAAUGUAAACAUAUAUUGACAAUAUACCCCCUGGUCGUGUAUAAGGGUUAGGCACUGGUUAGGUAGUUGAGGGCAAUAACGUACAUGUUGCAUAUUUUUUUAUUUUUAAAUCUUACAAAAGCUGCUAUACCGUAACUAAUUAGACAAGAGCAGCGAAAAUGCAUACAGUGCUUUGAAGCUAGGGAAGCCCAAGGGGAUAGUAACCCAUUUUCAUUGUCAAUGCCUAGCUUCAUUUCUUCUUUUUUCUCAGCAUAACUUGAUGAGUGCUUAGCUUCAUUUCGAAGGUCGUGACACCAACUGAUUUUAGCAAAAGCAGAGAUACUUUGUGAUGCAGUAAGCUAACAAGUUUCUGAAAUCAGCUAUGUUUUGGACCAAAUUCCGGCGACGACCAGCAGCUGAAAAGCCGGUGAUUAAAGGGCAAUCUAGGUGAGUAAUUCUAUCAAAGCUUAAAAUUGAAGUUAGGUUUUAUUAUUUUCUUGCAUUUUGUUGAAAUUGCUGUUAGUUAGGUGCUUUAUUUUUAGCUCAAAUUAAUUGAGAAAAAUGUUUAGGGUUUAUAGAAAUUGAAGUAGUGACCGAAUAUAUCGGAAUUGAUUUUUGAGUUGAUAGUCACUCAACAUGUUGUGUAAACUAUGAAAAUGAUUUAUUUUUUGAUGAUUUUGGACUCUGGUUUUUGAAUGCCUACUGAAAUUUGCUUGAUCUGUUAUUAAAAUUGAGAAAAAUCCAAUCUUUCUCUAAGAAUGCAGAGGUGUUGCUGAGAAAACGCUUAUGGUGUUGUUUUGUUUCUUUCUUUAUUUUACAAGUGUGCAGUUCAUGUAAGAUUGAGACAGUUGCUCUUGUUGCUUUUUGAUGUUUGUGUGGACUAAUUCCAAUCACUGAUUUUUGUUGGAAAAUGGAUGCUAUUAUUUGUCCUUUUCUUUGUGUAAAAAUUUGUACUUUGUUCCCAACAUAAAAUUCAGAUGCUUGCCUAUUACUUUUUGAGGUUGUUAUUAAGGUGUAAGAGAUAUAUUAGUUAUAGAGCUUGUAGGCAGUUGGUUUAUUGAAGAACUAGUACAGUUGAGAAAGUGUCUUUUAGGUCAUCCAUUUUAAUACACAUAUUAACAGAUUUAAUUACAUAAACACAAGACUUCAUUUGUUUAUCAAAGUAGUACUUUCUGAUGCUUUCAUAUAAUGAAUGCCAAAGAGAUGACAUUUGCAAAAAGGCCAUUUGAAUGUACCAACUGCUAUCCUUGUAAACCUCUAUUGUGAUUCUGUUAUCAUUAUAUGUUGUUUAAUGAUCUGAUGAUUUCGAGAUAUCAAGAUGAGUUUAUUCAUACAAUAAAUGUUGUCAUUAGGUUCAUAAUUAUUGUAGUACAUGUUCAUUUAGCUACUUUAGGUACUGCUACAUGCAUUUAUUGUAUAAUGCCUACUUAGCAGCCAUAACUACACCCAUUGUUGAAGCCGCAGUAGCAAAAAUGAGAAAAAAAACAUGUUUAGGAACAACGUUGUCUUUAUAUCAUUUUAUUUUACUCCAUUUUGUUGUGCUUUUUGCAUCAGUGACUUCAAAUCCUUCCUAUCCUUUUGCAUACUCAUUAGCAGUUCAUAAUUUGCUUGACAUGUUCCUAAACCAUCAAAUAUAACACCUUGGUCGACAUCAUAGCCACAACCAUUUUUGCUAUUCAUACAGCAAUAAUAUAGCUUGUUUGGGUUGUCAUCUGAUUCCGCUACCUUCAUAGCAGCUAUUUUGUAGCAUUUACUGAUCUUGUUUGAAAAUCAAAUGAAUUUAAAAUAUUCUCAUUUAUUGUUUUUUUGUAGCGUUCACUAAUCUUCUGAUAUUCAAUAUUGUUUUUAUAUAAAUUAAUUUAAAAUAUUAUCAUUUAUUUGUCUUAUUAUAUGAUUUUACGCUAUCAAAUUAUUUGUUUUAACAGGCAUUUUGUUCUUUUCAACACUCAAUUGAGUUUUGUCUUAUUAUAAGAAUUUGUAAUGUCAACAACAAUUAUCAUAAGGGUAUAAUAGCCUUUCACCCCCCCAGGCGCAAAAAAAAAAAUUGCCCCAAAUAUAAAGAUCAUCUACAGUGUCAAUUAAUUAUGAAGGGCAUUAUUGCACAUUCACUCAACUACCUAACGGGUGCCUAACCUUCAUACAUGGCCGGGGGUAUGUUGUCAAUAUAUGGAUACAUUCUCUCUAAGUGUAGCAAAGCCAAACCUCAGGGUGGUUUCUAAAAGUUUUCCUAAAUAGUUAAUAAUUUUAUACAACAGAUUCUUGGAUACCCCUCAAGUUCACUUAUUCUACGUUAUGGCUGACUUUCAAGAAAUUAAAUUCUACAUUAUGACCCCUAGGGAAACAACGUAGCCAAUAAAAUUAUAAAAUAUAUGUGUGUAAUAGUUGUCAAACCUGAACCUAUGUCGUUUAGCAAUUUACAAAAUGAGAAAGACGACAAAAGCCAAGUGUUAGAGUGGCAGUGAGCCAACGAGACAAGCUCAAGUUCACUGUGUUUUUGUUGAACCUUCUGAAGACCCGAAACUCGAGGUUUGUUUUUCACGUUCCCUAAUCGUUUGACUACAUUUUAAUUCUGUGCUACGCUCGUUAAGAACUGUUCAGGCUUAUGAACUGUUCAGGCUAAGUGUUCGACGAAAUUCCUAAGUGAGUAUAUAUUCUGUUAUAGAAGGUUUUGCUUUGGGUGGUUAAAUAGAGGAGAUUAGACAUUGAACUUUAUGCACUUGUAUGUUUUCAAGUAAUUGUUUGCUGAGGCACAUGUACUUUGAAUGGCUUCAUUCAUCUACAGAGAUAUCAUAACAUUUUUGCUUAAUGUGAGUCUUAUUGUUGUUAAUUUGUCCAAAGUGAAGGCUUUUUUAACUUUUAUUUCUUUGAUUUAUUUAUUUAUUGGUGUGUCGAAGUUCUGUCUCAACUUUAUUUGAUAAGUUCUUUCAGACUACUAAUUAGAAGAAAAAAAUGCUAGAGAGUGAGUAUGAGAGGGAAUGAUGUUUGGGCAAGGGGUGAUUUGUUCACUUGGCUCAUGAAGGACCCCAACUAUAAUGACAUGUAUCAAUUUCGCAGCCUAAUUGGAAGGUAAGCUCAUUUCUUGAUUUCCUUCAAUUUUCACUUUCAUUUUACUGUUUUCAAGUAGUAGGUAACCUAAAUAAAAGUAAAAUCAGUAGUGAUUUGCUUCAAGUGCAUAUGGAUAGUAUAUCACAUGUGAGAAGAUUGUAUUUGUUAUAUGAAAAUCCUUAAUAACUGUAAUGAAAAAAUAUAUUCUCAAACCUGAUCGUGGAAUGUACUAUUUCUUAAUAUCUGAGUUUGGAUCCACACAUUUUUUGCCAUGCAAUUUGACAAGUUGUCAUGUCCUCAUAUUCUGCGCUAUCAUAAGUUUUGCCAAUCUGCAUAGGUGUUUAAUAGAUUGAGUUAAUCUAGUUUCGAGAGCAUGCCUUACUAAAGGGCAUCGAGUUUCUAAGUGAGGGCAAGCACAACUAUAAUUAUCUAUUUCAUAUCCUCCCUAUCAGCGGGGCAGGUCUGUUACCUCUAAAUUCUUUCAAUAACUUGGGGACGUUAAUCCUAUUAAUGACAGCCACAUAUUAUAAGUCAAGAAAACUGAUUUUUUGAUUAUUGAAAAAUCAAAUUUUUUAUAUUAUUCUAUUUAUGAUCUCAGUAACCUACAUGUUAGUGAAUUAUAAGAAUAUGGAGGCAAAGAACAAAGAAUAUUUCUUAGGAUUUGAGACGUGUUUGCACACUUUCCUUUAAGGUUUUAUUUGCCCUCUCCAAUCUUAGUUUGCUAUAGAGUAUUAAUGGCAAAUUACCCCCAAGAUAUAUCAAAUCCUGAAUACAAUCUCUAGCAAAUAAGAUUGUAUUUCCAGAACAUAUAUAAAACCUACAAAAUCUGAUUUUUAAUCUUAUUGUAUGUCUUUCUUUUUAUGAAUAAGAUGUUUAUUUGAAAGAAUACAUCCAUUAGAAAUGGUACUUCUUCGAAAAAACUCUUUUGGUUUGAAAAUGCAUCGAUUUACAAUUGAAAUCUUUUCAAUCUUGCUAACCGUUUUUCAAUUGACAACUUUCUGGAAAUAAACGGUUAGCCGUUUUCUCAAUAAACGGUGAGCCGUUUAUUCUAGGACAUAAAACAUGCUCUCUGGACUUAAACGGUAAGCCGUUUUCACCAUAAACGGUGAGCCGUUUAUUCCAGAACAAAAAACAUGCUCUCUGGACUUAAACGGUUAGCCAUUUUCUCAAUAAACGGCAAACCGUUUUCGUCCAGAAUAUCAAACCAAACAGACUUGAAAGAUGUUACAAUCUCUCUUACAAUCCCCACUAGAUUGUAAUAUUUUUCAGAUUUAUUAAUGAUAAACUUAUACAUACAAAAGGUAUCUUUCGAUUUUAACCUUUAAUUAGUGAGUGUAUUUCAAAGCAUUUACAAGACAAUAGUGUGCUAAGCAUUAAACUUUGUCUCUUAAGUAAAUACCGGAGAUACAUCACAUAUAAGCUAUCCCAGAUUUCAAAGUUGUGUUCCAAUAGUUAGCACUAUUCCGGCCUUGUGCUCUAUCUUGGAUUCAUGAACAUUUACAAGAUUAAACUAUGACCUUGUUAGAAACGGCACCAUUUCUUAUGUUCACUUAGGUGAAGUUUCAAAUCAUGUCUUUAGCUACUAAAAGACUUGAACUUCAUUAAGAGUAAAUACUCAACCUCAAUCUCGUAGCUAUUUGCACCGAAUAUCUCGAAUGAGAUUAUUUAUUACUCGGUGUCAAACCAGUCACAUAACAACAACUUGUUAUUACCCAUUUAACUAUGGAGUAGCGGUAUAACUACUACAUAGUUGGGUUACCGUCGUUGGUGACUUUAUUAUAUAAAGGUUUCAAUCCCAUUCCAUAAGAUGUAUCCUUAACUAAGUCUCUUGAAAGACCUUUUGUUAAAGGAUCUGCUAGGUUCUUAUUAGUCCUAACAUAAACAAUAUUAAUAACACCAUCUGCUAUUAAUUGUUUCACAUAUUCAUGUCUUAAGCUAAUAUGUCUAGACUUUCCAUUAUACACUUUAUUAUAAGCUCUAGACAAUGUAGCUUCACUGUUGCAGUACAAAGAAAUAGAUGGCAUCGGUUGUGGCCACAACAUUAUAUCAAACAACAAAUUUCUCAGCCAUUCUGCUUCUUUGCCUGCAGCUGCAAGUGCUAUAAACUCACUUUCCAUUAUUGAAUGAGUUAUGCACGUUUGUUUCUUUGAAGCCCAAGAAACCGCUCCUCCAGCAAUUGUAAAAAUCCAACCAGAAGUGGAUUUAUUGUCUCUUGUAUUGGUUACCCAAAUAGCAUCUGAAUAUCCUUCCAGUACUUCAGGAUAAUCAUUAUAAAACAAACCCAAAUUAACGGUCCUUUUAAGAUAACCAAGUAUCCUACCAAUUGCUUUCCAGUGUUCAACACUAGGGUUACUCGUGAAUCUUGACAUUUUGCAAACUGCAAAUGCUAUAUCAGGCCUCGUACAAUGCAUAGCAUACAUCAAGCUACCAAUUGCACUAGCAUAUUCUAGUUGAGCUACUAUUCGGCCUGAAUUCUCUAGUAAUUUAAUACUAGAAUCAUAUGGGGUAUUAGCUUCUUUAAAUUCCAAAUAAUUAAAUUUAAGAAGCACUUUCUCUAUAUAAUGAGAUUGACACAACGAGUAACCCCCACUAUGUUUAUUCACUUUGAUACCUAAGAUAGUAUCUACUUCACCAAGUUCUUUCAUCUUAAAUUGUGAAGUUAAAUACUUCUUUGUAUCAUCUACUCCUUGCAUAUUUGUUCCAAAGAUAAGCAAGUCAUCAACAUACAAGCAUAUAAUCACACCAAAAUCAUUCGUAUAUUUAAAAUAUACACAUUUGUCAGCAUUAUUAUGCUUAAAACCAUGUGAUAAAAUUACCGAAUUCAAUGAAGCAAUUGCAAAUAGCACUCUUAUAGAAGUUAACCUAGCUACCGGAGCAUAUGUAUCGAAAUAGUCAAUACUAUUUCUUUACUUAAACCCUUUGGCUACUAAUCUAGCCUUAAAAGUUUGCAAAGAACCAUCAUUAUUGUACUUUUUUCUAAAUACCCAUUUGCUGCUAAUUGGUUGAGAUCCUGGAGGAAGAUCAACCAAUAUCCAUGUUUGAUUCGUCAUUAUCGAAUCCAUUUAAUCAUUUACCGCCUCUCUCCAAAAAGAAGCGUCUCUAGAAGACAUAGCCUCGCUAAAUGUCUUUGGAUCUUUUUCAAUAUUUAACAACAAUGGUACUUUGUUAAGUACAUUCUUUCUAUCCCCUUCAACCAAGAAAAGUAGUGCUUGUGAUGAAAUAAAAUCCGGAGCUAAACUCUUUUCUUUCUUUUCACGUUGACUCCUCCUUAGUUCGAAAGAUGUCGUAGACUCUUUCCUUUUAUUAUUGUUAGUGGAGGUAACAGGAGUAUUAACACAUGGUUGAUCAAUAAUUGAUUCUGAUUCAAUAUUAGAAUCAUGUUGAAAUUUAUUCUCAAUAAAUUCAACAUCUCUAGAUUCCACAAUCACAUUAGAAUCUAAAUCUAACAACCUAUAAGCCUUGGAAUUUUCAGCAUAUCCUACGAAAACACUUUUUAUACCUCUAGCACUCAACUUUGAUGACUUAGGGUCAUGUAUUUUAUAAAAAGCUAAACAACCCCAGACCCUUAAAUACAUCAAGUUUGGUUUUCUUCCUUUCCAAAUUUCAUAAGGAGAUAUAUGUGUUUUCAAAGAUGUAAUUCUGUUAUGAAUAUGACAUGCAGUGAGUAAUGCUUCCCCCCACAAAUUAUUUGGUAGUUUUGCAUUAAGGAUCAUGGAAUUUAUCAUAUCCGUGAAGAUCCUAUUCUUCCUUUCAGCCAAACCAUUUUGUUGAGGAGUAAAUGGAGCUGAUCUUUGGUGAAUAAUUCCAACUUCCUCACAAUGAUUAUUAAAUUCAAUUGAGAAAUAUUCACCACCUCUAUCACUACGAACCAUUUUGAUUUUCUUAUCUUUUUGGUUCUCAACUUUAGCUUUGAAAAUUUUAAAUUUAUCAAAAGCUUCACUUUUUGUUCUAAGUAAAUACACAUAAGUGUAUCUAGAACAAUCAUCAAUAAAAGUGAUGAAGUAUCUCUUACCUCCUCUUGUUAAAAUGCCAUUAUACUCACAAAUAUCAGUAUGUAUCAAAUCCAAUAUUUGAGUAUUUCGUUCAGCUUUAGGAAAAGGUUUCUUAGUUAUUUUAGCUUGGAUGCAGAUUUCACACUUAUGACCUUUAACAUCAUUGCAAUUAAUCAAACCAUGCUUAGACAUGUAUUUCAAAGAUCUAAAGUUCAAAUGUGCUAAUCUAGCAUGCCAAACAUCACAAGACUCAACAAUAUAAGCUAAGUUGAUAUUAUUAUUAUUAACGCUGAGUUUGUACAUUCCAUCACAAGAAUACCCUUUCCCAACAAAUAAUCCAUUCUUUGACACAAUACAAGUAUUACCCUCAAGCACAAUCUUAAGCCCAUGCUUACACAUACAACUAGCAGAAAUAAGAUUCUUCCUAACGGAAGGUACAUGAAAGACAUUAUACAAUGUGACUUUCUUUCCAGAAGUGAAGUUGAUCUCAACUACUCCUUUCCCUACUACUAUGGCUGCAUUAUUGUUCCCCAUGAGAACCAUUUGUCCUUCCGUUUCUUCUUUGUAUGAUAAGAAAAAUUUCUUAUCAUUACAAACAUGAAUUGUUGCACCCGAAUCGAGCCACCAAUCAUAGGACUUAGUUUCAGCCAUAUUGGUUUCAGUAAUCAUGCCAAUUUGCAUUUCAGAAACCAUAGCACAAAUCUCUUCAGAUUUGUUUUCAAUAACAUUAGCUUUAUGGGAAUUCACUUCUUCCUUUUUCUUCUUGAAUCUGCAAUCACUUUGGCGAUGGCCUUUCUUACCACAAAAGAAACAAUUUCCAGAAAACUUUUGUGUGCUGGACUUCUUGAAUUUCUUGUCAUUCUUGACUUUAAAAUUCUUUGAGAAUUUACUAGCUUCAACAACAUUAACUUUAGUAGAAUCAUGCUUAUCCUUGGAUUCACGAGACCUAGUCUCUUCUUCAAUUACCAAGUGUUUUUGCAAUUCUUCUAAAGUUAUGUUCUCUUUACUAUGAAGGAGUUUCUUUCUAUAAUCAUUCCAACUCUGAGGCAAUUUAGCAAUAAUAGCCCCAACUUGAAAUGAUUCAGAAAUUUCAACUUUUAACUCUCGAAGCUUAGCAACAAUAAUUUGUAACUCAUGUAUUUGAUCAAGAAUGGAUUUUGUGUCUACCAUAAUAAAUUCAAAAUAUUUAGAUACAAGGAAUUUGUCAGUACCUUCUUUCUCCGUUUUGUAUUUGUAUUCAAGAGCAUUUCAAAUUUCCACCGGAGAAGUCAUAGAAAUGUAGAGAUCAUAUAAUCUGUCAGAAAGCGUAUUGAGUAUGUGACCCCAGCAUAUCAAUUCAUCAUCUUCACGACGUUUCCUUGCAGCCUUAACAGCUUCAGUAUCAUCUUCUCUUGGUUCUGGAAAUGGUUCCAAUUUCGGAUCAAGAACAUAUGCCACUUUAAGAACAGUAAGGAGAAAGAACAAUUUUCCCUUCCAACGAGUGAAAUUAGUUCCAUCAAAACGAUCGAGAUGGACACUAGGAUUCAGAAAUGAUGUCAAACUCUUCUCAACCUCCAUUUGCAUAAUAAAACCUUAAAGAUUGUUAGUGAAUUAUAAGAAUAUGGAGGCAAAGAACAAAGAAUAUUUCUUAGGAUUUGAGACGUGUUUGCACACUUUCCUUUAAGGUUUUAUUUGCCCUCUCCAAUCUUGGUUUGCUAUAGAGUAUUAAUGGCAAAUUACCCCCAAGAUAUAUCAAAUCCUGAAUACAAUCUCUAGCAAAUAAGAUUGUAUUUCCAGAACAUAUAUAAAACCUACAAAAUCUGAUUUUUGAUCUUAUUGUAUGUCUUUCUUUUUAUGAAUAAGAUGUUUAUUUGAAAGAAUACAUCCAUUAGAAAUGGUACUUCUUCGAAAAAACUCUUUUGGUUUGAAAAUGCAUCGAUUUACAAUUGAAAUCUUUUCAAUCUUGCUAACCGUUUUCCAAUUGACAACUUUCUGGAAAUAAACGGUUAGCCGUUUUCUCAAUAAACGGUGAGCCGUUUAUUCUAGGACAUAAAACAUGCUCUCUGGACUUAAACGGUAAGCCGUUUUCACCAUAAACGGUGAGCCGUUUAUUCCAGAACAAAAAACAUGCUCUCUGGACUUAAACGGUUAGCCGUUUUCUCAAUAAACGGCAAACCGUUUUCGUCCAGAAUAUCAAACCAAACAGACUUGAAAGAUGUUACAAUCUCUCUUAUACUACAUGUUGCGAUUGUCUUGUAUGGAUCAUUGUUUCUCUUUUAAGCUGUUAUAGUGACAAUUUUUAGCUCUUAUUGCAGUUCUUAAAGUCAUUGCAAGCACAUGCUCUGUCGAUCUCCAUAAAUUCAAAUACAUAUGCAUAGUUAGCUAUUCAAACAACCACACUGGUAUUUAACUUCGAUAUUCAGAAAUAUGGCUGAAGUGAAGCUUCAUGGGGCAUGAGCGAGUGAAUUUUGUUACAGAGUGAUAUGGGCUCUGAAAUUGAAAGGCAUAGCAUAUGAUUACAUUGAAGAAGAUCUCUCUAACAAAAGUGCUUUGCUUUUGAAGCAUAAUCCAGUUCACAAGAAGGUCCCAGUGCUUGUUCAUGACAAAAAAUCAGUUUGCGAGUCCAUUGUUAUCCUUGAAUACAUUGAGGAGAUGUGGCCAUAGAAUCCCUUAAUGCCAAAUGAUCCUUAUGAUAGGGCUCUGGCUCAUUUUUGGAUUAAAUUUGCCGAAGAUAGGGUUUUGCUUCAGAACUCUAGCUAAUGCCUUUAUAAGUUCAUUAUUUUCAUGUUUAUUAGUUAUUAGAGAAAAUGAUCAGUAUCCCCCAUUGUAUGUCAAAAUUAAUUAUUUGUUCUUUUAUGUUUUAAAACCUAUCAAAAUCUCCAUUGUCGUUCAAAAAAUUCUGUUAACCUUCAAUUUUUUUGUCUUUUACUAAUUUUACCUCUGGAAAAAUUUUUAUUAAUAGGAAGUUGAAAGUUUAAUAGAAUUUUUUUAAUGGCAAGGGAAAUUUUGAUGGCUUUUGAAAUAUGAGGGAGAAAAGGAUUAAUUUACCAAAACAACAUUGUGGUUUUGUUGUUCAUUUACCCUUUGUCAUUCAAUGUAGUUGUUAACCUCUAGUAUAAGGGUGCUUGACAAAUGACAAGGAUAUGUAUUGGCUAAGUCUUUUAGUUCAUACAUAUUAUUAAUCAUGUGAUGAUAUUUUGGCGGGGAGCUACUGUUUGGAAAAUGUUUCGUAGCGUACAAGAUCAAGAGAAUACAAUGAAAGAAAUCUUGGAAAUGCUAAAAACCGUUGAAGAACAUGGCUUAGGAGAGAAGUAAUUUUUUCAUGGAGACAAGAUUGGCUUAGUGGACAUAGCAUUUGUUUCCAUUGUUUAUUGGUUGCAAAUCAUUGAAGAUGUAGCAGGAGUGAAACUAUUUGAAUUUCACAAAUUCACUCGCUUGCACGCAUGGUUUGAAAAAUUUAAACGAGUCCCAGAAAUUGAAGAGAACCUUCCUAAUUGGGAUGAACUAUUGGUUUUUUUCAAACGUCGCCGUGAAAAGUUGGUGGCCUCUUCCUCAUUGCAUUAGCACAAAAUUCGUGCAAUUGUAUUGUUGUCAAGAGGCCGCUCUUUGCUUAGUUUUUGAUUAUCUUGUGUGCUCAAUUGGGAGGCCCCGCUUUGCUGGGUACUUUCGUAUGGAUUUGAGUAAUAAUGGGGACUUGACUUUAUAUUUAUGAAUUAUUGCAUGUAUUUCGUUAAUUAUUAAUGGACUACUGACGGUUAUGUAUUGUUUGGGAAUUGUUUGGGAGGAAGUUUAAAAGCUGAUAUAUACUAAUGACUUGAAGAAAAGUCAACUUAUUUGAAGUAAUAUAACUCUAAAAAAUCAGAAGAAAAACUCUUUGUGGAAAAAGAUAGUUCUGGUAAACAUGCCCAGCAUUAAAGGGUAUUAUCGAAACUUAAAUGUGAAUGGUUAGAGCCAACAUGUGAACAGUACACCAUUAUGAAAAGAUUUUUUUUUUCGCUAAGAAUAACAAGCCAAUAGGACUUUAGUGAUUUUUUUUAGAUCUAAUUUCUUGAGAGACUUCUUCAUCUUCUUCUUCCUUUAUGGUUGGGGUUUCUUUCUCCAUUUUAACACCACCAUAGAAAAUUUUAACCAUCUAUCUCCCAAAGAAGCCCUUUCCCUUACUCUUCUCCUGGAAAACUCUCUAAUCUCUAUAAAACUCAUAUCUCCCUCAUGUCAUUAUUCCUCAUAAACAACCUUUAAUAAUGUUUUGUCCAUAUUAUAAUGCAAAUUAUGUAAUACUUCAUUUAUAUAGUGGAUUGGAGAUGAGUUACUCUUAUGGAUGUAGAUCAAAGGGCCGAACAAUGUAAAAUCUUAUGUGUUCUCUAUUGUUUAUGCUUAUUUUCUAUUUAUUAGGAUGAUGAUAAUACUCAAAUCGUAUUCCAUACAUGAGCUCAUAUAGAGGCAUAGCACGAGCUCUAUUGAGCUCCCCAGAUAAGCUCUAUAGUUAAAGCUAUCCUCGAAUUCGUUAGAGCUACUUCCUAAACUCUCUUGAGCUCCCCAAAUCAACUCUUUAAACUAAAUCCCAUGAGCUCCAUAGAGCUUAUCUCGCAAAACACUUCAAUUUACCUCUCAAAUUACCUCAGUUCACCUUCCAGAUCACCUUAGUUAUUUCUUUUGUCCUUAACAGUAGAAAAACACACCUAGAUUUUUACUAGCUCAAUCUCCCCUCAAAUAUAAAUUUAUUUAUUUAAAUUAUAUUUAACCUUGUUCUGGUGAGGACAACCACUAAAUGAUUCAAAUCAGAUCCUAGAGAAAAUCCGAUGAAAACAUGUAUCUAUGUAUAAUAUUUAACAUCACCCUAACAAUCAAUACGAAUGCACUUGGAUUUAUUCUUAAUAGUACACAAAGUGGAAAAAGCAUGACAAGCAACACUUGCACACUCGAGGCUCAAUAUAAGUACAAACGUCAUAAUUCCAAGCAACAAACAAUGACCAUCAUUACUAAUUUUUUCUGAAAGCCACCAAAUUGGAAAAGUACUGCCAAGCAAUUAAUUAACGACUGCGACUUGCCAUCCUAAGCUUAUCCAAUGCUGAGAGUUCAUUAUUCUUCAAGGUUUGGUUAAUGUAAAUAUCUUUUAGAGUAAUUUCAGGGUAGAGCGGAGGAUUUUCUUCUGAUAGCAACUCUUUAAUUGGACCAUAUCGUCUCGAGCAACUAUUAUUCAUGAAAAACUUCCGAUUGAAAUUCUGGAGCCUUCCUUAUUUGAUAACACUCUAUAAUAGGCACUCUUGAACUUAUCGUUGGUAAUCAGCUGCAUAAACACAAACACAUUGGUAAUCAGCUGCAAAAACACACACUUCAUAUAAACCAUAAUUAAGUUAUCUGAUAGAGAUUCAUGCUUGGGUGUUGACGUUUACAUGAAAUUUUGUAAGGACGAUUCUUUCACAGUAUUGUGAAAGAACGUUUCCGCACAAAAUUUAGUGCGAACGUCCCACUUGAGAAUUUUCAAUUUGAUGGAUAGUAUUUCUUAAUAAGUUAUCUAACACACACUUGCCUGCAUCAUGUAGCCUAAGUUUACAACUAGAGUUCCCGGAACAGGGGCAAUGUCAAAUCAUUGAUCUUCAUGAAAGACUUUGAGGCCACCAAUUUGAUCUUGUAUGAGCACAGUGACAAAUUCCGGGUCAGAAUGUGUUGUUAUGCCGAUGGACAAUUCUGGUUGAGGGUAUUCAGGGUAGUAACCAUUCCCAAUAGUCAUUUCCUCUACACAACCUAUGUCUUUCAGGUAAUUGGGGUCAAGCCCUAAAGCUUCGGAUAGAAGUUCAAACAGAGUGUCCCCUAUUUUCCACAUUAGGUUGUUGUAUGCGAUCAUUAUCUCUCUGCAAAUUAAUAAAGACAAAAAAUAAUCACUACUAAAAGAAAGGGAGAAUGACAUUUCGACUUUUAGAAAUUUUUUUUUAUUGGGUUAACAACUAGAUGAAAUGAGAGUAAUAAAAACUUAUUAGGAACCCAAGUGAUGCAAAACAUUUUAAGAAAGAUGCGAGUGUUAUCCACUGUAAAAGAAAUAAAAUCUAUUGGUCAUCGUCCACAUACCUGCAAGCUUCAGGCAAAUCUUCAGGAUUUGAAAAAUCGCGACCCAUAACACAACUCAAAGUAUCUUUCUGUUAAGGAAGCUCAUUGUGCUAAGUUUAUGAAGAACAUGAAGGCAAAGAAGUUCUCAGUCUUAGUCAGUGAAGCAAGUCAAUAGUGCCAGCUCAUCAGUGCCAGAUCAACAGAAUUAGUUACGGGAAUUAACAAGUCAGCAUAAGUUGUUAAUGCUUGUUACUAGUUUCUUUAGCAUGUGUAUGUAAAUAUCUUCAAGUAUAUAAGCUGUAGAAGUUCAGUUGGUAUGUAACGAAAAAGAAUUAAGAAAUAAGAACUUUGAUUUUUCAUCUGUAAAUUUUCUCUUGAAACAAACAGCCUUUAACUUUCUUUCAUGGUAUCAGAGCCAACCAUGGCUAGUUCCAGUACACCUAAUCAAGUUCAUUCCACAAACAAUCAAUUUCAAUCUACGCAAACUUCAUUUACUUUUGCUGCGACUGUAAACUCGAUCGAUCAAAUUUUCUUCUUUGGCGCAAACAAGUACUGACGUCAAUCAGAGGAAAUCGACUUGAAGGAUUAAUCUCAGAAGGUUAGAAUAUUCCAGAACAGUAUCUAUCUCAAUCAAGAGCUGACAGAUCUGUGGAGAAGAUUGAGAAUCCAGCUUAUGUUAAUUGGAGAGCUCAGGAUCAGACUCUGCUUAGCUGGCUUCUUUCAACAAUAAGUGAAGGUAUUCUAAGCUCAGUUCUUAAUUAUGAUACUUCCUUCGAUAUUUGGAGAUCCAUUGAAAAACAAUUUGGAGUUCAAUCCGAAGCAAAAAUAAUGCAACUUAGAUAUGAAUUGGACACUUUGAGAAAAGAAUCAAUGUCAGUUGAAGAAUAUUGCUCAAAAAUGAAAACUCUUGUGAAUAAGCUUGCUUGUGCUGGUGAUAAUAUAACUGAAAAAGAUCUGUUGAUUAGGACUCUUAAUGGAUUAGGAUCUGGGUAUUUGGAUCUAGCUUCCAUAAUCACAGCUAAUAAAAUGAACUUUGAUGAUGCGUAUGCACUGUUGUUGACACAUGAAGCUCGAUUAGAACAGAAUUAGAAUCCACAGCCUAUGUUUAAUGCCAACUAUAGUAUGGUGAAUGCAAAUUAUGCAAAUUCUUCGCAUAUGAGAGGUUUUCCUAGGAAAUGCUUCUAAUGGUCAAUAUGGAGGAAGAGGUCAGUAUUUUGGUCGUGGUAUGUUCUCUACUUCUUAUCCUAGAGGUUUUCCAGCUGGUAAUGGUGGUUUUGGUAGAGGGAAUGAUGUUGCAAGUUUUGGCAGAAAUCAGUUUCAACAUUUUCACAGACCACCACACAUCAGAAAUAUGUUUUCUCACGCACAUAAUCAAAACAAUUCUACUGGUGAACAUAAUGAACUGACACCUAUAUGCCAAAUAUGUCAUAAGCAAGGUCACACUGCUGAUGCUUGCUGGUAUCGAUAUGGUGAUAAUUACCUUCUUAAGAAUUUUGGCAUAGGUAAAAUGAUGGGAUCAAAGGCUGCUUAUAUGGCUAAUUUUGAGUCAUUUCCUUAUCAACAGUCAACAGAGGAAGAUUCUUAUGGAGUUGCAGAUAUUAACUACAGCUAUCAACCAGUGAAUUACUCACCUGUCUCUUCUUAUCAAUCUGAAGCUUUUACUUUCUCGGAAGCUUAUGUUGCUAACCUUGAAGGCUCAUCAGAUGAAGGGUGGUAUCUUGAUAGUCGGGCCACACAUCACAUUACAAAUAACAUGGGAAACAUGCAUGUGAGAGAAGAGUUCAGAGGUGCAGACCAGCUGACCAUUGGCAAUGGACAAGGUGUGAUUAUUACUCAUAUUGGUGAUGCUUGCUUUAGCUAUAAAAGUCUUAAUGCUGCCCACAAACACACACCUAUAGCACUUAAGGAUAUCUUAUUAGUUCCUUCUAUUACUAAGAACUUAAUAAGUAUAUCUAAGUUAACCACUGAUAAUAACCUUUCCAUUGAAUUUGUUGGUAAUGUGUGUUAUGUAAAGAAUUCACUGAAGGGACAAGUACUUCUGCAAGGUCUUGCUGAAAAAGGAUUAUACAAGUUGCUGUUACAAUCAUCUCAGUCAUCUCCUUCCUCUUUCUUGAGUCAAAUUUCUUCAAACAAGCCUCUGUCUAUGCUUUCUACAUGUCAUCUUCAAUUUCCUGUUAUAACGGAUGUCCAGAAUAAAGAUUCAAAGUCUGUAGCUUGUUAUCAAACUGCUGUCAAUUCUUUCUUUCCUUGUAAUGAAUUAGUUAAUAAAGUCAACUUGUUUCAUAGAUGAUUUGGUCAUCCUCAUUAUGAUGUACUAGUGCAUUUACUUAAGAAUGAUCAGUUUAUCAAUAUCUCUACUUCCAUUAUUAAACAAGCUGCACAACAAAUAUGUGAGGUAUCUCAAAUGGGUAAGGUUCAUAGGCUACACUUCCCUGCAACUAAAACCAAAACUUCCCACAUACUUAAACUUAUUUAUACUGAUUUGUGGGGUCCUUCCCCUUAUUCUUCCAGAGUUGGUUAUGUUUAUUACAUCAGCUUUGUUGAUGAUUUCAGUAGGUACACUUGAAUCUAUCCACUGAAACUGAAAUCAGAAGCCUUACAAAUUUUCAAACUCUUCAAACUGCAAGUUGAAAAACAAUUCCAGUGUUCCAUUAAAAAGUUACAAUCUGACUGGGGGGGAGAAUAUCGAGCAUUCACUGAAUUUUUGAACCAAAAUGGAAUUAUUUUUAGACACUCUUGUCCAUACACACAUCAUCAAAAUGAGGUAGUUGAGAGAAAGCACAGACACAUUGUUGAGUUAGGACUUACACUUCUAACUCAAGCUAAAUUACCCUUAAACUUUUGGUGGGAAGCUUUCCAAACCUCAGUCUAUCAUAUUAAUAGGUUGCCUUUUGCAACUUUGAAAUUUCUUACUCCCUAUGAAAAGCUCUUCAAUCAUAAGCCAGAUUACAAAAUGCUCAAGUGCUUUGGUUGUGCAUGCUAUCCUUACUUGAGAGAUUAUAAUAAGUAUAAGUUUGCCUAUCAUUCUAACAAGUAUGUCUUUAUUGGUUACAGUCCUUCUCAUAAAGGGUAUAAAUGUUUGCAUCCAUAUGGUCAGGUCUAUAUAGCUAGACAUGUCAUAUUUGAUGAGCAUUCCUUUUCUUACUCAUCAGAUUCUGUUUUCACUUCAAAUAAUUCAUGUCAACCUCUGUCAUUUACUCCUCAACAAGUGUAUCAUCUAUUCACUUUGUCAAUACCUUCUAAUUCAAAUGACAGUAACUCUUAUAAUCCUGUUUCUGUAAGUUCUACCAGCAGCAGUUCUCAUCAUUCAGUGAAUCAUACACAUAACAAUGACUCUCAGCCUUUGCCACAAAUAUUUGAGCCACAUACAGAAUCUCAUCAUUCCCUGCCUACUCAAUCAUUCACUACCAACACACUCUCUCCAUCACAAAUUUUACCAAACAUCAUUCCACACACCUUUGCUCCAGAAAAUACAAACCAGCAAACACACAUUCCAUGACCACUAGAAGCAAAGCUGGAAUCUUCAAACCUAAAGUCUAUAUUGCAGCACUUGUUCAUAAAGAACCAGAUUCUAUAGAAGAAGCUAUGCAGGAUUCUAAAUGGCUUGAAGCCAUCAAAGAAGAAUACAAUGCUUUACUCCAUAACAAUACAUGCUCUCUGGUUCCAAGGUUAGAUGGUCAGAAGGUUGUUGGUAACAAAUGGGUGUAUAGAGUUAAAUAUAAUUCAGAUGGAAGCUUAGCCAAGUACAAAGCUAGAUUAAUAGCUAAGGGAUUUCAGCAAAUUGAAGGGGUCAACUAUUUUGAAACAUUCAGCCCAGUGGUGAAAUCAACUACUGUCAGAGUGGUAAUCAAUUUAGAUGUUAUGAACAAAUGGCAUAUAAGACAGGUAGAUGUAAAUAAUGCUUUUCUUAAUGGAGAGUUGACAGAAGAGGUAUUCAUAGAUCAACUAGCAGGCUUUGUUGAUGAUAAGAAGAAAGAUUUUGUGUGUCAGCUUCAUAAGUCACUCUAUGGUCUUAAACAAGCUCUAAGAGCUUGGUAUGAGAAGCUGAAGAGUUGUUUACUGCAGUGGAAUUUUGUAAACUCAAGAGUUGAUCCUUCUCUGUUCAUAAAGAAAACAAGCUCAGUCAUGAUAAUGGUAUUGAUUUAUGUAGAUGACAUUCUAGUUACAGGGCCAAACAGUGCAGAAUUAAAAUCCUUUAUAGCUGAGUUCAGUAAAGUUUUUGCAUUGAAGGAUCUAGGUAAGUUGUCUUAUUUUCUGGGCAUAGAAGUGUUGUAUGAUGCAGGCUGUAUAUAUUUGUCACGAAGGAAAUACAUACGAGACCUGCUAUCCAAAGUGCAGUUUCUUGAGUGCAAAGGUACUGACACACCCAUGAGCACUGGUCUUAAGCUACAAAAGGAAACUCAAGGUGCUCCUACAAUGAAACACCUUCUAGCUUGUAAAAGAGUUCGUAGAUAUUUGAAAUCUACUCCAAAUUUUGGACUCAAGUUUGUUUAACAUGAAGAGAUGAAGAUUACAGGAUUCACUGAUGCAGAUUGGGCUUGUGAUCUUGAUGAUAGAAAAUCUAUUGGUUCUUAUUGUGUUUACUUAGGGAACAAUCUGAUAUCCUGGUCAUUUAAGAAGCAGUCAGUCAUUGCUCGAUCAAGUGCUGAAAGUGAAUAUAGAGCCUUAGCUUCAGCUAGUGCAGAGAUAAGCUGGUUACAAUCCUUAUUUUCUGAGAUUGAUUUGUGUUGCACAGAAAUUCCUACCAUUUGGUGUGACAACAUUAGUGCCACUGAAUUAGCUCGCAAUCCUGUCUUUCAUUCACGAACAAAACAUAUCGAGCUUGACAUUCAUUUCAUCAGAAAUAAAGUGAUUGCAGGGGAGCUGACAAUUUAGUACAUUCCUAGUGAAGAACAGAUAGCUGAUAUCAUGACCAAGCUUCUCUCUUUGGUUCACUUCAACUAUCUAAGGAACAAACUCAAUGUGCAGCCUUGCCCCUUGAGUUUGAGGGGGGCUGUUAAGGAAGCUCAUUGUGCUGAGUUUAUGAAGAACAUGAAGGCAAAGAAGUUCUCAGUCUUAGUCAGUGAAGCAAGUCAAUAGUGCCAGCUCAUUAGUGCCAGAUCAGCAGAAUUAGUUACGGGAAUUAACUAGUUAGCAUAAGUUGUUAAUGUUUGUUACUAGUUUCUUUAGCAUGUGUAUGUAAAUAUCUUCAAGUAUAUAAGCUGUAGAAGUUCAGUUGGUAUGUAACGAAAACGAAUUAAGAAAUAAGAACCUUGAUUUUUCCUCUGUAAAUUUUCUCUUGAAACAAACAGCCUUUAACUUUCUUUCACUUUCCAAAAGAGGGUUGGUGCACUAUACAAAUUUAAAUUUGAACAAUAUUUAAUUUUUUUGGAGUAAUCACGAGAAUAAUAUUUCUGCUUAACCUCAACAUCUUGUUGAAAAAAAGCUACGGAUCCCAUCAAUGGCCUGAUCCAAAAUGCUUGUUGGGAUUCCAUGAUUGAUCACUUGAAAGAAACCCCACUUCUCACAAGCACUUCUAAUUUGGUCAAUUACCUGAGAACGCAAACUUGAAUCCUUGAGUAUUCUUUGAAGGUCUAUGAUAGGGAUGCUGAUUUUGGGGUCCCUGCAGAUUGGCUUAUCAUCAAACUUAUGUUUAGUGUGACGAUCUUGAAUGAUGAUCUGUGGAAUGGUUGUGAUCCCAGCAUCUACGAGUCCUUUAACACCAGCUUUUGUGUCAUCAAAAGCUUUCAACUCGCUAACUCUGUCACAAGUAAUGCUUCCCAUUGCUUGGUGAAUUAUCUUUUACCUGGUGAAUUAUGAAGUACAAAUGCUGACUUGCGGGUGAUUGCUUUUGGUAUAUGCCGUUUAUAUGAUAUGAUUCCUAGCUUGCCACGUGCAACAUGUUGAAAUAUAACGAUAGCAUGAAGAUGUGGAAAUUUGUAAAAUUUGAUCCUGCGUUAUUUAUCAUGAUUAAAUUAAUUAUAAAUUAUCAAUAAUAGUCAAUUCCGGGGACCACCAAUUACUGGGUGGCACAUCACAAUAAUAAAUUAUCAAUAAUAGUCAAUUCUGCAUUAUUUAAUAUUUAUGUGGAUAAAAUUUCAAUUAGCUACACUACAUUGUUGUUUGAUAGUUAACGUUUCACCUUCUCCAUUUGUAAAUAUUAUUAUGGACUUAUAGUGUGGCUUAAAAGCUAGAUCUUAAAUGAAAAGAAAGCUUUAAUGGUGAAAUAAAAAUUUAAAUAAAUGAUAAAGGGAUUAAAGGUUAACCUAAUGUUAACAAAAAUAAUUGUAAAAUAUACAUGUUUUAUCAUGUUAAUUGAUGUUUUUCCAGUAUGCACAUAAAAAAGAUCUAUUUUACAAUUGUUUCUGUUGGCGUUGGGGCAGAUUUUUUUUUAGUCUAAUUAAGUAUAUCAUAAGUUAAUAAUAGUGCGUAUUUUAACUUUAAUAAAUUUGGCCACUUAGAUUUUUAAUUCUGACUCCUUCCCUAAUCAAUCAAGAAAAAGAAUGCUUUUCUCCAUAAAAAUUAAAAUAGAAAAUUCAGCAAGGACAUAACUGCGGAGAUGUUUGAUCCUGGAUUUAUAUAUCAAAGCAACAUCAAAAUUAUAAUAAUACUUCCUUGUUACCGAGAAGAGAUAUAUUCAAGAGCACUAGCCUUAUAAAGCCUUAACAAUACUAAACUACCUACAUGGAAUCUAAUGCGUACAUGCAAUGCUUUCUAAAGUGAAACUGUCGCUUGAAAAUAGAAUUCAUGUUCAGCAGCCUCCCUCUAUCCGAGCUCCAAUUUUAUAACAAGGCAGCUAAAUAAGAUGAUUUAGAUGGCAUCGGCAUCUGUAGUAUCGUUUGUCUGUAGUCCCUCAUUAUCUACGAUCUGAUCGCUCCCUAUAGUAUUGUUUGUCUGUAGUCCCUCAUUAUCUACGAUCUGAUCGCUCCCUAUAGUAUUGUUUGUCUGUAGUCCCUCAUUAUCUACGCUCUGAUCACUCCCUAUGUAGAGGAUCGACAAGAGAAAAUUGUAGCACACGUUCACAGCACUAAUAACUGUUAAACUCUUAUAGUACUUGUCAAUCCUACUAUAAUCCAAGGUUUCAGCAAACUCGCCUUUGUUUGCCAAAAUGAAAAAGAUGUUAAAAAUGCUUCCAAUUCCGACGAAAAAAUAACUUAUUGCUGAUACAUGGUACUCCAUCCGUUCAGGAAAAUGAGAGCUCGAGUAUUCAUCACAUCCAUACCAAGCAAGCCCUUCCAUAAGACCUAAUAGACAGAAUUGUGGAACAAGCCAAAACAUGCUCAUAUUUUCCAAUUGUUUGAGCUUUUCCAACCUGCGAACCUCAACCUGCCAUGCCACUACACAGCAAACUGUAGUCAUCACAUUUCCAAUGAAUGUUCUCAACACUUGAGCUUGUCUCUUUUUAGUUUUGGAACAAAAUUGAAAUUAAAUUUUUUGACAGGAUAAGAGAUCGUUGCACGAUUUAUCCCUUUAAAAGUUCGUAGAANNNNNNNNNNNNNNNNNNNNNNNNNNNNNNNNNNNNNNNNNNNNNNNNNNNNNNNNNNNNNNNNNNNNNNNNNNNNNNNNNNNNNNNNNNNNNNNNNNNNCAGAAAUCAUGUUGGCUCCCUGCUCAGGAAAAAAUGUAUUUCCUGCUGACAGAACCAAUCCAAACACAAUGAAGCUAGACCACAAUGGCAACAAUUUAAGAAGAGAUUUUGACUCCCUGACGUGGGCCACAGUGCAAAGUGUGCCUGCCUCUUCUUGUUCGUUAGAAGUACUUGAUGUCUCUAUAAUUGCCGCUUUGUCUAUCCAUCUGCAAUUCAAAGAAUUAAUUUAUUGGUAAUUUUUUAGGAAAAUAGAAAGCGACAGCUCAUGGUUUGGCAAAAGGAUCACCCAGACGCGUUUAUAAAUACGCCCUUUUGGACAAAUCUUGGAGGUCGGUGUGACUAUUCCCGAACACAAAAGGGUAUUAAUGUGUCCAUAAAGAGGUUUAUAUAAUUAUUAAUAAAAAUAAGAGGGUCUCCCCGACAAUUUUGCCAGACCACGGGCCGGGUGUGGGUGUAUACAUGUUAGGCAUAUACCUGAGUAAUUUGAUUCUGGGUGACAAGUGUAAUACGUUUCCCUCAUCAUUACUGAAGAACAGCUCCGGAGAAAGAGGAUAAUUGAGAUGCUUUUUCUUCAGGGAGGUUUUAAUAACGCGGAUUAUAGCAAAACGGUCAAUAGGAGGUAUUUGUCUACUAUGAUAAAAGGGAAUACCCAACAACAAGAGGAUCAAACUGCCCCCCAUAAACAACAAUGUGAACAUGAAAGUCUUCUUCCAUGUCUUAAUAUUAUUUGCAUAGAAUGCCGCAGCUGCACCACAGCACCAGGCAAACCGCCACCACACUCUUUUCUGAGCCAUUACUUGAUCCUCAUUUGAAUUUUCUGUUCUCCCUCCUUUACCAUGUUCUCUUAAUUGAUCGGCAAGAAAUGGUCCCAAAAGAGGCGCCGCUCCAACUUCACCCACUGCUAACAGGAUAAUUCCUAUCAUGUUGAGUAGCUCAAAGUUGGUUUCUGAAAAUUCUCUGGACGCUGUACAGAACAAUAGCCCCAAUGCCUGAAACGAAAAUUGUUGGAACUAAUUCUAUAGCAUGACAUUAUGAUCCUAGAAAUGCUUUUCUUAAUCAUUAUUAUAAUCAAAGUGGAGCCAAAAUGAAUUAAUGUCACAUCAAUUGUAAUUUAACUAUUGAGAUCUCUAGCAUUAUUUUUAUAAGGGUAAAGCUCCUAAUAUCCUCUUAUUAGGUAUGUGUGUGUGUGUAUAUAUAUAUAUAUAUAUAUAUAUAUAUAUAUAUAUAUAUUUACAUGCUGUGAAAUUUAACAUUUACUCCAAAAUAAUAAAUUUUUAAUUUAGCUCAAAGUACUAUAAAGUCCUGGGUCCGCCCCUGAAUAUAUAUAUUGCUUGCAAGGAUAGACAUAUGUUUUAAUUUCGUCUCUGUUUAGAAGUUUAGCAAAUUCAAAACAUAUUAACUUACAAGGAUGUAGGAGACAGUUGAAAAAAUGAGGAUUCUGAGAGGACGAAUGGCAUAACACGAAAUCCAGGCGGCAACAAUCGUAAGAGUUGCUAAUAUUACAUCCUGAACACUCGUAAAUAUUGCAGCUUUCUGAAGUGUGAAUACUUUUGAAUAUUCGGAGUCGGAGAAGUAAGUUAUCAAGACGCCCACUAUAGCCAAGUCUACGAGUUUGCGGCUUAUCAACAAACCUGGAAUCAAAAUAAUCAUUAGAAAAAAUGUUCGUGCUCACUAAAAAAAGCUUACACAUGAGGACUGCAAGAACAACGUGAGAGAACUAUUGUCAUGUUUUUAUAAUUUAGCCCAACCUAAUCAAAGAUCUUAAGUACACCUCUCUUAACUGAAAUUAUUCUAGGGGAUUAUCUAUUUAGGAAUCUCAAAGUUCAUGAGCUCUUAAUACAUACACACAUACAUAUACAUACAUACAUCAUCAUGUUGUUAAAGUAAUGAUGUUAGUAAAAUACAAAAAAAAUAUAUGUACAUGUAUUAAAUUGUAUGGUUUAACAGAAUUAGUACAAAUAAAUAAAUUACAUGAUUUUGUAGUGCAUUGAAAAUUAAUUCUAUUAAACUAUACAAUUUACUAGUGUGUCUCCAUUAAAAAAAAUAAAGACCCUCAUAUAUAUAUGUAUACAAGUUUAUGUUCUGAAUAAAUACAUUUUUAAAAGAUAGGAUUACCUAAGGCCCCACAUGCAAAAUUACCUGACAGAAAUGGAGCAGCCUUACAAAAGCAGACGUAAUAUCGUACCCAAGUUAUGAACCUGUUUUGAAGCUUCAACGGCUGAGAAAAUGGAAACAUUGUAGUUUCUGAAACUGCUUUUAUCUGCAAAGACUUCUACUCGUGAGUUGUGAAUCCCGAGACGAUGAAGAUUUUGUAAUUAUGCCAAAGUCUUUUAGGUAGUUUAUUCAAAUUAAAAAAUAAUAAGUCGCACUUCAAGACCACCUAUUGGUCACAUAAGUCUUUUUUUUUUCUUGUUUUGAGGGUUCUAAAAAGUUAGUUUAUUCAAAUUAAAAAAUAAUAAGUCGCACUUCAAGACCACCUAUUGGUCACAUCAAGACCACCAUUUGGUCACAUAAGUCUUCUUUUUUUUCUUGAAACUUUAAUCCAGCUAGGGAUGGCAAAAAUCCCCACGGGGACGGGUACCCUCGGGGAUUUUUCCUAUUUGGGGAGGGUAUGGGGAUAAUUUUAUACCCAAUUUCUUAUUCGGGGAAGGGACGGGGAAUUUUUUUUACCCAAUUUCUUAUUCAGGGAGGGGACGGGGAUGAGGUGGAAUCCCCAUCCCCUACCCAUUUCCCCAUUUUAAUUUUUAAUUUAAUUUUUAUUUUUUAAAAUUACUAGUAAAUAAAUUAUAAAAUUUGAAUUAUAAAAUUAUAAGUACUGAUAAAAAUAAAAAAAUAUCAAAAUAUUUAUAUUAUUAAACUUUUAGGUCUAAUUAACUAAUUAAAGUCCUAAAUUUUUAUUUAAGACAUUAAAAAGACCGAACAGAUUCUAUUAGCUCAAAACUUUUGUUUUAAUUUGAAUAUUCAUUAAAUAUUUUAAACUUAAAUCUAUUUUUUAUUUAUUUUUAGAUGUUAUAAUUGCCCAUAGCAAAUCACAAUUUUAAUAUCUAAUCUAAUAUAAUAUUUGCUCUUGAUUUGCUUCGACUUAAUUAUUGUGCUGUAAAGGGAAUAGUCCACAUUUAUAAAAUGCCCACGCCACCAUUGAAAAGUUAAUUUUGAAUCUAAAUUUGAUUUUAUUUGUAACAAUUUUGUAUUAGGCUAUUAAUUUGUUCAUGAUAGUUUGUAUCCCUUGCAUGUUGCGUUACUUACUAAUUUAAUGUAUGUGACUUUUGUAAUGGAUACUAAUGUAAGAUAUAUUUCGAACUUUACUUUUAUUUGAAUUUUUUUAUUUUAAUAUGAUUAACUCAAAAUCGAAAACAAAAAAAAAUGUAUUAGUUAUUCGGGGAUCGAGGACCCUCGGGGAUCCCCUGUUAUUAUUCGGGGAGGAGAUGUGGAUUCUCUUAAACAAUUUUGAUGGGGAUGGGGAGGGGACGGGGACAUACGCAAAAUAUCGGGGAUGGGUACGGGGAGAUUGGUCCCCUCCCCUCCCCUCCCCAUUGCCAUCCCUAAAUCCAGCUACGGUCCAACAGGUGCACCGUGCCCCUCUUUUUGACAGCACCCCUUACUUUCUUCUGUAUUUACAGUUUAUUAAAGUAAUUUCUUUUUCCUCUUUCUUUCACCCCUCACCUUUACAAUCUUCCAAUUUUUUCCAUUUUCAAUUAAACCUGUAAUCAACCAAUUGCAAGCAAUAAGAAAGAAGUUGGCAAGCUAUUUCUUUAUGACCUUAGGAUUCAUUUGCUCUAUAAUACACAAGUAAUAAUGAAUUGAAGUUUUUAUAUAAAAAAAUUACAUAGAUGUAAUUUUUUUACGCACACUAUUUAUCAUCUACAAUGAAAUUAACAUGUAAGUAAAUUGAUUUUUUUAUCUUUUAUUAUAUGUAUUCUUCCCCUUUCUCCCCCGUAUGUCUUUUCAUUUUCUCUUUGAAUAAUCUAACCUAAGGCUUUCUAAUAAUUGGUUUAUUGUUAUUAUUUUUAUAAGUAAACCUUCUCUUUGUUAUGUCAAUAGGUUUAUUUUUAAAAAAAAAUUCGUAAAUGACCAAAAGUGAGAACCUUAAUAAAAAUUCAAAACCUAUCUUAGUUUUUGUUGUCUUUGUUGAUGCAUCUUGCAUGUUUGAUGUCUUAAUUAUAACUAGUGAGAGUAAGUACUGUAAUACAAUGAUGAUUAAUGAUUAUUACUAAGAGUAUUCAAAGAAAAAGAAGUUGGUGUAAAAUUUUAUAAACUUUGAGUUUUCUAAAUUUUCACUAAACAAUAGGGAUUGCAUUAUUAAUAACUAAAUAAACACAUCCAUAACCUUGAAACUACAUUUGUGUUAGAUCCAAUGGUGGCAGUACAUAAAGACAAAAAGAGGGGCAUGGUGCACCCCUUGCACCGUAGCUGGAUCCUUUAGUCACAAAAUAAUGACUUACUGUACAGCUCAAUAAUUUUAGGUGGUAUGAAACACGUAUGAUGAGACGGUCAUAAUUACACUGUACCAUGAAUGAUCCUCAUUGAGUAUAUAAUCCCUUUCUUUUUUCAAACAAGAUUUAUGCUUUAAUUUUGGGAGGUUUGCUAAGUUCUUUCUCUUUGUAAUGGUUACGAAGACUGACAAUUUUCUAUUGAAGUUAUUUAUACAUGUAUUUCUUUUUCAGCAUGUAAUACAUUUAGGAAAUGAGUAAUGAUUAAGUACAAACACUUUUAGAUAAACAAUGUUGUACGAACUUAUGUGAUAUUUUUAGAAAAAAGGAUCUGAACAUCCUUAAGAUUUUAAAAAAUGGUCAUAUAUACUUUGAGUUUUCAAUACGGAACAUCAAGACACUUUUUGACUAUAGUAUUUUUAAUAGAUAAUAAUAAAAAUAUUGAAUUUAAACAUUUUAAUAAAUAUAAAUAAAAUAUAAAUAGUUUAAUAUGUCUAGUAGACUAAUAAUAUUAGAACGUUUCUUAAUAUAUAAAUAAUUUUUAAAAGAUAAAUUAGUAUAUUUAUUUUAAUAAUAUAUUUUUACUUAUUAUAAAAAUUGUAAAUAAAUCUUUAGGUUAGAUAGAUUUUAAAUUUAAUAAAAUACAUGUCAUGUACUAAUAAUAUUAAAACUAUUUUAUAUAAUAUUGAAAAUAAUUUAAAUUUUAAAUUUUAAAAUUAUGCUUCGAUUUAUUUUGAAAUUUAGUUUAAUAUAAUUUAAUGUUGUAAAGUAUUAAAAUAUUUUAAAAAUAUUGAAAUUAUUUUAAAAUGUAUAUAUUGUUACAUUUAUUUUAAUAUGAUACUUCUAUUUAUUAUAAAAUAUUAAAAAUAAUAUUUUAAUUAAAAGGGAGUUUUGGUGUCUCUUACUGAAAAAUAGAGUGUACAUAAUCAUUUUUUCAAAUUUUCAAGGGUGUAUAUGUCAUUUUUCUUACUUUUUUUAUAAUCAAUUGAAUAAAAAAAAGUCAUAUGGCCACAUAAAUUAUUUCUAAUUUAUAUUUUCAAUCAACAAAUCAUAAUGUGUCAUAUCUAUUUGUAUAAGCAUUUAUGAACAUAAAAAAUUAAGUUUAGGCACUAGUCUGGUUGGAAAUCAACUCAUCCAACCCAUGUAUAGUGCUAGUUGGGUGAGUUGGACUUAUCUCGAAGACCCAUUUUCUGUCUUUGAAAUAUCAAUAUGAAAUUAAAAUAAUUAAAAAAUAAUUUAAUUGAAACAACUAAAAAUAUAAUACAAAAUUACAAAUAAUAACUAUCCCUCAAACUUCAUUCUUAAUAAAAAUAAUUAUUUGUAUAGGAUCCUAAUUACACCAUAAAAAGUAAUAGGAUGAAUUCAAGAGUUGGGUUUGAAAAUUUUCAACACCUAGUAAAUAUAGUGCAUUUUCUCCACCCCUAUGAAAUUAGGGGUUGGCUUUCUACUUGAUUUUAAGCAGAGAAAAUUAUCAAAACUACCUUAUUGUUUGUUGAAACUAUAGGGUGAAUUUAAGAGUUGGGUUUGAAAGAUGCAAUAUGUUCAUAUGUAUAUAUGAACAUAUUGCAUCUUCACUAUCUUAUCCCCAGAAUUUUUGCACCAAAUCAUGGUACAAGAAUAAAAAUUCGCAACUCGAAUCAACAAAGUAUAUCACUAAGUUAUUCUGCAAGCCGCCAAAUUGGAAAAUGUCCCAAAUAAUUAAUUAACCACAGCGACUUGUAGCUUAACUUUUUCCAACGCUGAGAGUCCUUCAUUCUUCCCUAUUGAGGAUUGGUUAUUGUAAACGUCUGUUGGAGUAACAUGGGGAUAGUGCGAAUGAUUUUUUUCGGAUAGCAACUAUUUAAUUGGACCAUAUUGUCUCGAGCAACUGUUAUUCAUAUAAAAAACUUCCAAUUGAAAUCGUUGAGCCUCGCCUUCUUGACAACACUCUGUGAUAGGCACUCUUGAACGCGACACUGGUAAUCAGCUGCAUAAACAUAUAAAAGAACACUAUAAUUAAGUUAUAUGAUGGAUUCAUAAUAGUCAAAGUUGUGCAUAACAUCUACUUGCCUGCAUCAUGUAGCCUAAGUUUACAACUAGAGCCCCGGAAACUGGGGUAAUAUCAAACCAUUGAUCUUCACAAAAGACUUGGAGGCCACAAUUCGAUCUUGUAGGAGCAUAGUGACAAAUCCAGGGUCAGAACGUAUUGUUACGCCAAUUGUCAAUUUCGGAUGAGGGCUUUCUGGGUAGUGACUAUUCCUAAUAGUCAUUUCCUCUACAGAACCUGUGUCUUUGAGUAACUGGGGCCAAACCCUAAAGCUUCAGACAAAAGUUCAAACAGAGUGAAUUAGCAAUUGACGUUGUUGGAGAAAAAUAAGUUUUUAUUUUUUUUUAAAAAAAAAAUUUUUUAGAGUCGAUCUCAUACAAUAUAUAAGAAUUCAUAAUUUAGAAAUUGUACCUUGAAAAUAUGAGAAAAUGAACAAUCUUUGCUUUUUCUACUGAAGUGAAACUAAGCUCCCAGAUCACGAUCUGUCACCACCACACCUGUUAGAUCACAAUAUGUCACCACCACGCUUGUUAGAUCACGAACUAUCACCAAUGAUUUUCUAGAUUAUGACUCAGGUUUGAUCUGCACUUGACGUGUGGGUGCCUUUAUCACUAUCAAUAGCAAUUAGUAGGAGAAAAUUUUUCUCUCAAGAUUAAAGAGAAAAAUUCUUUUUCUCUGAUCUGUAUAAUGUGGCCUUAUAUCUUUUCAAGAGAAAAUAAGCCUUUUUAUAUCUUAUCUAGUCGAAAUCCUAAGCUUUAUAUUUUCUAUUUUUUAAUUCUAUUAACACAAGGCCCCUUACACAUAAGCAUAUUAUAUGGAGCCUCCCACUAAAUAAUAUAUUUAGGCUUUUAACCCAAAUAACUAGUUAUCUUGCUUAUUAAUCCAGUAACAGCACAAUCAAUUAAAUGAGCUAACCCAAGGAUCAUUUGAGAACAUACAAUAGUGGCUACAAUAAUUAGGCUUGUAAUCAAACUAGCCCAAUUAUUUAAUUCCAAAUCUACUCCACUAAAAGAUUGGAACUGACCUCCACAAUUGUAUGCUUGAAUAAUAAUUUAUCCCAAGCAACAUUGAUUUCUUUACUGCACAAUCCUUUGUACCACAUCAUUAAUUAAAUCGAUAUCUCAACUGUCCAAUCAAUUUAACUACAUCUUGUUCCUUGAUUCUUACUGGUUUUCUCUAAUGAUCAUUUUCAACAUACUAAAUAUGUCGACACACUCUGACCAAAGAAUUCUAUGAUCAAGUGCCGAAAACUCAUCAAGAGAUGUGUUGUACAAAUUCUAUAUUGUCAAUCUAUAACUCCAAUACUCAUAAUUGCUCUCAUCAAGAUACCAGAUAAUCUUGACUACAAGUAUGUGUCGUGCCCAUUGGUAAUUCAAAUGGAAUAACAAUUACAAUCAUGAAAUCAUAAUUAACUCAAGAUUAAGAUUACAGUAAAAUCAAUGUCUAUGAGAUUUAAUAAGUCUGACAGUAAUUACAAAGUUAAUUAAAUCUCAUAUGUUAUCUUGUUCAAUGUAGUCUUACUACAUCAAUAAAUUCAUACAUGAAUAAGACAAAUCAUUCAAUGAAUUCAUUACAGUCUAUACCUAAAUAAAGUACCCAACUUUAUUUAUCAACUGCGAAUUAAAUUUAUUUAAUCAUAAGAUAACUUGUAUUUAUGUCUUCUGUAAUCCACAUGGUGAUUCUUGUGCAAAUUUAUUGAACUCGCAAGUGCACGAAUAUAUUGUAGAAUAGAUUAAUGGUGACAAGUGUCGAUCCCACGAGAAAGUGGAUUUUAAUUAUGUGUAAAAUUAAUUUUCUAUGAGGGUGGUUGGAUUUGUGGUGAAAAUGAUUUGGAAUAUUCUAAACAUUAAAUUAGAAUGGCAUGAAUAAAUUAAAGCGAAAUCUAUUGAAAUAAAGCACUUGGGUAUCUGGAUCUGCAUUAACAUGCACCAUGUGCUAAAUAUUCUUUAGUAAUGCCAAUUAAAUCAUGAGAGGGGUUUCUACUCCUCAUGAACCACACUCUAAUCAAUAUGGUGUUAAGGGCUUAUCGUGGCAAACAAUAAUAACCUUGUACUAGGGAGUCGGUUAAAUCAGUGCGGUAUCUAGACAAGAUUAUUAUUAUUUGUCGACGAAAAGUCAAAAUAUCAACAAUAAUUAGAGGAGAAGAGAAAGUAAAUUUACUAAAUAAAGCCCAUGACACAUGUUGAGACUUCACCAACCCAAACUUGAAAGAAAAUUAGCUACUUAUAAUUGAACUAAGGGUAAAAUGAGAAUUUAUUAAAAUACAUAGAAAAUACAAGAUGGAGAAGGAAUUACAGAAAAUAGGCUAAAAAAUGAAUUUAAAAAUGCCAAAUUAGGGGGGACCCCCCCUUUUAAUAGAUACACUGAGUAAAUCAUGGCCAUCAGAUUAAAAACAUUUUGGACGCUCAAGAUUGCGCCAUGUCAUCGGUCAACAGUACGUGGUUUGACCACAUGGUUUGGUUUUAAAUAAUCUCGUGUAUAUGCAUGUACCGUACGCACUAUUUUUGAUCCACUAACAUGCUGCCACGUCACCGAUUAACAGUACAUAAGAAUUUUAGUCUAAUAAAAUUGUAACAUCUCAUCAGUCAAUGUCACGUCAUCGUUUCGUAUAUGUGAACAUUGUCGUGAACAGUAACAUGGACAGUAUCGUAUCUGUGAAUAGUACCGUAUAUGUGAACAGUUCCAUUUUUCCUUUUAAACUCCUCCUAAGAUUUUCGACUGUCCUGAUCUUAAAAGUGAUGUCUGUUUUGCUGUAUGAUCUCUCGUUCAUUGUAAAAUGACCAUGAUGCCCCUAAAAUACAUAAAAUAUUUAAUUAUAAUAUAAUACACAUAAUUAAAUCACAAAGAACUUAAAUACAUAAAAGUAUGAAUGUUAGUGAAACUUGAAGUGUAAAAUGACGAUUUUCUCCUUCAUAAAUAUACACUUUCUAACACUCAAAAGUGAUCACAUAAAUACAUAUAAUAUGAUUAAAUGGACUUUAAUCAAAAUAUUAAUGCAAUUAAGAUAUUUGAAUAAAAUACCUUAUUUAUUUUAUUAAUCAGAAAAAUUAUUUAUUACAAUUAAAUAAAUACUUAUGCUUUUAAAGAGCAUAUUUUCCCAACAGGCGUAUCUCAUAAAGCCAACUUUGGUGGUUGGGGUAUCCUGCCGUGCAACGCUGUAUCUCUUAUAGUCAACUUUUACGACUUGGACAAUUUGUAUUUUACCGAUUGUCCAUUGAAUUAAUUUGUUUUUGUUGAAAAUGAAUAUUAAAAAAAGAUUAAAAUAAAUAAAAUUAUAAAUAAUUAAAAUCACAUAUUGUCCCAGACCACCAAUAAAACCUCUAAAACUAAAAUUAUAAGCUCCUCCGUAAGAUCCACCAUUAUAUUUCUUAUUACCACUAGCAUUCUUUCAAGGAUUAAAAUGGUUUUGAGUUACAUUAGCUAACAAGUUAUGUGUGACAUCACUAGCAAUUUUUCCUCUUGUCUGUUCAACUCUAUUCUCCUGAUUUAGCAGUAAAGAGUAAAAUUCAUCAAGACUGAUCUUAUCACCUCCAGCUAACACACUGAUAACUAAAGACUCAUAAUCAGAUGAAUCUAGUCUAGUCAAAAUAUAUUGAACAAAAUCACUUAACUCAACAGAUUUUCUAGCUAAAGCCAGACUGUCAGACAAUCUCUUCAUUUUAACAAAGUAAUCAGUCAUAGACAUUGAUCUUUUUUUGAGUGUUUGAAUAUGCAUCUUAAAGGCAUUAUUCUAGCUUGAGAUUGUAAAGUAAACAUACUUGUGAGUGUAUCCAAAAGCUCUUUAGCAAUGGAGCAAUGAACGAUUGUAGCGAGUAGAUUUUGCUGAAUAGAUGACAACAUCCAACUCAAAACUGAUUGAUCUGUCUUCAUCCAGGCUGUGUAUGCUGGAUUGACCUUUCGAUUUUCAGUAAUAGUUGAGGACCAACUUCAGUGCUAGCUGGUGUGAGAAAUUACUCCGAACAAGUUUGAUCACCAUUAAUGAAAUUAUCCAGAUCGUUUCCUUUGAUGGAUGUUAAAACCUGAGUUUGUCAGACAAUGAAUUAUUAUGAUCUAGCUUAACAGGAUUGAUAAAACUAUAGGAUCCAGAAAAUUGAUUAGAACUGACCAUUGUAGGCUCUGUGAUCAUGAUAGAAUUUGUAAUAUAUAUGUCUGGAAAGCAAGAAAAUUAAGGAGAAAAAGAUAGAAAGAAAAGAAGAAGAAUUUAGAAUAUGUUAAUUGUUCAGUACAUUAAAAAUGUGAUUAUAGCCUUUGUAUUUAUAUUAAGUGAAAUGCUUAACUAUAAUUUGUUAUAACUGGAAUAGGUGCUAAACAGUUCGUUAGCUAGAAGGCUGAGAUGGCUAACUAAUUAUUCCACGUUAGCAAGAGCACUCAUGUAUGGUCCUCAUCCGUACUGUAAUUAUCAUACUCUGUAACAGUUCUUCUACAUCUUCUUGCUCUUCAGGACCAAGUGUACUUCGUGGGUCUAUAAUUGCUGCUUUGUCUAUCUAUUUGCAAUUCAAAGAAUUAAUUUAUUGGUCACUUUUUUAGGAAAAAAGAUAACGAAACAUAGUUGUUUGGUAAAAUAGUCAUGUGAACUCUUUCUUCAAAACAUAUAUAAAAACAAACCUUGGAGAUCAGUAUUGUCUAUGUGAUAAUUUCUAAAAAUAAGAGGUCUACCUGACAAUUUUUUCAAACCAUGGGAUGUUGGUAUAUACUCUUUAAGUAUGUACCUUAGUAAUUUGAUUCUAGGUGACAAGGGUAAUUCAUUUUCAUCAUCAUUACAGGAGAAUUGAUCUGCAAAAGAAGGAAAAUUUAGAUGCCUUUUCUUCAGGGCAGCUUUAAAAAGACAGAUUACAGCAAAACCGUGAAUAAGAGGUAAUUGUUUACUAUGAUAAAAGGGAAUACCCAACAGCAACAAGACCAAACUGCUCCCAUAACCAAUAUUGUGAACCUCAAAGUCCUCCGUCAUGUUUCCAGAUUAUUUGCAGGGAAUGCUGCAACUACAUUACAACACCAGGCAAGCUGCAGCUAUACUUCUUUUUUAGCCUUUACUUAUUUCUCAUUUGGAUUUUUUGUUCUCCCUUCAUCACCAUGUGCUCUUAAUUGAUCGACAAGACAUGGUCCUAAAAGAGGCCCCAUUCCAAAGUCACCCACUGCUAACAAGAUCAUUCCUAUUACGUUGAGCAGUUCAAAUUUAGUUUCUAAGAAUUUACUGGACGCUGUAUAAUACAAUAGCCUUAAUGCCUCCAACAACAAUAGUCGGAACUAAUUGUAUGGCAUAACAUUAUGAUCCUAAAUAUGCUUCUUAAUCAUUACUAUAGUUGGGAGCGGAACAAAAUUGAGAUUUAGGGGGCCAAGUGUAAUUAAGGUAAUUAUUUCAGGAUUAGAGAGUAUUAGUUAUUUUCUGGGGUUAGGGGAUGGGGUUCACGUUUAUGAAGCCACCAUAUAAAGAAAAACAACUAGUUUGAAAGUUGAAAUUACAAAUUUAUAUAGUGUGAGAUUAUUUCAAGCUACUAAAAUAUUUGUUAUUUUAAAGGCUAAUGAGCUUGCGGCUUUGAAAAGGUUGGAAUGUUAUUUGGUUGGAGAGGGACUCGGUUUCAACUUUAGCUUGUCUUACGAGUACCAAAUUCAAGCCGCCGUAGCAUCUGCAUAUCAUAUAAUUGAAUUGUUUGAGAUUUAUUCGUGGAAUACACUUUGCUAGUUUACACAUCUAGAGAGAGGGGAUUCAGUGGCUGAUAGUCUUGCAAAUUUGGAGUUAAAUCUUAAUGCUCAUAAUUGGUGGGAUAAUCCUCCUAUUUCAAUUCGUCAGAGUUUGCAUGAGUAUGCUUGGGAUAUCCCUAAAAAUCAUUUCAAAUGAGUGUUUUUGCAUUCUUUCUUCUCCUUGUUUCCUUAAUAAAAUUGAGUAUCAUAAAAACAAAAACUACCAAAAUGCUUAAUAAAUGUAUUUAUUCAAUAAAUUCAUUUAAAAAAUUAAUUUUUUUAAUUUUAUUUUACCAACCAAUUUUUAGUAUUCAAUAUGUCCUUAUUUGAAAUUCACAUAAUUCUUUCAUCUUUCUCUUUCAAGACUUUUAGGCUUUUAAGACUCUUUUACAUUCGUGUCUCCCUAAUAUUCUAUUUUUCACUAUUUCAUAAGCACAUCUUUCUUUAAAAUUGUGGGCAAUACUAUAUAAUUUACGUAUGUACGUAAAUUAUAAAUAAAUAGAUUUUUAAACGAUAUGAUUACCUAAGGUGCCAUGAGCAAAAUGUUACCUGGGGUAAAUGCGGCAGCCCUACAAAAACAGAUGUGAUGUCUUACCUGUACAUGGAAACGCUGUGGCUUCAGAAAUUGCUUAUUUUAUUUGCAAAUAUUUCCACCUGUGAAUCCUGAUUCCUGAUACCGUGGAAAUUUGUGUGGGCUCGAUAUUUACCACCUUAUUACGUCAAGGUAGUGCAUUCGAACAAUAAAAGUUUAUUAUUUUGAUAGGUUUAGUAGGUUUAAGGUGGGACCCCACUUAUUUAAUUAAAAAAUAAUAGAUAUAAAAAGUAAUAGUACUACUUCAUCACCGACUGAAUUAAAAAAUAACGGAUCUUGCUUCAAUUGUCUUUGAGACUUAACUAUCGUGGACAGACCGUGGAAGUCUACCUCCUUAUUUUUAAGUACAAAUUAAAGAAUGAAUUGUACUUACUAACAAGCCAAAAGCAUUUAUUGCACAGCUAAAUAUAUUUUAGAUGGUAUAGAUGACCAGCAAUAUAUUGCCAGUUAGGUGCUCAUACAAGAUCAUAUUUGGCUUAAGUAUCAUAAAUUAGGAUAACGCCUAAGAUUCAAACCUAAGUUCAGAGAAUGUCUAAUCACAAAACACUUUUUUUUUUUUUUUUGAGGAGAACUAUUACUUUUUACGCCUCUCAAAUAUUCGAGGGACGCCAACUCCCCUUUUGAAAAAAAAACUGCCUUCGCUUAAGCUCUGGAGCUCUAAAAAAAAAAUUUAAAUUAAACCCCCUACAAUAGGUCUGCAGGGGCUCAAACUAUUUCUUUCACACUUGUGAGAGAGUGGCUUUAGCCACUUAGGCCAAGCCCUAGUGGUUCACAAAACACAAUUAUAAACACUAUAAAAUCUAAAAUUGAAAGGAGAAUAAAGAUUUUACACAUUAAAGUCCUAUGAAGAACUAUAAAAAUUUUAAGGGACUAGCCUACCCGUCUUAGUUAUUAUAAGUAAAAACUACCUUCUAAUCAAAAGAAAAAUCCAGUACAGUGCCCGCAACAACGACAUACACUACCACUAGUACCACUAAACUAUUACCAACGUCACAAAACAACUCAAAUAUGAAUAUACAUCUCAAACAAUCACUGUUAUUCUACAAAAAUAGAGUAAAUCAUCGGCGGUUUAAUUAACAUUUAUUAAGGGCUCAAAUAAUAUUUUACAAAGGCUAUAAAGAGAGAAAAUUUUCCAUUGGGGGACUUUAGUCACUUGAGUCCCUUUAGGGCUUGAGAGUAACACAAACAGCCAAGACAAUAUAUAAUAACAAAAUGAAUGAUUAGAAGAGUCUAUGAAUAAUAAAGCCUCGUAAGGAUUGUGGAAAAUUUACUGGGAUAUUUAUCCAUUUUCAUUGGCAACAGGUCAAUAAUACAACUGGCAACUUCACUCACAAAAUGCGAAAAUCCAAUUCAAUAACCAGUUAACCACAAAGUAAUGGACUUGCAUGCCACAUUUCAAGUAUAUGAAGCAUAUAUAUUAGAAAAGUUGACAAAACCCAAAUUAUCACUUAAUUAAUUGUUAUUUAACCCCUCUCAAACUACAAGGGGGGAAAAAAGAACUUACAAAUGUGCAUGUGAAGAUUGUUUAUCGGGGCUCAUUUUGUCAAAGUCAUCUUCGUCAAUUCGAUCUGUUUUGAUUUUGGGCUUUCUAAUUAUAUAGCCAGUUUGAGCUUCUAACAUCCCUUUAAAAUUCUUGUGAAAUCCUACUGUUGCAUUUGUAACACUUGCUUUUAAGAAAUUAUUUAAAAAGACAGAAUAAUAUGAUAGAGUUAAUUAAAAUUUAACAUACUUUUUUAAAAUAAAAAAUCUAUCAUUAGGUAAUUUAUUUCUUCAUUGUCUCAAAAUUAUUUGAGUUUGUAUAAGAAAUUUAUUAUAUCAUAAAUUAGGAUUGGUGAUGAUACAGCUACAAACUCUUGUACAAACUUAUCUUGUACAAAUUGAUUUGACAUUAAUUCAUUGGUUGAAUGAAAACAUAAAAUAAUAAAAAUAGAUCAUGUGGGUCAAGAAAUAUUUAAUUCAACCAAUUUUAUCAUACCACAUCAGUUUAUAUAAAAUAAAUUUGUACAAGAGUUUGUGGCUAUAUUAUUACUCAUUAGAAUUUAAAGAUGGGAUAGUUCAUAAUUAGCAGGUAUAAAGAUAUUUUAAUCUAGUUAAAUUCAUAAUUGUCCUUCUCUAGCAAUAGAACUAUGUUCACAAAAAAUGCGGAUUUACAAGGAUUUUAAAGGGGUGUGAAAAGCAUUAAUUACUCUUACACGACAUCACCCAAAUAAUCAAAUCAAACGCACUCGGCUAGAUUUGUUCCAAGAUUAGACCUUUUGACACCCCUCAAAAUUCCUCAUAAAACCCCUUGUUAAUAGAAGUUACUUAAAUAAUCAAAGAUAAAUUAAUUCAUUUCUUACUUUAACUAGAAAUCCAAUUAAACAAUUAAAAAAUUUCUAUUAAAUUUUUUUUCACCCAUCCCAUUUCAUAAUUUAUAUUUAUAUUUAUAUUUUAGUUUUUAAUUUUUAAAAACUUAUAAGAGUUUAGAAUUAUGGAGAUAGAAACUAUAUAAUAAAAAGAAAAUAAUUUAAAUUUUAAGAAAUUUUAGUACUUUAUAAAUAAAACUUAAAAGAAAUAUUCAUUUAGAGUUGGUAAGAUAAUUGAUUUUAAUAUAUGAAUUUGUAUUUUAUAAAUUAAACUGUGAUAUUUUAAAAAAUAAAUUUAAAAGAAUAUUAUAAGAAUUUUAACGAAGUGUUAAAAACUCCACCCUUAUCUCAAAGAGUUAGUAUGCAAAAGUAAAAACAUAAGCAAUACCCGUUAACACCAUUGGACCUUUGACCUGGUGAUAAAGAACCUAUUGGGGUCACAGGUUCAAGUUUUUGUUUUAUUUAUCCAAAUUGAGUGAAAGUAACAUCAUUGAAUCAUAUAUUACAUAACUGCAAAAUCAUAGAACUAAAAAAUUUCGAAUUAAUUCAAACAAAUAAUAGAAGGGCAAUCUAGAAAUCAUAUUAUCUUGAACUAUUACUUUAUCAACUUUAAAUGAAUACUGCAACUUAAGUCCAAAAUCAGUACCAAUAAUGACACAUGGACAGCCUUAUUAUGCUGCUCUUGUUCUGUUUUCAGCAUAAAAAGCCAAUUCUGCUGUUCUUAAACUGUUUCUCAACAAGAUGGAACAUGAAGUUGUAUUCAAUGACACAUGGACAUUUCAUGAUUAUAAAAAAAUCUAUUUACUUCAGCUAACCUCAAGGAAAUAAUCUAGUAUUGUAGUCAGUGAUGCAUAGAAUAUAUUAAAUGAGAACAUAUUUUUCCAUAACAACGAAAAAGGAAUUGCUAUUAGAGCAGAGUACAUCAAACGGAAAGAUUACUCACAGUGAACACUGGAACUUGUGUGCCUUGCCUUCAAUUCUUUUCAAUUUAGAUUUGUUCAAGAAUGUGCAAUUGGUAUCAGCAAUUUUGGGUUGUAAGAAUAGAGACAGCAAACAACUAUCAAAAAAAAAAAUGUGGAACUUAGUUGAAGAAAUAUUGUGGAUCAUAUCAAAUGCCAAAUGUUGGAUAAUCUUUUCCAAAUGUUGAAUAACAAGAAAAGGGAUGCACACAAGACCGCUGACUGAAAACAGAAAUAAUUGGACAAAUAAAGCCCAAACCACAACUCAUCCUAAUCUUUAUGUUACUAAUGGAAGCUAAAAGCACCUGAGUCAUCAACUAUUUACAUUUUCUGAUAGAUACGGAUGCUUAAUACAUUCAUCAUGAUAUCCAGAAACAAUAAAAUUAAGCUAGUACAAAGAUAUCUAAAUGAAGAUGAUAAUAUCAUAGGCAAAAUAUGGUCCAAUUGAUUAGGAAAAUCAAGCUAAGGUCAUUUUUUUAUACUAAAUGCUUAAUUAAAAAGACAUCAUUAUAUGUUUUAUACAUGCACAAAUUGUCAUUUAUUUGAGGCAUGUCUAAUAUUUAGUGGAGUGACAAAUAUACUUGAAAAUUUAUAAAAAUUAUCAAAUAAUAUGUAAGAAAUAUAGUUAUUUUUGUUGUAAUAUUAAUGCAAUAAACUUUUAUCGUAUCAUAUCGGCAUGUUUAAAGAGGAAAAAAAAAAACUCAGAGACUCAAAAAAUCCAAACUUUAAUGUAUACCUGGCAUUUAUUUGUAGGCUCAAUUGAAGUACAGAAGUCACAAUUCCAAACAACAAACAAGCUAUCAUCACUAAUCCACCAAAUUGGAAAACAUCCUCAAUUAAAUUAACCACCGCGCCUUUCCAGCUUAAGUUUUUCCAACGCUGAUAGUCCUUCUGUUGAGGAUUGGUUAUUGUAAAUAUCUUUUAAAGUAAUUUCAGGAUAGAGCGGAGGAUUUUCUUCGGAUAGCAACUCUUUAAUUGGACCAUAUCGUCUCGAGCAACUGUUGUUCAUAAAAAAACUUCCGAUUGAAAUCCUUGAGCCUUCCUUUUUUGACAACACUUUGUGAUAGGCACUUUUGAACUUGUCAUUGGUGAUUAGCUGCAUAAACACACAAUAAAAAAAUCCACUAUAAUUAAGUUACAUGAUGGAUUAAUAAUAGUCAAAGUGAUACAUAACAUGUACUUGCUUGCAUCAUGUAACCUAAGUUUACAACUAGAGCUCCGGGAACAGGGGUAAUUGCGAUAUGCAAUUUCCUAAUUAAACUCAUGCAUGCCCGAGGCUUUUGUUUAUCCUAGUUUUCAAUAUAAAAAGAGGCGGGCAUCACAUAAUACGGCGGCAAGGAAUUAUCAUUAGAAAAAUUGGAGAGAAAAAGAAGAAGAAGAUCAUAAUUCAAGGGAACGGCUGCAGCAUCAUUGAAGAAUCCAGCAGAGUUAUUUGGAUUCACUUUUUACCGUUCUCGACUUAUACCUUUCUUCUUUCUCUAACUGAUCUAAUGUAUUUCAUGAACAAUAUGUUGCUGAUUGUUUAUCUCUUUCAGAAUAUGAACUACACUUGCUUGUAUUUGAGUGACAAACAAUCUAAUGGGUUCUUGACUGUUCUUAUGAGUUGCUAUGUCAUUGCUGUAGCAUUUUACUCUAGUAGCUAUUAUUAUAACUGUUAUUUUGGUUGACCACCCAUUUAAUGGUUCAAGUUAAGAUAGGACCGUAAAAGGGCAUGUCUUAGUGGAUAUUAUUAGAGUAAUACUUGAUCUUAAUUUAAGUUUCCUAUAUUAAGUUUAUCUUGAAUCCCAUAAGGGCCAUACUUGAAGUUAAGAUUUGUGAUAAACUAGACAUAAGUAUUCACCUUGUAGGGUGGAGAGAAUGGAUGUUCAUAAUGUCAUGCCAUAGGUAAAAUAGCAACUGGUCAUUGCUAAGAUGUUUACGGGUAUGAGACUUCCAAUAUGCGACAGCUGAGGAUGCAAAUUAAAUUCUGCCCAGUGCUAUAGAAAUUACUGUAGCAUCUGGUGUUAACUUGAUGAAAAGCAGUCAGCCCAUAAAGAGAGUUUGAUCAUUCAACUACCUUAUUCUCAUUUGAUUCUUCGAUGCAUUUUAUUUAAUUUGUUUCAUUACUGCAUUGUUUAACUUUAUUAUCUCACAAUUAUCAAUUUCAAUAGUAACCAACUUUACAUUUGUUAAUUUAGGAAUCAAGUUAGAUUACACUAUCGUGAUUGCUGUGGCAUUUCUAGUAACAUCAAUCCCUGUGGAGACGAUCUUGAAUAUUAAUCACUAUUACUUGUUGUGUACACUUGCACAUUGGCAUAAAUAGAAUUUGAUAAAAAAAUACCAACAAUGAGAUAGGGGUAAACUUCAGGAUGUGCUGCCGUUUUUAAUUGUUGUGCAGAUUCUUUUGAUUCCUAUCUCUAGUGGAGAACCAGAUGUGAUUUUGUGGGACCUUUCUCCUGAUGGUAGUUUUUCUUUAAGGACAACUUCAAAUAUUGUGCAUUGGACAAUGCCAAGUGAUGAGGCUUUUUUUGUUAUUUGGCAGCGACAUAUCUUUUCCUGGAUAUCUUUUUUUCUCUACAGGUUGUGACACAAAUUCUUGACCAAGAUGAUGCCUCGUGUUCGGGGGAUUUCUGCAUAGUUUCUUAGUAUCUUUGUAGUUGGGCUUAUGAGACUUCUAGGUAUUUUCUUUCUUGAUUGCCCUCGAUUUGCGCUAUGUUGCUUUUUUGUUCCCCCGUACUUUAUUUCUUAAUUGGUAGUGAUGUGCCCUUUCUUGGAGCCAUAUUCGAGUUCUUCUUCCUUGUUUCAUUUUGUGGCGAGUUUAGAAGGCCUGUAAUGCAUUGAAGUUUGACUCAAUGGCCUUUUUUGUUGAUGCUGUUAUUUAUCGAGCAAUGUUGGAUCUUAGGCUUGCCGAUUCUGCCUUUGGUCUUAAACCAUCCCAACUGUGAGGAGUUUGUUAGGUCCCAGUCAGAAUUUAGCGAGAAAUAACGAGUGAAUGAAUUGUUCUUCUUAGGGUGAGAACUACCACAAUUGCUAAUAGUUUUGAAUGAAUUGUUCUUCUUAGGGUGAGAACUACCACAAUUGCUAAUAGUUUUGAAUAAAAAUCUCAUAUGCUUUUAUUGCGAUUUUGGAGUCUAUUUAUAGAACAAAGUUAAUGAGAUAAAGUAGUUAAUAUCAAAUAAACUACUUCACUAUAAGUUCGAAGCAAAUAACAAUCUUUAAAGGAAACAAGUUUAAAUCUAAAUUCUCCACCAAAACCAUUCGGCUUGACGAAGGAAAACCUCCCUGCUGCACCCUUGAAGAGUCCUUGAAAGAAUCAACUUCAAACUCAGAAGCAUAUUCUCACUUAAAGAACAUACUUCCACGUGAUGCAUACCUCAUGCAUGACUUGCAUGGCUGCUUGCAUGUGCCCAUGCAUACUCUUUAUACUUGCUGUUGGGUUUGGAGGCUCGUUUGGACUUGCAUAGCUCCUUAUCAUCACCUCCCCCUCGAAGAGAACCCUUGUCCUCAAGGGUCAUGUGUGGAAAUUGUUGCUGUAGCAAUGCCGUGUCUUCCCAGGUUGUUCUCCUUUGUUGUCUUCUCCAUGUAGUUCCUCUGCAACUUCUUCACAAGUGAUCUCGUUGGUGUCGUUGUAGCUCUCGAGAAGCAGAAGUUGAGGCCCUUGACAUUUAUGACCCGCAGUGAACCGUUCGUUGCAAGUGAAACACAGUCCCUGAGCUCGUCGUCGUUGCAUUUCAUCCCACGGUAAUCUUUUGACAGGCACGGUUGGUGAUGCUUGAGUAGGUGGCAAUGUUGGCUGUGCGCGGUUGGAGGGUGGCUGGAAUAAUCUCCGUUGGCGUGUUAUCUGGUCGUCUUUCAUACGAGCAAGGCUGAUGGCUUCCUUUAACGUACGUGGCCUGAACAUCCGUAUAUCCUCCGCAAUCUCCGGUUUCAAUCCUCCCAUGAAAGUGCCUACCAACGCUUUCUGUGACCACCCAUGAACUCGGUUUCCCAACCUUUCGAAUUCCUUCUGGUAUUCUCGCAGAGAAUCUGUUUGUUCGACCCGAGACAGUGCUUCAUCAAAGUCUUCACAAUCCGUUGGUCCGAAGCGUGCCCACAGCUCCUCCAUGAAGAUUUCCCAUGUUACGACUCGUCCUUCCUCUUGAUAUGACCUCCUCAGCCACUGCCACCAUUGGUUAGCUUCUCCCUCUAAGUGGAAUGAAGCCAAGACAACUUUCUGGUCUUCUGUUGAUUCCUAAUAUUCGAAGAACUGGUUAAUUCGGUUGAACCAUUUGGUUGGGUCAUUGCCGGCAUAGCGUGGAAAAUCUAGUUUUGCCACUUUUGAUUGAAACUACUGUCGUCUACCAUCCUUGUCUUCACAGUUUGGCCGUGAUGUUGCUAUGUUAUUAUUGGUGCUUGGUGCGUCUUUGGAUGUGUUGAAGGACUCUGCAAGUUUGCUCAAGGUUUCCUCAAUGUGAGCCAACUUGUCGUUAAUUCCUACUUCCAUGCGCUGCAUCUUAUCUUGCAUUUCUCCGAGCUCCACUUCCAUCCGUUCGAUGCGUUCCUUGUUGGUUGUCAUCCUUGCCUAGCUCUGAUACCAAUGUUAGGUCCCAGUCAGAAUUUAGCGAGAAAUAACGAGUGAAUGAAUUGUUCUUCUUAGGGUGAGAACUACCACAAUUGCUAAUAGUUUUGAAUGAAUUGUUCUUCUUAGGGUGAGAACUACCACAAUUGCUAAUAGUUUUGAAUAAAAAUCUCAUAUGCUUUUAUUGCGAUUUUGGAGUCUAUUUAUAGAACAAAGUUAAUGAGAUAAAGUAGUUAAUAUCAAAUAAACUACUUCACUAUAAGUUCGAAGCAAAUAACAAUCUUUAAAGGAAACAAGUUUAAAUCUAAAUUCUCCACCAAAACCAUUCGGCUUGACGAAGGAAAACCUCCCUGCUGCACCCUUGAAGAGUCCUUGAAAGAAUCAACUUCAAACUCAGAAGCAUAUUCUCACUUAAAGAACAUACUUCCACGUGAUGCAUACCUCAUGCAUGACUUGCAUGGCUGCUUGCAUGUGCCCAUGCAUACUCUUUAUACUUGCUGUUGGGUUUGGAGGCUCGUUUGGACUUGCAUAGCUCCUUAUCGGAGUUCUAGGUUCUCGAUUUGCAAAGUGCUUGAGAGUUGUUGUUUCAUCCAGGAGGCUGAUUCUUUUAGUUUUUUGGUUGUGGUCACCACCUGGGGUGGUGAAGCUGACUAUUGAUGGUUGCUUUAGGAGUAAUCCUAGGAUGGCUGCUUCAGAUAGUAUUUUACGUGAUGAUUAGGGUGUGGCUUUGGCUGCUUUUGGUUCCUUCCUUGGGCGCUAACUGAUCUUUCAUGCAGAAUUCAUGGCUGUUUUUUAGGGGUUAGAGUUGGUGCUCAGCUCCAUUAUUCUGUGCUUGACGUAGAGUCGGACUCAGCCAUGGUGGCUUCUUGGAUUCUUUUCUAAGGCCUUGUUCAUACGGACUAUACCUAUUCUUUGCGUCGAGUGUGUAGUUUGACAUUUUCUUCUACUUCAUGGUUAGUCAUGUGCUUCGAAAGGCUACUUCUACUGCUGAUUUCUUUGGCCUGCUCUCUUCAAGUUCAUCGGCGUGUCUUGGGUUCUCAAGAUAUCUCUGCUGGCUUAUCUAAUAAUCUUCGUUUGAAUUGUGGGUAAUUUAACAUAUCAGGCAAUAUAAUUGAUUAUUUUUGUGUUCUAUUUUUUAUCUUGUAUUUUUCACUUUUCCAUUCUUAUGUUCUUGCAAUUGCGGUUUUGAUUUAUAUUCACCUCCUUAUGUAUUUGAUUCAUUCUAUGAUUUAUAUGAAAGAUAGGGGUCCAACCUAACCCUACCUUUUUGGUGGUUAAAAAAAAAGUCAGGAAUCAAACCUAGGUCAUCAAGGUGAAACAUCAAUCAGGUUGUAAAUUUAACAUAUGAACAUAAAAGCUUAACAAAACAUUUGAAGUUGCUUGACAACAUAGAAAUACAAGCAAAAAGAGAUGCUAAACAACACAAAAUUUUGAUUGGGUGGGAGUAUUGUUCAUGCUAGCAUAAUAAUGAGGUGCCUGAGAAUACCUAUGACUUUCUUGAUAAAUAAUAUCAUAUAAAAGGUUAGGAAUCACAGAUAAUUGUCCACGUAUGAACAAAUCUGGCUCAAAAUGUGAAAUGUAUUAAGAUUUUCAAACAUUUAAAUUAAUAGUUAAUAAUUUCGGACAAAAGAUACUUGGAGACCCUAAAGUUCACUGAUUCUAUGUUAUGGCUCAUUGUCUCGCUCAACAAUUUAAUUUCUAGAUUAUUUGGCUCCUAUCUAUUAAAAGACAACACCGUUACUAAAAUUAUAAAUUAUAACAGUUAAACCUAAACCUACGUCGUUUAGCAAUUUACAAAAGAAAAAAAUAUAACAAAAGCCAAUUGUUGGAGUAGCAACGUGCCAACGAGAAAAUCUCAAGCCAUGUAAUAUCCUGUGUCAACAACUAAAGAAGAACAAACCACCACCCUCUAGGCCGUCGCUGCACUAACGCUGGACCCGAUUUGAAUAGUUAGAAGUUGUAACAUUAAUUAGGGAUUGAGGGUAAAAUUUUGGACUUUGAUUUAAUAAAAUUGAUUUAAAUGAGUCCCAAUAGAAAUAUGAUUAUAAAUAUAUCAAUACAAUUAUAACAUGUUAAAAGAAAAAAAGUUUAUUUUCACACAAAACAAAAAACACAACCCUUGGAUGUGGGAUGUGUCUAAAAAAUAAUAGGGUGGAAAUAUUAUCACCCUCAAAUUAGAUAUAUAAAUAUUUAAUGUUUUACUCUUAUAAUUUUGUAUUUAUUUUUUUGAAUAUUGUUAAGAGAAAGAUAGAAAUUAAUAUAUAGACAAAUCGAGUCCUUUAUUUUAUUAUUCAUAUCCAUAAAAAGUAACCACUAUGCUAGUCCCACGAACUUUGCAUAAGACGGUAAUUUAGAAAAAAGAAAAAAAAAGGAACGUUUUUAGACACCAAAACAAAAGCAAAACAAGCACAAAGCGAGACAUACAAACAAAAUUUAUGCUACUGCAUUCAAGCAGAAGCCAUCAACUGUUCACGACGAAGUUUGAGAGCAACCAAUAGUUCAUCCUGAUUAGGAAGAUUUUCUUCAAUCACAGGGACUUGCUUGAAAGUUUCAAUCCAGGCAUGCAAGUGAGGGAAUUUGUGUGAUUCAAAUAGUUUAGCUCCCACUAUAUCUUCAAUGACUUGCAACCAAUAAACAAUUGAACCAAACGCUAGGUCCACUAAGCCAAUAUUGUCUCCAUUGAAAAAUUUCUUCUCUCCCAAGCCAUGCUCUUCAACGGUUUGUAGCAU
This 151374-nucleotide long non-coding RNA is filed under the name Citrus x clementina. RNAcentral's name for it is "Citrus clementina (C. clementina) long non-coding RNA (CCLE_LNC000207)". The record is from RNAcentral. Lineage: Eukaryota; Viridiplantae; Streptophyta; Magnoliopsida; Sapindales; Rutaceae.